RNAcentral lists this long non-coding RNA (94819 nucleotides) under Triticum aestivum (bread wheat). RNAcentral's name for it is "long non-coding RNA (TAES_LNC009704)". The record is from RNAcentral. Lineage: Eukaryota; Viridiplantae; Streptophyta; Magnoliopsida; Poales; Poaceae.
AUCAUCUGACUCAGCACCAUCUUCCUCAUGAACUUCAUCCUCACUAUCCGGAAUCAAAUUCAGAUAGAUAACAGAAAUCCCGGGCCUAUCUUUUCUGAAGGAGAAGCUGAUCAAUUCACCCCCACUAAGACGGUUGUGGGCGAUGAAACGAUCCCAAUCAUCUCCUCCUAUCUGGGUUAUCUUUCGCCCCUUCUCGACUUGCAUAGUGUAUGGGCCCCCAAGAGCAUCGAAGGUCACGGUGUCUGCGACGAGCUCAUUGAAUGCCAAUCUCACAUUGCAUGGUACGAUCUAUGUAAGAUAAAAACAAAUAACAGACACAAUACAUUAGUGGAAAUAGCAAAAAAACAAAAAGAAUGUACUGUCAGAAGGUUCAUAUAAAUUGUUACCGCUGUAAAAACAAAAGAAGGCUGGAAGUAGAUGCUGAACAGCGUGGCAGUAGAAAGGCUGGUCCGGCACCGUGAGUUGCAGCGUCCACAUUGUGCUUCCUCCAUUCUACACAGAACGUGUUGAACUCUAAGUUGAAUUGUACAUAGUACAAUACAAAGAUCAUACAUAUAAUAAAUCACAGUGAUAACCUAUACUGGCAAUGGCCAAUCAAUCUAUUUUCUAUCAUCUACGUAAUAAAGCAAUGGCAAUGACAAUUCAUCUAAACCUGGGAAUAGUUCGGCAUCCAAACUAAAACCAGUCCAAUCCACAGCACACAUCAAAACCAAACCAAUCCAGAUAUUUUCAUUUAGAAUCUAGACCAAACCGAACUAUACAUGCUCGUCAUCCAACCCAGUCCAAACCGUUUUCAACUUUUGGAUUGAAUCCAAAGGUUCAAACCGUGGACAAAGCCAUACACGAGGGCACGUCAUGAAUCUAGAUCAGACAUGGCGUCAAAGCUCGAGAGAGGCGACGAGCUCCGGCCAGCAACAGCGGGAUUUGAAGCAGUAGUAGGUGGUAGUGGUGGCUCAAACUAAUUGAUUGAUUUGGUCUCAAACCAUAGAAACCAAAUCAAGAUCCAAUCCAAAAACUAAGUUUCAGUCCAAAACCAAUCGGCUCAAAUCCGCCUCCGUAGGGAGACGCGGUUGGGGAAGGGAAUAAGAGGGGAGAUCUCACGUACUUGCCGGAGUUGGCGGCGGCCGCGCACCGGCAGCAAAGAGAGGGGUCGUCGAGAGAUGGCGGCGACGGCGGCGGCGCUGGUCGAGAAGGGGAGAAAGAAAAAUGUGGAGUGGUCGAGACGGGGAGAAAGAAAAAUGUGGUACAUGUGGUGGCUCGGUUGUGUGGAUGACAAGGGGACCCACUUGUGAGACCGAUAGCAAUUGAUGGCUAACCGCAGGAGGUGCAGGACCGCGUGCACGACCGCCACGUCCCCACGUGGAAUGGGGACGGCCGGGUGGGUGUGUCAAGUCAAAUUGGCACCCGCGGCUUCUCGGUAACUCCAAGAGGCAGGAGCAGUGCAUUUCUUCCCCAUAUCGGGUAGAAAACCCUCGUCCUCUCCCCACCCUCUCUUCCUUCGUCACCACCUCACCACCCUCUCCUCCUUCCUCACCACCCUCCUCCCUUCCUACGCCUCCCUCCUCCUGUCUUCGACCGACAAUGAAGCGCGGGCGUGAAGAUGCGGCGGACGAGCCGGAGGCAACCAUCGGAGCAGAGCAGUCUGCUGCCGUGGAUGCAGCCGUGGGUGGAGCGGCUGAGUCCGCCGUAGCGGCGGAAGCUGGCGGUGCAGCGACCGUUGUGCCUGCUCCCGCUGCCAUCGCAGCUGUCGAGGCACCCGUCGGCGAGCACAAGGUCGGGGAAGAUCUGGAGGAGGAGGAGAUGAGAAGGCAUAAGCGGAAGGUGCAUGACUGAAAGUGCAACUAUCCCUAGGUGGUUUUGGUAAUUCAUAACAACAUAUAGCUCAUUGAGCUAAUGCUAUUUCAAGAUGAUUAUUUCAGGAAAGCUCAAUGAUUGGCAUGGCAUGGAUGUGAAAGUGGAAUCCUCAAAAUGCGAAGGAAAAAGAAUUGGCUCAAGCUCAAAAGUUCAAGACUCUUCAUUUUAUAUUUUAGUGAUCCAAGAUCACAUUGAGUCUUUAGGAAAAGCCAAUACUAUUAAGGAGGGAUGAGGUGUUGCUUAAUGAGCCUCUUGCUCUAUGUGCUUAGUGAUAUGCUCCAAAAUCCUCAACCACUUUUCCAUAUCCACAAAUGACCUAAACCCUAAGCCAAACUCGGUCUUACCGAUUCUGUCAAUCCGGCGCCACCGAGUUUCACUUGUCAUUUGAGACUGCCAAACCCUAGCAAUUCGGUCCUACCGAUAAGGUUCUCGGUCUCACCGAGAUGGGCUUGCAAACUCUCUGUUUCCCUUUCGUAACUUUUUGGUCUCACCGAAAGAGCGAAUCGGUCCCACCGAGAAUGCAAGGUAAACUCUAUGUUUCCUUCUUGUAACGUUUCGGUCUCACCGAAAGAGCAAGUCGGUCCCACCGAUUUUGCCUGACCAACUCUCUGGAUAGCUAAUUGCCGAACUUGGUCUCACCGAGAUUACGUUAUGCCCAAACCCUAACCGAAUCGGUCCUACCGAGUUGCAUCUCAGUCCCACCGAAAUUCCUAAUGGUCACUAGGUUUACCAUUUCGGUCCGACCGAGUUUGAUUAUUUGGUCCCACCGAGAUUGGAAAACUGUGUGUAACGGUUGGAUUUUGUGUGGAGGCUAUAUAUACCCCUCCACCACCUCUUCAUUCGAAGAGAGAGCAAGCAAAACACAUACAUCAUUCCUACUCAUAUGUUCUGAGAAAGAACCACCUACUCAUGUGUUGAGACAAAGAUAUUCCAUUCCUACCUUAUGAAUCUUGAUCUCUAGCCUUUCCCAAGUUGCUUUCCACUCAAAUCUUCUUUCCACCAGAUCCAAAUCCUAUGAGAGAGAGUUGAGUGUUGGGGAGACUAUCAUUUGAAGCACAAGAGCAAGGAGUUCAUCAUCAACACACCAUUUGUUACUUCUUGGAGAGUGGUGUCUCCUAGAUUGGCUAGGUGUCACUUGGGAGCCUCCGACAAGAUUGUGGAGUUGAACCAAGGUGUUUGUAAGGGCAAGGAGAUCGCCUACUUCGUGAAGAUCUACUGCUAGUGAGGCAAGUCCUUCGUGGGCGAUGGCCAUGGUGGAAUAGACAAGGUUGCUUCUUCAUGGACCCUUCGUGGGUGGAGCCCUCCGUGGACUCGCGCAACCGUUACCCUCCGUGGGUUGAAGUCUCCAUCAACGUGGAUGUAGGAUAGCACCACCUAUCCGAACCACGGGAAAACAUCCAUGUCUCCAAUUGCGUUUGAAUCCUCCAAACCCUUACCUUUACAUUCUUGCAAGUUGCAUGCUUUACUUUCCACUGCCAAUAAACUCUUUGCAUGCUUGCUUGAAUUGUGUGAUGAUUGCUUGACUUGCUCUAAGAUAGCUAAAAUCUGCCAAGAACUAAAAUUGGGAAAAGGCUAAGUUUUUAAUUAGUCAAGUAGUCUAAUCACCCCCCCUCUAGACAUACUUUCAAUCCUACAAGUGGUAUCAGAGCUUUGGUCUCCAUUUGGCUUGAUCUUCAUAGCUUUUGGUGGUCAUAGCCUUGGUUUCACAACCUAGGAGAGUAUGGCAUCUAGCGAGGGAAAUUAUCACCGUAGAGGUCCUUACUUUGAUGGCACUAAUUUUGCUAGUUGGAAGCAUAAAAUGAAAAUGCAUAUUCUUGGACAUAACCCCGCCGUAUGGGCUAUUGUUUGUGUUGGCUUGCAAGGUGAGUUCUUCGAUGGGAGGGAACCAAACCGUGAAGCUACCGCGGAUGAGUUGAAGAUGUUGCAAUACAAUGCUCAAGCUUGUGAUAUUCUCUUCAACGGAUUGUGCCCCGAAGAAUUCAACAAAAUCAGCGGCCUUGAGAAUGCAAAGGAGAUUUGGGAUACUUUGAUUGAUAUGCACGAAGGUACCGACUCCGUCAAGGAAUCCAAGUUGGAUGUGCUCCAAAGUCAACUUGACAAGUUCAAGAUGAAGGAUGGUGAAGGUGUCGCUGAAAUGUACUCCAGGCUUGCUCUCAUCACAAAUGAGAUUGCCGGCUUAGGAAGUGAAGAGAUGACCGAUAGAUUCAUCAUCAAGAAGAUCCUAAGAGCCUUGGAUGGGAAAUAUGAUACCGUGUGCACAUUAAUCCAAAUGAUGCCCAACUACAAAAUCUCAAGCCAACGGAAGUAAUUGGAAGGAUUGUUGCUCAUGAGAUGUCACUCAAGGAUAAAGAGGAACUUCACAAUAAAUCAAGUGGUGCCUACAAAGCGUCAUGUGAAGCCCCCGCAUCAUCAAGUGAGAAACAAAACUUCAAUGAAGAAUUGAGCUUAAUGGUGAAGAACUUCAACAAGUUCUACAAGAGUAGAAGCAAAGAUAGAAGCUUCAAGUCAAGGUCCUACAAUGACAAAAGAUCUUCUAGUCGAGAGCGAAACUGCUAUAAUUGUGGAAGACCCGGACACUAUUCCAAUGAGUGUACGACUCCCUACAAGAGAAGAGAAGAUUCUCCAAAAAGAAGAAGCAAAGAAUCUCCACCAAGAGAGAGAAGGAGUAGAGAUGAUCGUUAUGAACGAAGAUACUCACGGAGAAGCAAGGACUCGGAAAGGAAGGAAAAAUCAUCAAGGAGCUAUACAAAACAAAGACAUCAAGCUCAUGUUGAUGAAUGGGUAUCCGGCUUCGACUCCGACAGCCACUCAGAGAGAAGUUAUCACUCCGACUCCGAAGAUACUCAAGAUGAAGGUGUUGCCGGUCUAGCACUUGUGUCAACCAACUCCUACGACAUAUUUGACUCCCCAAAUGAAGGAAUUGGAAGAUGCUUCAUGGCUAAAGGUCCUAAGGUAACACACCCCGAGUACGUUGAUUUUAAUAGUGAUGAAGAUGACUUGUUAGGUAAUGAUGAUUUGCUUGUUGACAACUCUAGUGAUGAGUACUAUGAUGAAACAUCAAUUAAUCAUGCUAAAACGAAUGACAAUGAUAAGGAGAAGAUUGAGGCUCUAACUAAAGAACUAAACACUCUUAAGUUAGCUCAUGAAACUAUCUUCGAAGAUCAUCGAGAACUUUUAAGAGCUCAUGAGAAAUUACGCUUUGAAAAGCUCAAUCUUGAGCAAGAGCAUGAGUUCUUAAAAGCAAUCAACGAUGAUCUCCGCAAGAAUAGUUCUUCUUACAUUGCCAAGCGUUUACUAUUAUCCACUUACAUGCCUCAAGUCAAGACUAGUAACAAGAAUAAGAAAGAUUCUUCCUCUAGUAGUGACAAUGAUCAUGCUAAAUCCAAUAUUGUUGCUUCUAGUAGUUCUCUUGAUUCCACUAAUGAUUCUCUUAGCCAAGUUACACUUGAGCAAGAAAAUAGCUUAUUGAAGGGAAUUAUAGAGAAAGGUGUUUACAAGAGCCUUGCCGGAAGUAAGCAAUUCGAGGAAAUUGUGCACAAGCAAGGAAUGCACCGGAAGAAUCAAGGUGUUGGUUUUGAACGAAAGUUCAAUGCCAAUGGAGUUGAAUGGGAAGAAGAUCAAUACCCCAAGACAAAGUUUGUUCCUCAACAAGAGAAGUAUGACACUUCUUUCAAGGGGACACAAGCUCAAGAUGAUCUUCCACCACAAGACUACAAGCAAAAAGGCAAGGACAAGCUUCAAGAGGAGAUUGAUGCAUUUGAAGAAGCUCCCAAGACCUUAGUCAAGUGGAUUCCCAAGACUACUUCAAGUUCCACUACACCAAGUACGACUACAACUCCAAGGAUUCCCAUCAAGAUGGUGUGGAUCCAAAAGAAGAAGAACUAGAGAGUUCUUGAGGGUGACUCCGCCAACAUAAUUCACUCUUAUCAUUUUGGCAAGAACAAGUGCAAUCAACUUCCACAUCUUGCACUAGUUCAAGGAGUUACAAACCCUCUUGUUGGUAAGACAAGGGACAAGGUAACCUAAAGUUUUCAUGGACAUCAUCUUGUGUGUGCAUCACUCUAUGUCUAUGGAUAUCCUUGUUUGUUCCUUGUGGGACUAACCCAUGUAGGUAUUGAAAGUGCAAUUCACUCAAAUGGAUAGCUCCAAGUGAUCUACAUCAACAUUGAGCAUCCACAUCUUCAACAUCUACAUGAAGUCAUCAUCGACAAAACCCAAGGUUAGUUCAUCCCUCUUAGGGGGGAUAUCACAUCUAGGGGGAGCUUUACUCUAAGACUUGAGCUAAAGCAACUCUAAAGAUGUGAAUACAACAAUGCUUUAUGUAAAAGUGGUAACCCCACUUGAGCUUAAACGAUGGGUAUGACCUAUGAUCAAGUGUUCUCACUUGACUCCUAAGUCAAUAUGCUCAUAUAUAGAUGACCUAGUCAUCGCAAAUUGCUUUAUAGAUGCUAGAAUUGGUUGUGCAUGCUUUGCCACAUAUUUCAUUUGCCAUCUUAUUGUGUGAGCAUGUUGGUUGCAUAUUUUACUCAUUCGAGGACAUCCACUUGUUGUUUUGAUUGUUUGGCUUUCUUUUUUUGCCAAGUGGAUGGACAAGAAUGCCUAAGAACCUCCUCUAGCUAUCUAUGCUUUUCUCGUCUCAAACUCUAUUCAUGCUGCAUCACAAAACUUGAUCAAGUCAGAUUCGAACCACUCUGUGUGAGGAGCGCUCGGAGUCCCCGAUUCGUCAUAGACUUAAACUUCCAAAACCUCUUUAUGAAUCUCGGUCUGACCGAUACUCCAUUUUCGGUCCUACCGAGUUCAUUAAGUUGAUCUAGGUUUUCGAUCUCGGUGCAACCGAUUUGAACUUUUCGGUCACACCGAGUUGCAAUAACUGCACACAGUUUUGCAUCUCGGUGCCACCGAGUUGUUCCACUCGGUCACACCGACAGGGUCGGGCUAUAUAUAGUGACGGGAAAUUUUUUGGAAAUUUCUCCGAAACCCCUUCGCCCGCGCGAUAGCCUGCUCUGCCUUCGUGGUCUCCGGAUCGUCUUCUCGUCGCCAGCAGCCUCCAGUCACUGGUCUCCGCCGCCGUCAACGGAUUUCUGCCCCGCCGUUGCCGCCGUAGCGAGUCUCCGCCGAACUAGGGGUCAGCAGUCAGUUUGCAACAUGUCUGAUCAAAGUGACAGCCAGAAUGUGUCUGAGCAGCAAGUUGUGAUGAGUGAGGGCACUAGCCCCUCAAGCUCUUCUGAUGAUGGCAGCAGGAGCACCCCCAGCAAUCUGCCCAAGGCCGCCACACGUCAAAGGAAGAAGAGAACGUCUGAUUCUGAGGAUGAAGACUAUGUGGCAGAGGAAGAGGCCACAUCAAAGAGAGCUGAACCAGCUCAAGGAACCAAGCCAGGGCUGAAGAUCAAAAGGCCAACAGGCAGGCAGCCCAUGUCAAAGGCUAGGGCUUCAACUGUGAAGCCUGCUCCCACUGAGCCCGUUGCUGCUGAGGGCAAGAAAAGGAAAGAAAGGGUGAAAAAGACUGUAGCCAGAGUGCUUGGAAAGGCCUCCAUCAUGGUCGAUGAGGAGGAAGAAGAAGAGGUUGCUGCACUAGCACCCAAGGCAGCCAAACUCAUGGGAGAUGCUAUAAGGUCAGGAACAGCUGCAUCCAAGCCCAAGGAUGCACCUAAGGCUGCAACUAAGCCUAAGAGUGCACCCAAGAGAAACACACGAAGCAUCCCAGCUGCAGAAAAGAACAAGGCCCCAACGCCUGAAGCUAUUGAAGAAGAGGAAGAGAGUGUCCUUAGGAAGAUCAAGCCUGAGCGUCGACUUAGCACUAUGCAUUUUCUAGGAACUUUUUGGUAACUUGUUGCCAAAGGGGGAGAAGAUGUAUAGAUCAUAGGCUUCGAGAGAGAGUGUGUUGCUUUUCUCUCUUGUUUUUAUUUGGUGGUUUUUCGAACUUUGUUUGCUUGUGUGUGAGAUACUAUGUCGUUAUUCGUGAGACAUCGAUGAUCAUGUGUUUGAUCAUAAGCUACACUUAAUGUUUGCUUAAUGCUUGCUAUAUAUUAUCAUUCCAUCUAUCGUUUGUGAUCAUUCACUAUUCUUGGUGAUGAGUGCAUGUAUUUCAAUCUUAUCAUUUUUGAGCGCUCCACCAAGAUGUAUGUGACAUGGAAGAGUAACCCAUGAUUCUAACUCCAUGUGCAUUUGCAGUCCAAAGCAAAUUUUAAAUACGCACAAAUUUAGGGGGAGCUCUUAUUUGUCACAUACUUCUGAAAGCGACGAUAUAUUUCAUGCUUAUUAUCAUUUGUCGAAGCUUUGAUCUAUAUGUUGUCAUCAAUUACCAAAAAGGGGGAGAUUGAAAGUGCAACUAUCCCUAGGUGGUUUUGGUAAUUCAUAACAACAUAUAGCUCAUUGAGCUAAUGCUAUUUCAAGAUGAUUAUUUCAGGAAAGCUCAAUGAUUGGCAUGGCAUGGAUGUGAAAGUGGAACCCUCAAAAUGCUAAGGAAAAAGAAUUGGCUCAAGCUCAAAAGUUCAAGACUCUUCAUUUUAUAUUUUAGUGAUCCAAGAUCACAUUGAGUCUUUAGGAAAAGCCAAUACUAUUAAGGAGGGAUGAGGUGUUGCUUAAUGAGCCUCUUGCUCUAUGUGCUUAGUGAUAUGCUCCAAAAUCCUCAACCACUUUUCCAUAUCCACAAAUGACCUAAACCCUAAGCCAAACUCGGUCUUACCGAUUCUGUCAAUCCGGCGCCACCGAGUUUCACUUGUCAUUUGCCACUGCCAAACCCUAGCAAUUCAGUCCUACCGAUAAGGUUCUCGGUCUCACCGAGAUGGGCUUGCAAACUCUCUGUUUCCCUUUUGUAACUUUUCGGUCUCACCGAAAGAGCGAAUCAGUCCCACCGAGAAUGCAAGGUAAACUCUAUGUUUCCUCUUGUAACAUUUCGGUCUCACCGAAAGAGCAAGUCGGUCCCACCGAGUUUGCCUGACCAACUCUCUCGUUAGCUAAUUGCCGAACUCGGUCUCACCGAGUUUGUGCGAUCGGUCUCACCGAGAUUACGUUAUGCCCAAACCCUAACCGAAUCGGUCCUACCGAGUUGCAUCUCAGUCCCACCGAAAUUCCUAACGGUCACUAGGUUUACCAUUUCGGUCCGACCGAGUUUGAUUAUUCGGUCCCACCGAGAUUGGAAAACUGUGUGUAACGGUUGGAUUUUGUGUGGAGGCUAUAUAUACCCCUCCACCACCUCUUCAUUCGAAGAGAGAGCAAUCAGAACACAUACAUCAUUCCUACUCAUAUGUUCUGAGAAAGAACCACCUACUCAUGUGUUGAGACCAAGAUAUUCCAUUCCUACCUUAUGAAUCUUGAUCUCUAGCCUUUCCCAAGUUGCUUUCCACUCAAAUCUUCUUUCCACCAGAUCCAAAUCCUAUGAGAGAGAGUUGAGUGUUGGGGAGACUAUCAUUUGAAGCACAAGAGCAAGGAGUUCAUCAUCAACACACCAUUUUUUACUUCUUGGAGAGUGGUGUCUCCUAGAUUGGCUAGGUGUCACUUGGGAGCCUCCGACAAGAUUGUGGAGUUGAACCAAGGUGUUUGUAAGGGCAAGGAGAUCGCCUACUUCGUGAAGAUCUACUGCUAGUGAGGCAAGUCCUUCGUGGGUGAUGGCCAUGGUGGAAUAGACAAGGUUGCUUCUUCGUGGACCCUUCGUGGGUGGAGCCCUCCGUGGACUCGCGCAACCGUUACCCUCCGUGGGUUGAAGUCUCCAUCAACGUGGAUGUAGGAUAGCACCACCUAUCCGAACCACGGGAAAACAUCCGUGUCUCCAAUUGCGUUUGAAUCCUCCAAACCCUUACCUUUACAUUCUUGCAAGUUGCAUGCUUUACUUUCCGCUGCCAAUAAACUCUUUGCAUGCUUGCUUGAAUUGUGUGAUGAUUGCUUGACUUGCUCUAAGAUAGCUAAAAUCUGCCAAGAACUAAAAUUGGGAAAAGGCUAAGUUUUUAAUUGGUCAAGUAGUCUAAUCACCCCCCCUCUAGACAUACUUUCGAUCCUACAAUGACGAAAUCGAGGAGCUCUUCGAGGAGAACGCCAUAAAGGAGUUCGACCUAGAUAGCAGGAAGGGCAGCGACUUCGACGAGGAUGCCAUCGACGACCUAUCUGAGGUAGUACUCUGUUUUUGCUCUGUUUUUUUCAUGACAUUGGGGUUUUUCUUGUUAACUACAUGAGCAUCAAUUUCACUUGGGCGUGCUAGUUGUACGUAUGUAGGAUUGUAGGGAUCUAGCAUAGAUCUUCAUGUUGGAUGUGGUUUUUUAAAUCUGAUUGACAUUCUGAUUCCAGCAAAUACUUUGGGUUUUUUUCAUGGCAUUGGGGUUUGUCUUGUUAACUAGAUGAGCAUAAGUUCCACAAGGGAUACAUUAAUGAAAGAAGUGGGGUAAUGAACCCAACUACAAGAUAAUGUUCAUGGCAGGGAUACAUUAAUGGAAAAAGUGGGUUAAACAAUGGAUAUAUGGCAGGAUUCUCCAUUGGCUUCCCCAGGACAGUGACAAAAUGCUGCAGUUCCUGAUUCAUUUUAGUUUAUGUAGAUGAAUUAAUUUGCACACAUGUUCAUAGAUGAUUAGUUUGCACACAUGUUCAUAGAUGAUCCAUUUGCAAAUUCUAUACAGCUUUCCAUUUUGCAAAGGAAGUGAUCGCUCCCUUAAUAAUUAUGGGCUGACAGUACAUAUCCACUGGAUACCAAAAAAUCAAAACAUUUCAUCUAGCCAAUUUUCCACAGUAUGUUAUCUAGAUGAUCACAGCCACAUCUCUCAUCAAUAUGAGCAGUGAGACACCCCAUAGCUCCUUUACCAAUUUCCUUCUGAAACUUAUCAGGGUCUAACAAUGUUGGACAAGCAGUAUUGCCGGUGUCAGAAAGAAUAAUGGUUUCUUCAUUCCAGUAGAUAGAACAAACCCCCCUUGUGUGAAACAUGGAGGAGUACAAUGAAGCCAUUUUUCUGAUUCCAAUAAGAAUUACACCUGUAACAAGUAUCAAAUAUCAUUAAACCAAGCCACUUCAUGAAGUCUUUCAUGUGUUAAUUAUGUACUACUUGUGCACUAAUCUAUAAAUGCAACUAUUCCACCAUCCGUAUUUAUGCAUGUCAGUUUCUUUGGCUCAAUUAUGUAUGUGCACAUACGCCUUGUUUCUAGCAAAUAGAUAGUUGCCAUGUUACACGUGUGUACUUUCAAAACAUUGUAAUUAAAGUCAAUGUACCAUAAUGGAUUAGCUGAGUUCUUCUAUGUGUACUAAUUCACUAAUUCACAGGAGGAUGACGACGAUGUGGACUACUGCAUGGACAGCAGGCACAACAAGAGCCGGUACACCCUGAGGCAUCUGAUUGCUGGGAAGAUCAAGUACCGUUUCUUUGGCAAGAUUGGGUGCCCUUUCUGUUGCAAGGUGAUCGGUGGCGGCAUAGAUGGCAUGAUCCAGCAUGCCUUCAGCACUGGCAAUGGACAUGGUAAGAAGCAUAAAGCCAGUACUUUGGCUAAACAUGCUGCCUACGCACGCUUCCUCGAGAUUGUGAAAGUCAAUGAGCCCUACAACAUGCAUUGAACAAGGGAGAGAAGUGAUGUGCUGCUAGAGUGCUGCUGCUGCCCCAGGACCCCCGUGUCCUGUUAUGUUAUGUAUGUUUGUUUGUUGUUGGAGUCUAAAACUGAUGUCCUAUGGUGUGUCUGAACCUAUGCUGAGCGGUGGUUGAUCUGCCGUUUAUGUUAAGAGUUUGCUGCUACUCUAGUUUAGUGUUCCUAGUUGUUAAUACUAUUUUGGUGAUGCAUGUUUAAGCCUUGUACAAUGCUAGAUGCUUAGGGUGGUGCUUAGAAAAAUAAACAGGGUUUUUUUGAAGCACCAGUGCCUAUUUCUACAGGAGAGACGCCUAGUUAUGCGUCUACCCUGUACAAAUAAGCACCUGUGCUUAAGAAAAGCCUAGUUUAUUUCUAUAAGCAACUCCCCUAAGCGCCUUGCAUUGUACAAGGCCUUAGCAACUCAAGUAUCGUACGGUGGUCUACGUUAUGGUUGCUGUGUUAUUCUGCCGUACGGUGAUGCAUGCUAGGAACUGUCAUAAUAUGACUAUGGUAGUUAUAGCUUCGCAUGAUUAUGUUUAGUGUAUAACUCAGCAUGUUCCUACCAUAUCUAUGGGUAAUUACAACUGAACUAUGCAUUAAUUUUUGACAAAAUGAAAGCAUGCAAAUGAUUGCCGAUUCCACCUAUUGGAAAAUCAAGCUUUGGACUGAUGAUGCAUUAUAUAUUGCAAUAAGUAGAGGAUGCUCAUGAUUGCCAAAAGUACCUAUUUCCACUUUCUGAUAAGAACUAAACGUGUAUCAAAUGAUGCUAAAAGUAGAGCAUGAGCAUAAGCAUGUAUCAAUGCAUUAGAUAUUGCAAUAAGUAGAGGAUGCUCAUGAUUGCCAAAAGUACCUAUUUCCACUUUCUGAUAAGAACUAAACGUGUAUCAAAUGAUGCUAAAAGUAGAGCAUGAGCAUGAGCAUGUAUCAAUUGAUGCUACCUAUUUGUGUUUGAAUGGGCUCAAUAAAGCUGGUGCUGGUUUAUGCUCUCUGCGUGACCGUGAUGGUAACGAAGACACUUGGUUGGCUAUGGUCUUGCUGUCAAAUUUAAGUUUCAGUUCUUUAAGAUUCUUUGUUUUUGCUGCUUGCUCGGGAUCGACUAGCUUUCUCGGGCGUCCACGUGCUCUCUUCCUUUUGGGGGAGUUGGGUGCACCAUUUUUGGGGGAGUUGGCUGCACCGGUAUCCUUCUGGGAGUUGGAUGUGUCAGGUUCGUUGGAACCAUCGGGAUUGUUGACUAAUUGUACGUCCUCUUCUGAAGCAUCAGGUAGAACUGCUUGCUGGGCAUCGUACACCUCCUUCUGUAUAAGAGAGAGUGCUGCGUUAGUUCUAAUCAUGAGACUUAUGAAAUAAAUGAUAUAUUCUUCAUGUAGCGCUAACCGUUAUGGGGAACUUAUAUGAUUCGAGACGAAGCGCAUUGCAAUUUGAAUGCAGUAAGGCUGUACAUAUUUUCCACCUGAAAAUAUCUAUCCUUGCCUAUAUUGGAUAACCGACACUGACGUCAGCAUAGCUUUCAAGCUAAACAAAUUACAAAUUUAAAUUAGGCAUUCAAUUACCUGGUUCAAAAUAUCGGUCAUUUCAUCCCCGUUCCAUGACAACAUGUACUGCAGUGUCCAAACCGCACAGGAAGUCUUGCAAUGUUUAGUUAAAGAUCAGUAAUCUUAUUCGUGUACGCAAAUAAUAAUUUAUGAGGCCAUGCGUACCCAUCGGUCUGUUGUGGUAUGUUCUCAUAGUGUUUUUUGGUCCAUUUGGCAAAAUUGAUGUUAUUAGCUGGUGAUAUCAACCCUUUCUUGACCGCUUCGUCAAUGCAGAACUGAAUCGAGUCCACCUAGGUUACGACAAGUUAUACAUAGGGUUACGGUACUUUGGGAGCUCAUGUUCCAUGCGGAUCAAGAGAGGCAGCAAGAGAACACUUACAAGAGAAUCUUCCUUGGUCUUGUUGCAAUGAUAAUUCAUGGAGUUCAGAGUCUGAAUUUCUUUUUUGUCAAAAUUAAACAUCAUUAGCAUCCAAUGGUUUUGGUGUACAUUGAGUGGGACAUGCACCUGCAGUAAAAUUUGGGUUGGGUUGAGAACCGAAAUUUGUCGUGUACAGUGUGUACGUAAACUAUAAAAGUGUGGAAAACGUGUACCUUUCGGCGCCCUACAAAUUUUCCUGCUACACGAGCUAACCAUGAUGCUGCACGUCCAACAGGAACCACCCCCUUCAUUUGUAACAGCUUUUCGGUUUCUUGAGGGGAUAUGAUUGAGGUAGUAUCAUUCUCAAUUUGGCUAAUGAGAGCAUAUGCCAUAAUAACCUGCCAAAUUUUCAAUCAUACAAUAAUAAGACAGUUGUUGCAGUAAUGAUGUACAAUAGAGUAUAAUGGGCUUACAUCACCAUAAAUGUAUUUCUCGUCCAAAUUUCGCUUCAGAUUUUCUGCUGUGAGGGAAAUGUCUCCGAUUCUAGCUAUUUCAACAGGGUCAUAUGUUCCGCGGGUGUAAACGGCUGUCUCUAUGUCCUCAUCCGUGAACUUGUAAUCAUUACCAAAGACAGGCUUCAUCGGAGUUAAUUGUGGUUCCUCAUUGUUUUCCCUCACAUGUCUUGCACUUGGUGUACUCAAAGUCCCUGUCGUGAUUUGGCUAGCCCUAGGAGUUCCUGUCAGGGAUGAAUUGCACACAUUGACUUGAUCCUACAAUGAACAAAGGUAGUUCAUCAUUAGUUUGUUACUUUUAGAUAUUAACGUGUUGGGCCAAUUUUGAUCACCUGCACGCCUCCUUUCUGUGACACUGAUUGUCGGUUCCUUGUAAAUUCGUAUUUUAAGUCCUGUAACAAUGCAAACAAUAAUGAACAUGAAGGAACAUAUUCAUAAAAAAUACAAAAUGCACAGUAUGACAUACAUGGAGUUCCCUCCUUAAGUCUUUAAUUUCGUCCUCGGCCUUCGACAACCUAGGAUUAGUGCCAGUUUUAGUCUUCAUGUCGAUCAAGUCUUCACCUAGAGUCUGGUAUUUGACAUCAAAUCUGUGCUCAAUUUCCAUUAACUUCCUGCAUACCUUCUUUUCAUGAUCAGCAAUGCGUGCAUUCAUGACUUCAACUACCAUUUCAAUCUGUGUAAACAAAAUAAAACCCCAUUGGUAACAAUAGCUAAAUGAAUGAGGUUCCAUGACACCUAUUUGUGAUAUUGCAAAAACAAAUAGUCUUUGGAGUACAUACUUGCUGGCUACUAAAUUGCUGUCCUUGUGAUGGUGCUCGAUACGAAUCAUGUUGAUGCACAUGUUCAUCUUUUUUUCUUGGAAAAUUAUUAGAAUUAUCGGACGGUCGUUGAGGAGCACAAAUUUCCAUGACAACCUAUUUUUUUAAAAUAUAAUGAACCAUUAGUACCAAAUAAAAAAUCGAAUAUAGAAAGUUCAAUUGUAGAUAGGUACCAGCCCGUUAUGAAGACCUCCUUUCUCGUAAGCAUCGCUUCUUAAAGUAGCCAUCAUUUCGUCCCAUCGUGCGAUCAAUGGAGGGGGUCUAGAAGCAUACAUUAAUCGGCCACUACGCACGUGCUCCCAGUACCAAUACUACACAAUAAAUUAGUUCAUCACCAUACAGAUAUGCAACAGAACAAUAAUUAAAGGACAUUAAGUAGUGAUCUAUCACUAACCUAGAGCAGAAUUAGAUUUCAUUGUAGAUUUACGUGAUCUCGAUUUCUAAACUUGUGAACGGACUUGAAGAAGUGAUUAAGUGUGAAACAUCCCCAGUUAAAUUUCCGAAGGUUUUCAAGAUCUGUAACGAGGUUGAGAAAUUUCGAGUCCACAUAAUGUUGUGCUGUUGGUGCUAGAACAGUACCAAUUGCGUACAGAAUGAACCGCCUCAGGAAAUCGCCGUCUGGGGCUUUGGAAGCUCGGAUCAUUGUUUCAAGGUCAGAAAUCAAAAUUUGCCCAUUGUUUGCAUAGGCGGUAAACAAUUCUGUGUCGGUUUGCAUUUCCAGAUGUGGCUCUAUAUCCUCCCCUUCUAUCGGAAUGCCAAAUAUACCUUGCACGUCCUCUUUUGUUAUAGGAAUUGGCGUUUUACCGAUGGUAAUGGAUUGCGUGUCCAUAUCUAUGCUCUUGGCUAGUCUAACCAACAUUAUGCGCCGUAGAGUCACUUCAUGCAUCUGGGUCAGACCGCCAAGACUGGUUUCUGAUAUGAUGUACUUUCUGUGGUCUUAUGAAAACAGUUUCAUGGUUUUUCCGAACCUUGUCUGUGAGCAUACUAACUUCAUAUGACCAUGCUUUUCGGCGAGUUCCUGUUACAUGCCAUUAAAUAUUACUGAGUACACAUGAAUUAUGUGUACGAAACGAUUGUACACAAACAGUAAAUUACUUACCACAUCGGUAAUUUCGGAGAUGGGCUUUUCUCCAUUAUUAAGGUUCGUAUCUGAAACUGACAUUGCUGCCUCGUAUGCAAUGAUAAAAUCAGGCUCAAUUAAUCUGAACAAAAUUGGAAAAUCUAUAACAAAAUUAGCAGAGAAUUAAUUUUAACAAAAUUAACUGGGUCAUUUAACAUAUGAUCCACUUAUGGGUUUAAGCACAGAACCUACUUGGGUGCAAAACCUAUGAGGGUUCAACAACUAAAGCAUCGGCGAACAACGAUUAUAAAGAGUUACAAUCAGCUAAGACCUUACCUCGGAGAUGGUGCCACCGAGUAGAUGGCGGCGGUUAGUGCGUCGGAAACUAUAAGUGCCGGUAUAGCGCGGUCGACGGCGCAAAGGAAAAACGGCACGUUCACGCGAGGAGGAGGCGGCGAGAAGAACACUGACGUCCGAGCCCUUAGAUCACGUUGGCGGUGGGCGGCGAGUGGUGGUCGCCGACUCCUGUAUUCCAUGGGCGACCGGCGUCUCCGAUCUGAUCUUGCAGCGGUCGUGGGAGGUGCAGACGACCCGGGUGGUUAGAAUGCGGAGCUGUAAUCGCGGGAUUUAGGGAGGGGUGGGCCGCGUGAGUUAUGUGAGAUUUGGAUAAAUGAUAUAAAGAAAUAAGAAAAUCUUGUGAACUCGGUGUGGGGUUUAUGGGCUUUAGGGUUUAGGGGUUUAGGGUUAUUAGGGUUUAGGGAUUUAGGGGUUUAGGGUUAUCAGGGGUUAGGGUUAUCAGGGUUUAGGGUUGAGUGUUUACAUGCAAGCCCGGAAAUGCGCGUGUCAGAGAACAUACUUGCAUGUGUAUGUACUAAUGAUCCCAAACUUUCUUAAUGGCAUCCCAUGACCACAUAGAGAAUGAAUGCAUAAUGGUUUCCAUGUUGGGCAAAAUUUUGAAUGUUUUUACGGUUUAGUGGGGGGGGUGGGGUUAGGGUUAUCAGGGUUUAGGGUUUAAGGGUUCUAGGGUUGACGGAACUAUGUUUGUCUUACGGUGGACGUAGCACACACACCGGACAUUGGUGGAGCGUUGGUCUACAAUGGAUUCCCUCUGGUAGCAUCGAUCCGAUCCAUUGAAUGGCUCGGCCAACAAACUUCGUGCCACAUAGAGCAUGCAUCCAUCCACUGGACCGGAUCAAUGUUGGGUUGGUUUCAUACAGGUGAGGAAAGCAGCUAGUGCUUUCGGGGUGUUGACAUGCUAGGCCGGAAAUGCGCGUGUCAGAGAUCGUACUUGCAUGUAUAACCCCAAACUUUUUUCAUGGCAUCCCAUGACCCCAUAGAGAAUGCAUGCAUAAUGGUUUCCAUGUGGGGCAAAAAUUUGAAUGUUUUUACGGUUUAGUGGGGGGUGGUGGUUAGGGUUAUCAGGGUUUAGGUUUUAAGGGUUUUAGGGUUAACGGAACUAUGUUUUUCUUACGGUGGACUUAGCACACACACCGGACAUUGAUGGAGCGUUGGUCUACAAUGAAUUCCCUCCGGUACCAUCGAUCCGGUCCGUUGACUGGCUCGGCCGACAAACUUCGUGCCACAUAGAGCAUGCAUCCAUCCACUGGACCGGAUCGAUGUUUGCUUGGUUUCAUACAGGUGAGGAACCCAGCUAGUGCUUUCGGGGUGUUGACAUGCUAGGCUGGAAAUGUGCGUGUCAGAGAUCAUACUUGCGUGUAUAAUCCCAAAAAUCUUUCAUGGCAUCCCAUGACCACAUAGAGAAAUUUUGAAUGUUUUUACGGUUUAGUGGGGGGGAGGGGGUGGGGUUAGGGUUAUCAGGGUUUAGGGUUUACGGGCUCUAGGGUUGACGGAACUAUGUUUGUCUUACGGUGGACGUAGCACACACACCGGACAUUGGUGGAGCGUUGGUCUACAAUGGAUUCCCUCUGGUAGCAUCGAUCCGAUCCGUUGAAUGGCUCGGCCGACAAACUUCGUGCCACAUAGAGCAUGCAUCCAUCCACUGGACAGAAUCAAUGUUGGGUUGGUUUCAUACAGGUGAGGAAAGUAGCUAGUGCUUUCGGGGUGUUGACAUGCUAGGCCGGAAAUGUGCGUGUCAGAGAUCGUACUUGCAUGUAUAAUCCCAAACUUUUUUCAUGGCAUCCCAUGACCCCAUAGAGAAUGCAUGCAUAAUGCUUUCCAUGUGGGGCAAAAAUUUGAAUGUUUUUAUGGUUUAGUGGGGGGGGGGUGGUUAGGGUUAUCAGGGUUUAGGUUUUAAGGGUUUUAGGGUUAACGGAACUAUGUUUGUCUUACGGUGGACUUAGCACACACACCGGACAUUGAUGGAGCGUUGGUCUACAAUGGAUUCCCUCUGGUAGCAUCGAUCCGAUCCGUUGAAUGGCUCGGCCGACAAACUUCGUGCCACAUAGAGCAUGCAUCCAUCCACUGGACCGGAUCGAUGUUUGGUUGGUUUCAUACAUGUGAGGAACCCAGCUAGUGCUUUCGGGGUGUUGACAUGCUAGGCCGGAAAUGUGCGUGUUAGAGAUCGUACUUGUGUGUAUAAUCCCCAAAAAUCUUUCAUGGCAUCCCAUGACCACAUAGAGAAUGCAUGCAUAAUGGUUUCCAUGUGGGGCAAAAAUUUGAAUGUUUUUACGGUUUAGUGNNNNNNNNNNNNNNNNNNNNNNNNNNNNNNNNNNNNNNNNNNNNNNNNNNNNNNNNNNNNNNNNNNNNNNNNNNNNNNNNNNNNNNNNNNNNNNNNNNNNNNNNNNNNNNNNNNNNNNNNNNNNNNNNNNNNNNNNNNNNNNNNNNGGUUUUAGGGUUGACGGAGCACACACAUCGGACAUUGAUGGAGCGUUGGUCUACAAUGGAGUCCCUCCUGUAGCAUCGAUCUGGUCCGUCGACUGGCUCGGCCGACAUACUUUGUGCCACAUAGAGCAUGCAUGCAUCCACUGAACCGGAUCAAUGUUGGGUUGGUUUACAUGUACAUGUACAGGGACCCGAAAUGCGCGUGUUAGAGAUCGUACUUGCGUGUACAUGUACCAUCCUUCCAUCCACUGGCUGGGCCGACAACCUUCGUGCCACAUUGUUCACAUUGUCCAAUUAACACUUUGUAUAGAUUUUUUUCAUAAAAAAUGAACGAAAUAAUGCAACUAAUCUGAACGUAACGUUUGGCAUGUAUCAAACCAAGUUGCCACUAUUCCUCAAAAAAAGAACCCAGUUAGCCACUAAUUGCGCCAAACAUAUCUCGUAAUUACGAACGAAAAUGGGUUGACAAUUAUAUCUGGAAAUUCUUGGACUGAAUUUAUUGCUCUUCGUUUUUUAGAGAACAAUAAGUUAGAAUGGUGGGCGGCGGGUUGGCAUGGGCACGACCAUGGCUCGGGCUUGUGUCAUAUGUGGUUCGACCCGCGGUCAGUGCACAUGUUUUCGAAGCCCCGAAAAGAUCGUGCUCGUUAAAAAAAAAACUUGCAUCGACGCGCAUUACUUCAAAAUAACUAAUUAACCCUACAAUCACGGAUAUAGACCUUCCCAUUCUACCGCAUAUCUACCCUAUCCUAACCACCCCCAUCUACCUUGUUUCUCCUCACAUAGCCAUCGCCGGGAUCGCGCCAUCACUUCUCAAGCGACCACGCCGACGCCGGAUUACAAAAGGUCUCUUCCACGGCUUCUCUCAUCUUCGAUUGCAGUGAUGAUUAUUUUUUCCAUUGAUUCGACCAACAAGUAAUUUCCGAAGAGAUUAGAAAAUCCAGCUUUUACUAUGGUUGAGUAGUUCUGUUGUGAUUCGAGUACAGGAUGUCAUGCAAGAGCUUUUUGAUUGAUAGUUUGUACUAGUUGAUCGUGUGAACUUAUUAUGAAUAUUUUUUCACAGUCGUAUUGUUUCGAAUUAGUUGGAUGAGGGUGUGGAUACAGUUUUCAUACUAUGGGUAUAUGUGUUGCUGUAGGGACCAUGGUCUCAGAGGCGCAUAACAACCGUGCGGAGUACGACAAGUCUUUGCAUGAAGCGCGUCGGGAGAUCGACUUGAAGGUGCAAAAGGAUCGCGCUGAGGUAGAUAAGAAACAGAAAAAAGAACGUUCAUACGUGGACAGGAUGAUAAAGGAGGAGCGUGAGGAGUUUUCCCUUAAGAUGGCGAAGAUGCGUCUUGAGAUUGAAGAAAAGUAUAAGAGGGACUGUGAGCACAUGGAAAAAAAGUUUGUCUUAGGCUACAAGGAAAUGCAUCAAAUGUUGCAGAAGGACCGGAAGCUUGUGGACAGUAUUAUACAGACAGAGCGAGUCAGGAUGGAUGCCUAUGUGUUGCAGGCAUGUGCGGAUAUGGACAGUAAGCUGCUACAGGAGCGGUCGGACAUGGAUUAUAAGGCCAUGCUGGAGAAGGUCCGCUUGGAAGGACAUAUGUUAGAAGACCGUGCGAUCUCACGGCCACCCCGACAACAUGUCUUCAAUUAUUCUCCCCCUGUCAGUAUCUCGCACCGAUUCUAUAUAUUAAGGACCUACGUAUUCUAUGAUAUAAACAUCUUCAAUUUGUGGCAACCUUAUGUCGGCGAUUGUAUGUAGGCUAAGCAUCAUGACACGACACAGUCGCCAUUCACUCGACACAUUGCGAUAGAGUCACCCGUUCAAUGCCACAUCAGUCCACCCCAACAACAUAUCGUCAAUUCUCCCCUUGUAAGUACCCCGCAACAAUGCAUACCCAAUAUAUGGUAUGACCUUUCAAAACUUGUGUGUAAACCCACUAUCGACGUUUCAUACGCAGGAUAAGAAACCUGUGAUGGCAGAGUCCCCAGUCACACCACAUGAAGGAUACAUUCCACAUAAUAAGGUGAGAAGGUUUGAGAUGGCACAACCCCCAGUCACUCCACAUGAAGGAUACAUUCCACAAAAGCAGGUAACAACGCCGCAAUGUUGCUAUGCACAUAAAAAAUUAUGUUUGCCCCUUUACUCAUUGAAUGUAUUAACUCCGAUGUGAGAUACUAGGUGCUGGUCAUGGAAUUUUUUGUUAGUAGGGAUCAUGAGAUGUCACAUGUCCCGAGAGCAUACUUUGAUGAACACCCGGCAGAAGUCAGAAUUUUUGAACCCGCCAAAGUUACCUACGAUCUCAUUAUGAGUGAAAUGAGAGAUACUUUUGGUUGCAAACUGGGAGCAGAACUGUACUACUUCUUACCCGGGUCUGCGUGGAAGCUGCCAGAAGGAAUGUUCUUGAUUGCAGGACCAGAUGAUGUACAAAAAAUGCUUUCUGAUCUGAAUGGCAGCAAGACAUGUCACCUGUACAUUGUGUACAAUAGAACUACGGGUUGUUUUCCCGAGGAUGACGUUGAUUCCGAGGUUCAAAUUUUACAUGUUACAUGCAUCUAGUUUAUGGCUACGUCUUUUUUGAGUUCUUCCUAAUACAAUUCCUAUGGUUUUCUACAGGAAGUGAGAAUCCAAGAAAUGGAGUGUCUUGCUAGAGAGUUGGCAGAGAAAGACCAAGAACAACUUAAGUUGUAUGGUUACAUUGAUGUUAAAGAGAAAAAGAUUGAAGCACGUGGGUCGUCGCCAAGCCCGACGCAAUCUCCAACGACGCAACGCAAGAGGUCACUGGAUUUUGGUAGUGCAGAAGACAAUAUGGAGUAGGCUCAAUUGUUUUUCAACCAGUUAAAGCUUCAAACCAGGAUUAUUUAGUUGCAAACAAACAUUUUGUUUUCUGUUUCACACUAUGUUCGCAAUUAUGGUACAAUUUAUUCAUGAGACAUUUCGUUGAACAACAAUGCAUGUGUUUUAUGAUCAAUCAUACAGUUGUUUCUGAGUUGUUUUUGAGAUGGCAUUGUGUCUAAAGAAGUUUCCAUCUAUAAAACUUGCCACGCAGUCGCAUCGGAAUCGCGUAUCACGCGAGAGGCGUGCGUCGCACGGGAGAGCGUCGCACGCGAGCUUGUUUUCGGGUAGAAAUCAUAACAUAUUUCGGAUAGAUAAAGUUCACGUCCUCCACCCGCGCAUGCAAACCCACGUCGCCGCCAUUCCCAUGCACGCAUGCCUCAGGCGCAGACAACGAGACGGCCCAUCCGAAUUAGGCCCAUCCGAAGUAGGACAUUAGAACCCUCCCCCCACUCCACCUAUUCCCCUCGCACUGUGGCCUCCCUCCCUCCAUCGCCAGAUCCCCCACUCGUCCCCCUCUGUCCGCCGCCCCUGCAUGCCGUCAGCGACUUCACCUCCGCCGCCCCCGCACCCCCCGAACGAGAUCGGCCAGAUCCAUCUCCUCAACCAUCGCAGGACAACGCAGGUACCCCAGUUUCUGUUGACGUCUCAAUGGUAUCCAUGCUGAUAAUGCUAGGUAGAUCGACUGAGUGUAGCAAUUUUGUGCCACCAUCUGAAACUUGUGAUGCUUCCUACUGUACAAUAUAGGACUUUUCAAAGUUCUGUUAUGAUGGCACUUUUUGACACAUACAGUAGAGCUGCGUUUUUAGUUGUUAUACUUUCAGUUACCAUCACUGCUUGGGAAAGGACGAAUUGGAUGCAUUCAGGUCUGCAGUUGAUAGUGUAUCAUCAUAAUAUAGGUGCUGUGUUGUGUGAUUCUUCAUGCUGAGAACUUCAGCUUUUUCAGUUAUAGUGAAAGGCUUCUGUAUAAAAAAAACUACUAAAUGAUCACAAAAACUUCUAGACAACAUUUUGUAUGAUCUGACCAAAACUUGAACUAAAUGAUCACCAAAAGUUGAAGGAUUUUGCAUCACAUCACAACCAUAAGUCUUCUGCACCAGCAUCAUAACAAUCACAUAACUACAUAACAAAAGCAAACUUGUUCAUCAUUACAAAAGAAAACUUGUUCAACAUAAGAAAAGCUAACUUGUUCAGCAUUACAAAAGCAAACUUGUUCAACAUAACAAAAGCUAACUUGUUCAGCAUUACAAACGCAAACUUGUUCAACCACAUAACUGCAAACUGAGACACAUAAUACCACAAACAACUCAAUAUCCCAGUAGUAGGGGUCAUCCCAAUGAUCCUCCACCUCUUGCCAGUACUCCAAACCUUCUUUGACGAUAUCGAUUUUCUUCCAUGCCUCGUAGGUGACGUACGCAUCUUUCGCUGCGUACUCGAUGAGGUUGUUUGGCAGUGGGCUGUCCCCCCAUAGUUUGUGGUCCAAUUCCUUGUUGAUCUUCUUCUUCAUUUCCUUGUACGAUGGGUGGAUGAGGCUGGCUGCAAACUCAGCCAAAGCCUGCCACUUCUUUCCAUUCCUUGGAACUCUCCAUUUGCGCUGCAUGUCGACGUACUUGUCGGGGUUGAUCUCCAAACCAGACAAUUUCAGCUUCUCCUUGUCACCUCCAAUGGAGAAGCCAACAAAGGUGUAGAGCUUCUUCUCCUGCAGGAGUGGGCGGAGUUCCUUAGGCCUGCAUCAAAUUAAUCUGGUGCAUCAAAUUCAUCCACUUCAAAAACUUCAGAAACUACUAAUUAGACAUAAAAUUCAGAACUAGUAUUGCAUCUACUCCAGAACUUCAGAACUAGUAUUGCAUCUACUUCAGAACUUCAGAACUAUUGCAUCUACUUGAGAAACUUCUGAAACUUCAGAACUAUUGCAUCUACUUGAGAAACUUCAGAAACUACUAAUUAGACAGAAACUUCAGAACUUCAGAACUAGUAUUGCAUCUACUUCAGAACUUCAGAACUAUUGCAUCUACUUCAGAAACUACAGAAACUACUAAUUAGACAGAAAGUUCAGAACUUCAGAACUAGUAUUGCAUCUACUUCAGAACUACAGAACUAUUGCGUCUACUUCAGAAACUUCAGAAAUUACUAAUUAGACAGAAACGUCAGAACUUCAGAAACUUCAGAACUGGAUGUUUUUACCAUUUGGUUGCCGCGGUGAUGUGGUAUACCAGGACGAGAUCCUCCACGCAUAACUGUAGAACUGCAGCCUUUUGCGGAGGUUCAUCUUCCCUCGUAUACUCGACAUCAACGCCGAUCGACUGAGGAAACAUGCCGCCGAGCCUCCUCCUGAUCUCGCGGAUCCUCUUGUCGGCUUCGUAUGGAUUGCUGGUGCAUACGACAUCCAGCUUCUCCUUCAGGUGGAUAUCAACCAUGAGCUUCACGGUGUAGUCCUGCUUCUGCCCAGGGAUCGGAACGUCGUCGUCGACCACCAGCGGCUCCUUGCCAGACGCCUCACCUUGGUGAUGCUUGCCAGAUGGAGGGGAGUUGCUCCACGAUGCCUCCGCCAUUCUCUUGGCAGACGGAGGGGAGUUGCUCCACGAUUCCUCCGCCAUUGCCCUCCUGGCCAGCGAUGGUGGAGGCAGAGGGGAGUUGCUUGAUGGUGGAGGCAGAGGGAGGAAGAUGGAGCGGCAAUGGAAUAAGGAGGGAGGCAGAGGGAGGCAGAUUGAGCGGCAAUGGAAUAGGAGGGGAGUUCCCUGCGUCGUGGGGAGUUGCCAGUGGAGGGGAGUCGUGGGGAGUUGCCAGUGGAAGGGAGGCGUGGGGAGUUGCCUCGAAAACUCAAACGUCCUGCCCUUUGGCCCUCGAAAAAUCUGGAGGGGAGACGUGGGCUCUUUGGUUUGUCCCGUUUCUGAAACAAAAAAAAAAUAACAGCCAUAUUUUGCUCUCACUGCAACCAUAUUAAGAGAUGAAAAAUGGCACCAAAAAGUCACUGCAGCCAUCCUCAAUGGCACGAAAACAGCACCAAAACAACAUCAGCCAAAACAACAAAAAAUGCAUCCAUUGAUCGUUCUUUAUUUCUUCUAACAUUCCGUGUUCUGUGCAGUGAGAUAGACACAACACUACAAAUGCAGGCUGACAACGCCCGCGAUUUCAUGACCAUCAGGACAGACGGCGGCUUCAUCCACGCUCCGGUCCCAUGAGUCGAGUCGAAAGUAGUGAUGCUAUGUGUAGUUCUGAAACAUUGAUUGGCUCAUGUUGUAAUUAAACUUUAAUGAAUUGUAUGUCUCUUUGGUUUGGACAGUCGUUAAACUUAGAUGUACUCGAUGCUAUUUAUUACUAGGACCAUGAAUUGUGCUAUUAAUGUCUUGCUUUUCUCUUCCGAUCCUUUUGUUGCAUACUUAUUUAUUGCUUAUGUAUUGUCUGUUGUUUGGCUUGUGCAUAGAGAUGCCGUCGUAUGUCGUGUACAAGGUAAGGUUCCCGGAGUCUACGAUGACUGGGAGGAGUGUCGGAGACAGGUUCACCGUUUCAGCGGUAACAGUUACAAAGGGUACACCACUAGGGUGGAGGCGGAAUCUAGAUAUGCCCGCUAUCUAGCGGGAGAGAGGAGGGAGCGUUGGAGGAAACGGAUGAAGACCAAUUUCAUCGCGAUGAUGCUCAUCGUGAUGACCGCAACUCUCUUCUAUGUGAUGGUAGUUUAGAUGAUCGAUAUCGACUUGUAAUGUGAAGACAAACUCGCUACUCGCGGUCUCGAGACUUGUAAUGUUCUAUCUUUGUUCGGUCUUGUGAAUUCAGAGACUAAUAUGAUGAAUUGUAUUCGGAGAGCUAUCUUCUAUUGUAUUGGAUGAAUGUGCUGUUGCUGUGUGGUGUUGUCUAUAUUCUCUCCAAUAAUAUAUUUUGUAACCUGUGAAAAUAUCAGAAAUGUGCAUUUUUUCGACCACCUCCAAAUCACCUCAGUUUUGGAACACAUGAUCUCUUCCACAAACAAAACUAGGUUUCCAAGUUUUUGUAUUUUUUUAAAUUUUUUUGAAUUUAUAAUGCCCUCUAGACUGACUGCUGAAAACAUCGGUCUAUGCCUCAAGGGGGCAUUGUAAAAUAUUUUUUUUAAAAUUUUCUUGCAUACACAUGUUUUGCACAUGUGGGUCACCAUGUACAAGAAAAUUUGGGUGAUUUGGAGGUGGUGGAAAAAUUCACAUUUUUUCAAAAACUGACUUAAGUUAAGACCAAAUGGUCCCUCCGGGAAUGCGGGCAUUUUUUCGACCACCUCCAAAUCACCUCAGUUUUGGCACACAUGAUCUCUUCCACAAACAAAACUAGGUUUCCAAGUUUUUGUAUUUUUUUAAUUUUUUUUGAAUUUAUAAUGCCCUCUAGACUGACUCCUGAAAACAUCGGUCUAUGCCUCAAGGGGGCAUUGUAAAAUAAAUUUUUUCAAAAUUUUCUUGCAUACACAUGUUUUGCACAUGUGGGUCACCAUGUAUAAGAAAUUUUGGGUGAUUUGGAGGUGGUGGAAAAAUUCAUGCAAGACUCGGGGACCUGCAUGCAAGACUCGGGGACCUGCAUGCAAGAGUCGGGGACCUGCAUGUGAAUAGUGAUUCAUCAAGGCCAUGACAGCUAUUGGCACAGCGGCUGCCGCCCGAUUUGUAUGCAGCGAAGAUGAACGUGCAUGGAGGUUUUUCAAAGAUUUCCAAGCACACCCCAGUGGGCCCCGCUUAUUUAAAAAAGACGUCAGUCAUUAUUGCUCUGUAAAUGAAGAAUAUGCAUGAUGAUUAUGAAUACGCAUGACAACCAUAGUAAGGGUGAAGAAUCAUAGUGCCCAAUUUGUCGAAAUACAUCAUCAUUCUUAAAGUUGGACAUCAAAUGAUACACACAGAAAAUGGAAACGAAAGAUGUCGAACUAAUAUAGUAACAUGCCAGUACAACUGCACUUCACUAAAUUACUGUCACGAUGAAAUAGAAUGUAAAGACCACGUCACACAAACAUGAAUGACACACGACUUUCUCUGGCUCAUCGUCGGUUCAUGCUGUAUGUAGAUAUCACAGUUCAGCCUCGAUAUCCUACACAGAAGAAUAGAAUAAAUCACAUGGACAUCAAUUAUGAGUAAAACACAUGCAAAAAAAAUAUGAAAAUAUUUUGUACCUCUAGCAAUUUAGCGCAUUUACGUCGAUUGUGACCUGGUUUCUUGCAAUAGCCACAGAUAUUCUGUGAUGUUGACUUCUUUGUCUUUGCCUGCAGCCUUUUCUUCGGUGCACCUCGUCCUGGCACAUGCACGGGAUCCAGAACCUUAUCAACUUUCUGUGAGUGUGGCAUCAACGGGCCAAACCUAAUGCUGUUAUGCUGAGCAUUAGUUGACUCCUUGCUGUCAGCUUGUUCAAAACUUGAUUGCUUGCCAUGAUGUUGUGCUUGCAAAAGCAUCUUUAGACGGUGAUAGUCCUCAUCAGAGUGGCAUGCCUGGAAACUUGCGGCGUGACUACAAUUCCGCAACUCGCGGUACCUCUGCAGGCUUAGCGAAUAGUCAUACAUCUGGUUUUUUCUGGUAGGUGCGUAUGCACAUUUUGCAUUCAUAGUCCACCUAGUGGGAACGCAACAACCGGGCAGAAUUGUUUGUUUUAAAAUCCCCAAUAUGUAAAAAAAUGUGGGAACAUGGUGUGCCUGCGCAUUCCAGCUUAUGGCAAGAACAACUCACCCUGUGCAAAAGACCUCCUUGCUCUUCAAUGCGCACUCCAAACUUUUUAUCCAUUCUUUCCUGCUUGGACACAACAUAAGUGGAAUCUUCUGAUCCAUCUAGUAUCUCUCUAAUCUGACAUUUGCUGACAGAAUCUAUGCUCCAUAAGACCAUCUUAAAGACACUAGGUGUGAAAACUGUUGCGGCGUGUUUCUCAAGCGGCGAAGCAUUUUCCUCUGUAAAUGGAACGGACUGCAAGGCUUCAACGUCAUGGAGAGCUUCGUUAAUCCGUCGCGACGCAAGGCAACGCUCAUAGUGCUCUAGCCUUUCAAACAACGACAUCUUACCCUCAAGAUGCGUAUGUAGCACAGAGUUCAAGCUCUCACUCCUCUGAUUACUGCUCAAUCCUAGGAAACAACGCCCCUCAAGAUAUGGAGCACACCACAACUUUCUCAUCUGAUACAUCUGAUGCAGCCAAGACUCCUCACUGGUUACUUUAUUCCGUUGUAAGAAUUGUAUUCAUUUUAUCUCAUGCUCUUCAAUGGAAGAAGUAUCAUAAAUGAAAGAUCUGAAUUCCUCCUUUACGUCGUCAUCAUGCAGAUGGCGUACAAUGUUCUGCUGAAUGUGCCAUAUACAUAGUCUAUGGUUUGAGUCUGGCCAGACCACCCUUAUUGCUCUCUGCAUUGCAAGGUCCCCAUCUGUGAUCACAGAUAUCGGAUGCUUCUGUGCCAUGCAAUCAGAAAAGGUCCGCAACAUCCACUCGUAUGCCUGGCUUGUUUCAUGAGAAAUUAAUUAUACCACAGCCAAAUAUAACAGUGCUGCGGUGGUGAUUCAACCCGACAAAAGGCACGAAUGGCAGAUUGUAUUUUUUGGUUCUGUAUGUGCUAUCGAAAACAAUGACGUCUCCGAAAGCCUCGUAGUCAAGUCGCGAUUGACUGUCAGCCCAGAACAGUCCCUUCAGAUGGCCAUGCUCGUCUACCAAGUACUUGAAGAAAAAAAUCCACAUCUCGCUCUCGCCUCGCCAUCAUAUGCAUGAUCACCGUUUUAGCAUCACCGGCACUGAUUGUCUCUUGCUUAUUAGCAUGGCAGAAAUUAUAAACGUCCCUCUUUAUGCAUCCAACCUUAUCAAAUCCACCGUAUUGGAAGCACAAAAUAUCCAUAAUACGGUAUUUGUGGAUCCCACAUUUUCCAUGUCCGCAAUGUCCGCUUUCUGCUCAUCGCUAAUUCGUCUGUGCAAACGCAACAGACAAGAAAGAUCCCAUGGGGCUAGAGGAUGGUUGUGCUCAUCGAUGAAAUCCUUGACAAACCACCGACCGGUUUCCUCUUGUCUCGUAAUGACCAAUUUAGCAUUACAUCCAACACGAGUUAAACUUUGUGGCCUCCUUUUUCUAUCUUCCAUCUUUCUUUUCAUGUGCUUAUCUUCGCGAAACCCUUGACGACUACACACAAUUUUCCUUAAAAUUAUGUAUUUGUUGGAUCCAUCCCACUCAACGUAGCUUUUCCUCACACUAAAACCUUUUUCAAGAGCAUAUUUGUUGUAGAAUUCAUAGCCUUCAGCCUCACUAUCAAACAUCUUGCUGACAACAUUUACAUACUCGAACAUACUCUCAUCACUUGCAUACGCCAUGUCUUCCUGCAUAUGACAUGUGAGGGAAACCAAUCAUCAACAUCUUUCUGUUUAUCAAUGUUGCAGGUGUAAAAUAGCUCAUAGGCAAAGACAAGUGCAUGGAAAAGACUUUGCUGGUUUGACAUGUGAGGGAAACCAAUCAUCAACGUCCAACAAGUACUAUCCUAGCAUGGAUGAUGACUCUAAUAAACUGGAUUCAUACCUGGUACGCGCGAAGAGAUGGGAUCGCCCGCCGCCGUCGCCGCCUAUUCCGUCGGCACAGAUCCGGCCUUCUUCUUCUUCGGUGACAGCGUGGGGGGCUGGGGUUGGUUGGGUGGAGGACGAGGACGAUGAAUUUAUUCCUCUCACCAGGCAGGUCGAGGACGGAGAAGGUCAGGAGCGGCGACGAAUAGAUCGGAGGAGGUUUCUGAUCUGGAUCGAGUAUACAUGGAUCUGGUCUUCGGGUGAUCGGUUCAAGAAAAGAUUUUUGUCCCUGGACCAUUAUGCCCUUAUCGCUUAAAUUUAAUCAAGUUUAAUUCCCUGCAAGAUCGGUUUUCUAAUAAUAAUCAGACGUCACCAGACAUGUAAGUACUGCUAAGUACUCCGAGUACUAACCUAAUCACCGUAAAACUGCUCCCAAAUAGGAUGACCGCUUUAGAGAAAGCAAUAAGGGAAUUCAUGGACAAUCAAACUGAGAAUGUAAUUGUAUUUGUACCGAUGAUGGGAACGAGUUCACAGAUUCUCUGACUUAGCCGAGACUAUGGCAGAGGGAUGUCAAAUUCAUAUAACUGUUCAUGCACCAUCCGACGGCAGCAAGCAAAGCCCAUGGACACACAGCAUUAUCGACCUAGAAGGGUGAUGCUGCCCAGUCCAACGCAUAGGCGAAGCAGGAAAAACGGUGCGAGGCAGCCGAAGUAUGAAUGAAGGAACCGAUCACCAAGCUGCCGAAGGAUGAGCUGCUCUGCUCUUGUGAGAGAUGUUAAAUUUUGUAGUGUUCAUUUUACCAUUCUGUAAUGUGCACUUAUGUUGCUGCUCAAUUCAGUUCCCUUCUCCCACUUGCAUUUCACAGUCAUGUCCAGUUCAGUGAGCAAAGUCUCUAAAAUUCAGCUCAUUCAAUUAUAGCAUUCAUUCACAACAACCACACUGAGAGAUCUCAACCCCUUCUGCCACUGAGUGAUCUCAACCCCUUUUGCCAUACUCAAUUCUGUUAUCAAUUUUACAACAUCAAGUGAUAUGCUCACAAAUUGACAAUGUCAAUGACCUGCUCUUAAUUUACAACAUCAUUGAUAUGCUAAAAAAUGAUAAUGUCAAUGAUCUGCUCUCAAAGUACUUCCUCUGUCCCAUAAUAUAAGAGCGUUUUUGACACUGUCUGAAACUCUCUUGUUGUUUUGUGUAAAUCAGUUUACAAUCUGAAACUCAACUGAUGUUUGCUUGUAAAUCAGUUAAUAAUGUGCUCUCAAUUUCCAGGCUAGCUUCGCCGGCGCCUGCUCGACGGAGUGGUGCAUCGAUGGCAGCCACGGCCGUCCUCCUCUUGCGAUGGUGCGGGGUCAGCGAUAUGGUGCUUGCUUAGUGCCUCCAGCAACAGCGGCGCGACCUCGCGGCGUGAUACAACCAUGACUUGUAGCCAAGGCAGCGGCAGUCGUCCUCCCAGGGCGAUCGCGAGCAAUGGCGACGGUGAGCGAUGGGUUGUUUAUGGGCUGCACAGCAUUGUUGUUAUUCUUAUUUGUUUUCACCUUGCUGCUGUCGAAUGACGCAUGUGAUUUGGAUUAGACGUCCGUCUAGCGUAAAAAUAAUACUCGAUGCUAUACAGCCCAGGUCGGGAAUCUCGAAGUGAGUUCACGAUGGAGAUAGCGAGAGUAUCUGAGCUCGUGCUCAGAACAUCACUUUCCUUAGGAAAGGGGGAACCAGGAUCGAUUCCUGGUCUCAAAGGUGACAGCGGGUGCUGCUACCAGUCCGAUCAAGUUCCGUUCGUGAUAAGUUGUAGGUGCGCGUCGUACUUGAGCCGAUUCAAGCCGGUUUUCUUUGAGUUUUUUUCCUUCUUCAUUUUUUUCAUUCUUUUUUGCACUCGUUUCUUCAUUUUUUUUCAUUUUUUUCUUUUGUUUAUUUUCUUUGUUCUUUUGGUUAUUAUUGUGCAUUUUUUGUAUACGUCAACAAUAUUUUUUUAAUACACGUCUAACAUUUUUCAAAUACAAAUCAACAAUUUUUGCAAUACAUGGCCUACAUUUUUGUAUACACAUUUUUUAAAUGCUUGAUUAUCAUUUUUCAAAUACAAUAUUAACAAUUUUAAUACAUGGUUAACAUUUUUUUAUCAUUUUUACAAAAAAAUAUAUUAAAUGCUUGAUUAACAUUUUCUUAAUAGAUGGUCAACCUUUUUUUCAUACACAUUUAACAUUUUUUCCAAACGCUUGAUUAACUUUUUCAGACCCUUGUUCGACAUUUCUUUCAAAUGCUGGAUUACAUUUCUAUAUACUUAAUCAAAUAUUUCUAUCAUUUUUAAUACAUGGUCAACAUUAUUAACAUACACAUUUAACAAUUUCCCAAUUCUUGAUUAAUAUUUUUUAAAUACUCGUUUAACAUUUCCCAAUUUUAGCUAGUUAUGGUGCAAACUAAGUGUUGUGCCUCGUCUUAAUCUAUCUAUAUAUCCUAUCUUCUAUUCGGCGACGUGGUUGCGCCCGUGGCGGAUGUGGUCGCCGCCAUGACUUGGUCGAUCUCCCUCUUCUGUAUUCGAGAAAAAAAGAUCUCCGUCUUCUCUUUAGAUGAGAUGGGGAGGAGAUGGUGAGAGAUGAGGUCAACGGCAUUGGGGAGAGGAUAAGGGUAGACGCCAGUGGUGAGGCGGCGUGAGGAAGACGAGGUGGUUGGCGGCUAGGACGCAUGAGGGGAGGGGAAGGGUGGGGAGUGGUGCGUGGAGGGAAGUGGGUGUGCGGCGUGCCCAAUUCACGAGAGAGGAGAGAGGUCGGCAAGGGAGCGACCCAUGGGAGUUUUUUUUCUUCUGAGUGAGCCUAGUUGGGCUAUCUGCUGCGUCCAAGGCCCAAUGCACCACAUGUCUUCAAAUUGGCCACCAGUAGCAGCCCUUAGAACAGACAUGGCCAUUUUGCAAAUUUAAAGACAUAAGUUUUUUGCACGCAUGAAAAACAUAACACGUAUCUUUUCACACAUAAUGAACUAUAGGUACUACCCAAAAAAACAUAAUGAACUAUAGGUUGUCACAAGAACUCAUGCCAUCCCACAACCUCCCUCUGACCCUGCCAACAUUGUUGCAACUGCACUCGCAAGUGUUAUCGUAGAUGAUCAUUUGCAUGAUUUCCCGUAAAACAAAAUAAGAUCUACAAACGAAUAGAAGCUACACAUACCUUGGCAUGCACACACAUUGCAAGCCAUACUAAGCAGAUAAGUGUUAAAAACUUGUACUCCCUCAUCUCAGUUUACAAGUCUUCCACGUGUAUCUAGGUCGUCAAUUUAAUUAUAUAAAAUAAAUUGUUUGACAUAAAUUAUAUCAUUAGAAAAUAGAAAUAUAUAUUUUGUAAUGUAUGCCUCUUAUUAAGUUGGUCAAAUUAACAAUCUAGGUACACAUGCAAGACUUUUAAACUAAGAUGGAGGGAGUACAACAUAUACAACACUUACGACAAGUAAAAGCAAUUUGAUGAGUCAUGGUCUAUCAAAGCAAGCUACAUUACUAAUCUAAUCUAUGUUAACAUGUCACACAUGAUUACAAUCUUUUUUGUGUGCAAGUCAAGCCUAUCUAGUCUACAUGUAACAACUUGUAGAACAUUACAAAAUUGAUGUUUGCUAAUAACUUUUAGAACACUACAACACUUGACAUGUAAAAAGAGUUUGAUGAGUCAUGACCUACUAAAGCAAGUUACAUUACUAGUCUCAUCUAUCUUAACAGGUCACACAAGAUUAAAAACUAAGUUCUGUGCAAGCAAUGCUUAUCUAUUUUACACAUAACAACUUGCAUAACAUUACAAACUUAGUUUUAGAAAAUUAGGCAACCUAGAUUAGUGUUUAGUUGUAAAGUGAAUAAGAUGAGUCAUGUGUGUUAUCACACCUUUUUAUGGUGGAAUGAUAGUGCCACCAAACACAACAUACCAAAAUAUGAUUUUGGGAAGCAUCCAAGCACUUUCCAGACAAGCAAAUGCCAAUUGUGAAAGAGAUAAUGCCAUGGCAGCUAUAAAUAGGCCUGUUGCAUGAUGAUCAUCCUUCCUCAUUCAUCAUUCUCAUAAGUAGAGUGCAUCAUUCAAGCCAAGCAAGCACUGGUCAAUACAAAUCCAUCAUGAAGACAUUUCUCAUCAUUUCCCUCCUUGCUAUCGUGGCGACCACCGCCACAACUGCAGUUAGAGUUCCAGUGCCACAAUUGCAGCCGCAAAAUCCAUCUCUGCAACAACCACAAGAGCAAGUUCCAUUGGUGCAACAACAACAAUUUCCAGGGCAGCAACAAACAUUUCCACCACAACAACCAUAUCCGCAGCCGCAACCAUUUCCAGGACAACAACCAUAUCCGCAGCCGCAACUAUUUCCACAGCCGCAACCUUUUCCGCCACAACUUCCAUAUCCGCAGCCGCAACCAUUUCCCCCACAACAACCAUAUCCACAACCGCAAACACAUCAUCUGCAACCACAACAACCAAUUUCGCAGCAACAAGUACAACAACAACAACAACAACAACAACAACAACAACAACAACAACAACAACAACAACAACAACAACAACAACUACUACUACAACAACAAAUCCUUCAACAAAUUCUGCAACAACAACAACUGAUUCCAUGCAGGGAUGUCAUCGUCUUGCAACAACACAACAUAGCGCAUGAAAGCUCACAAGUAUUGCAGCAAAGUAGUUACCAAGUGUUGCAACAAUUAUGUUGUCAGCAGCUGCGGCUGAUCCCCGAGCAGUCGCGGUGCCAAGCCAUCCACAAUGUCGUUCAUGCUAUUAUUCUACAUCAACAACAACAACAACAACAACAACAACAACAACAAGGACAACAUCAACCGUCGAGCCAGGUCUCCUACCAGCAGCCUCAGCAACAAUAUCCAUCAGGCCAGGGCUCCUUCCAGCCAUCUCAGCAAAAUCCACAGGCCCAGGGCUUUGUCCAACCUCAACAUCUGCCCCAACUCGAGGAAAUAAGUAACCUAGCGCUGCAGACGCUACCAGCAAUGUGCAAUGUCUACAUCCCUCCAUAUUGCUCGACCACCAUUGCGCCAUUUGGCAUCUUCGGUACUAACUGAGAAGAGAAGAACUCUAGUACUAGAUAUAUGAAACACCGUGUUCUUAGUCCAUGGUUUGGUCGUUGUACCGUUGAAAAUAUAAGGUGACAUGCACUAUCAUGUAAGAACCCGAACUAUACUAGUUCAAACAUGGGAAUAAAAGACAAACACAUGUCUUGUCUGCAUAUGAUUGUUUAUUUGAGUUCCAUUCCUAUGCCCAUUCACAAGUUCACCCGUAAUUAUAUAUAUUACACAUUAAGUAGAUAUUUAUGUUGCAUUAAUAUGAAGAUAACAAAAUGAGUCUGAAACUUGAAUUAAAUUGAAGUAUUUUCUUGGACUUUCAAAUUGUGUAUUAUUAAAGUAGUAAGGAUUAUCCACAUCCUUGGCUUGCCCUUCAUCAAUUAUUCCCAGAGAAGCUUUCAGUUCAUAAAUCAAUUACAUUGAUUUUUGUGAAUGGUACAUCUCCUCAUCACGAGUAUCAUUACGGCUACUCCAAAUCGCUCACAUAACCGAAGCAUUAAUAGCGCCCUUCUUGCAUCCGGAAAUAUGGAUCGAAGAUAUCACUUGACCAUGUUUCCAGGUGCAACCUUGGGAUUUUUAUGUCAAAAUAUUCUCAAGCAAAAUCCAAGAAUAAACUUGCAUGCUCACGUGUGAUGAGGGCAGAUGAAGUAACAUUUCCUCCCCAUGGCCACACAUAGGGCACACACAUAACCCCAUCACAUGCCUUUUUAGUUAUGCAUAUGAAAGGUAGGAUGUUUUUAAUUACUCUCUACCAAAAUACUCUUAACUUGGCUUGUACCCUAAUAUUUCGUUGCCUUUUCAAUUGUUCUUCCCCAUUAGACAAAGUAGACAGUCCAUCUACCACACCGUACCUUGUGUCCAUCAUUGCUCUGUACAACAAUUGAACAGAACAAAUGUCAUUUCUUUACGAUACCCACGACCAAAUGUCCUUUGCUGGAUUGUUUGGUCGUGGCAUAUUAAGGAUGGCCACCUCAUCUCAUGGGGUAAACACCUAAUGAAUGAAAGGAUUGUUCUAGUCGCCCGUGUUUUUCAUCGAUAAGAUCAUCUACAAGUUGGACCGAAGUUUCUCACAUGCAUCAUAGUGGUUUCAUUAGCGGCGUGCCCUGCACCCAUUUAUCACGUCGUAUCUCUGUAGUAUGUGCAUUCCCAAUUUGUCACAGCAUACCCUCCUUCAAACCUUCUUUCCCUUUCAGAUUAGCACGCCAAGUUAGCUAUGCACUAUGCGGGAACCAGCAUUUGAAAAAAAAGAAUCUCAUUUCAUGGUAUCUUCCAUGAAGGACCCUCGUACAUUAGCUAUCUAGGUAGAAAUAGCCAUGUAUGUUUGGCAAACUUUGCAUAAGUGAAUAGAUCAAGGUCGUGGAACCCCAAGCCUCCAAUUACACACGGCCUCUCUACCAAUAAGAUCUCCAAAGACAUCAAGGAUACAGACAGCCAAAAAAGAAAAUAAAAAGAAAAAAAAUAAAAAAUACCCUGCCAUGGUGAUCAAUCACAAGCAUCAGCAGCACUCUAACCACCACCAAAGACAAUGCCCAGAUUACAAAAAAAAAUUAUCCAAAAACAAUGCCCCCAAGAAGGAAACAAUACACAAGCGUUGUCGUUGCCCGAUCGAAGAUCGUGGGUUUUCACCCUGGAAAAUUUUUGAGUUCACCCAAAAACAAUGCCUUCAACAAGGCCAUUGCCAAGUACAACAAAUAUGGUCGAGACCUUGGGUUUUCACCCUAGGAAUUGAGACUCGAUGCUCGAGGAGUACCAGCAAAAAUGCAGUCCACUAGUGUUGCCGCCCCCACUUGGCAAGGCCACUGUUGCAAGUCACCAAACACCUGGCAUAUAGUUGUCAUCGCAUCCAAUACACCCUUCGGCCGAAGCUUCAAGACCUUGAUCCGUCUCCAGCGUAUCUAUAAUUUUUGAUUGUUCCAUGCUAUUAUAUUAUCUGUUUUGGAUGUUUUAUAUGAUUAUUAUGGUAUUUUAUAUGAUUUUUGGGACUAACCUAUUAAACUAGAGCCCAGUGUCAGUUCCUGUUUUUUCCUUGUUUUAGAGUUUCGUAGAAAAGGAGUACCAAACGGAGUCCAAACGGAAUUAAACUUUUGCGAUGAUUUUUCUUAGACCAGAAGACAUCUAGAGGACUUGGAGUGCAUGUUAGGAAAGCCACGAGGCUGCCACAACGACAGAGGUGCGCCCCCACCCUUGUGGGCCCCUCGUGACUCUACCGACAUAUUUCUUCCGCCUAUAUAUUCUCAAAUAUUCCAAAACAUACUAGGAGAGCCACAAAAACACUUUUCCACCGCCGCAACCUUCUGUACCCGUGAGAUCCAAUGUAGGGGCCUUUCCCGGCAUCCUGUCGGCGGGGGAUUCGAUCACUUAGGGCUUCUACAUCAACACCAUUGCCUCUCCGAUGAAGCGUGAGUAGUUUACCACAGACCUAUGGGUCCAUAGCUAGUAUCUAGAUGGCUUCUUCUCUCUCUUUGAUUCUCAAUACCAUGUUCUCCUCGAUGUUCUUGGAGAUCUAUUCGAUGUAAUACUCUUUUUGCGGUGUGUUUGCCAAGAUCCAAUGAAUUGUGGAUUUAUGAUCAGGUUAUCUAUGAGUAUUAUUUGAAUCUCCUAUGAAUUCUUAUAUGCAUGAUUUGAUAUCUUUGCAAGUCUCUUCGAACUAUCGAUUUGGUUUGGCCAACUAGAUUGGUUUUUCUUGCAAUGGGAGAAGUGCUUAACUUUGGGUUCAAUCUUGCGGUGCUCGAUCCCAGUGACAGAAGGGGAUGAUACGUCCCCAACGUAUCUAUAAUUUUUGAUUGUUCCAUGCUAUUAUAUUAUCAACCUUGGAUGUUUUAUAUGCAUUUAUAUGCUAUUUUAUAUGAUUUUUGGGACUAACCUAUUAACCCAGAGCCCAGUGCUAGUGCCAGUUUCUGUUUUUUCCUUGUUUUAGGGUUUCGAAGAAAAGGAAUAUCAAAUGGAGUCCAAACGGAAUGAAACCUUCAGAAAAUUUAUUUUUGGAAAGAAAGUAAUACGGGAGACUUGGAGUGCACGUCCGGGGAUCAACGAGGAAGCCACGAGGCAGGGGGCGCGCCCACCCCUCUUGGGCGCGCCCUCCACCCUCGUGGGCCCCUCGUGGCUCCCCAAAUGUAUUUCUUCCGCCUAUAUAUAUCCAUAUACCCCAAAACGACCGGGGAGCACAAUAGAUCGGGAGUUUCUCCGCCAGAAGCCUCCGUAGCCACCGAAAGCUAAUCUAGACCCGUUCCGGCACCCUGCCGGAGGGGGAAUCCCUCUCCGGUGGCCAUCUUCAUCAUCCCGGUGCUCUCGAUGACGAGGAGGGAGUAGUUCUCCCUCGGGGCUAAGGGUAUGUACCAGUAGCUAUGUGUUUGAUCUCUCUCUCUCUCUCUCUCUCUCUCUCUCGUGUUCUUGAGGUGAUACGAUCUUGAUGUAUCGCGAGCUUUGCUAUUAGAGUUGGAUCUUAUGUUGCUUCUCCCCCUCUACUCUCUUGUAAUGGAUUGAGUUUCCCCUUCGAAGUUAUCUUAUCGGAUUGAGUCUUUAAAAAUUUGAGAACACUUGAUGUAUGUCUUGCCGCGUGUAUCUGUGGUGACAAUGGGAUAUCACGUGAUUCACUUGAUGUAUGUUUUCGUGAUCAACUUGCGGGUUCCGCCCAUGAACCUAUGCAUAGGGGUUGGCACACGUUUUCGUCGUGAUUCUUUGGUAGAAACUUUGGUGCACUCUUUGAGGUUCUAUGUGUUGGUUGAAUAGAUGAACUUGAGAUUGUGUGAUCCAUAUCAUAUAAUCAUACCCACGGAUACUUCAGGUGACAAUGGAGUAUCUAGGUGACAUUAGGGUUUUGGUUGAUUUGUGUCUUAAGGUGUUAUUCUAGUACGAACUCUAGGGCUGUUUGUGACACUUAUAGGAAUAGCCCAACGGAUUGAUUGGAAAGAAUAACUUUGAGGUGGUUUCGUACCCUACCAUAAUCUCUUCGUUCGUUCUCUGCUAUUAGUGACUUUGGAGUGACUCUUUGUUGCAUGUUGAGGGAUAAUUAUGUGAUCCAAAUAUGUUAUUAUUGUCGAGAGAACUUGCACUAGUGAAAGUAUGAACCCUAGGCCUUGUUUCGACGCAUUGCAAUACCGUUUACGCUCACUUUUAUCAUUAGUUACCUUGCUGUUUUUAUAUUUUCAAAUUACAAAAACCUUUAUCUACCAUCCAUAUACCACUUGUAUCACCAUCUCUUCACCUAUACAAUUUACCAUUGUAUUGGGUGUGUUGGGGACACAAGAGACUCUUUGUUAUUUGGUUGCAGGGUUGCUUGAGAGAGACCAUCUUCAUCCUACGCCUCCUACGGAUUGAUAAACCUUAGGUCAUCCACUUGAGGGAAAUUUGCUACUGUCCUACAAACCUCUGUACUUGGAGGCCCAACAACGUCUACAAGAAGAAGGUUGUGUAGUAGACAUCAAGCUCUUUUCUGGCGCAGUUGCCGGGAAGGUGAGUGCUUGAAGUUAUAUCUUUAGAUCUUGCAAUCGAAUCUUUUUGUUUCUUGUUUUAGCACUAGUUUAGUUUAUAAAAGAAAACUACAAAAAAACGGAAUUGAGUUUACCUCACACGCUUCAUCUUUUUAAUAUCUUUCGUGAGUAUGAUGGAAAGAAAAAUUGUGCCAAAGUGUUAGAAGAAGAAUGCAUUAAACUGUUUGGCAUUAAAUAUUUGAAUGAUGAGCAUUAUUGCAAUGUUGUUAGUAUGAAUUCCUUGAAUAUCCAUAGUACUAAUGAUGAUUGCACUAGUUAUGAUGAAAAUGUCUCAUGUAAACAUGUCAAUUUUUGUGGAGUGCAUUGGGUUUGCAAGUACACACCAAUUAGGGAAGAUAGAUUUUGCAAGAGGCAUAAGUACUUAGAAACUAAAUUGUUGCAAGAAAGGCUAGAUGAAUGUGCUGAAAAUUUAAAUUUUCUUGGCCAUACUUGUGAGCUUUGCAAUGAACAUGGUUAUUUAACCAUCCGAUGCAAAUUGUUUCAUGAUCUAAUCGUUUCCAAAAAUUGUGAUGACUUGAUUUCCCUUGCACAUCAUAAUGAACUUAGUUUGCUUAUGGGUUAUGAGGAAAUGAAAUGUAUAACUAACUAUCUUCCAGUAUUUUCCCAUGAUAAACUUCUUGGAUUUGACCUAGAGGAAAUUUAUAUGUAUUGUGCGGUGAAUUGCAUUGAAAACCCCUAUAUUGUCAAUUACAUAAAGAAAAGAAAACAAAUAGAGGAUGAACAGAAUACUAAUGAAAGGGAAGAGACCUCCCAAUAUCCUCCUAUUAUUUCUUAUGAUGAACCAGGUAACGAGGAGGAGCCUCCUAUUCAACCAAUCUCAUUAAUAAGGAGCUCCAAAAAGAGGAUUGAACCCACACACGAUGUAGUGAAGAAGAAGAAAAGAAAGAGGAAGAGAGGUAAAAAGAUAUCUCUCCCAAAUAAUGCUGCUCCUAUUACUAUUGUGCCUCAUGAAAAUAUAAUUGUGGAAAAUAAUGAUACUUCUUAUGAUCUUGAAAAUCCUUUUGUCACUUGCUUGGAAGAAUAUGAUAAUUGCUAUACUAUUGGUGCUAUCCAUACUAUUAAUGAUGAGAGUGAUUAUGCUUAUGAUAUGAAAAGGCCCAAGCUUUGGGAUGCUAUGUUUGAUGAAGAUGAUGUUUUUGAGAAUAUAUUUGCUACAAUUAAUGUUUGUCCCAAGCUUGGGGAUGCUAUGUUUAAUCAAGAUGAUAUUUUUAGUCUCCCAAGUUUUGAUAUGCAAAUUUAUAAUGAUGAUAGCAUGCCUCCUACUUAUGAUGAUUAUUGUGAUGAUACUUAUGCUAUAAAAAGUAAUGAUUAUAUUUAUAAAACUUGUCAUGAUUAUGGUUACCCCUUUUCUGAACAUUACUCUUUUAAUGUGGAAACAAUUUAUAGUAUUCGAGUUUCUUAUGAUACUCCCACUAUUCCGAAUGAGAAGAAUUUUGCUUGUGUAGAGAGUAAUAAAAUUUCUAUGCUUGUAGAUCAUGAAAAGAAUGCUUUAGGUGCUGGUUAUAUUUUUGAAUUCAUUCAUGAUGCUACUGAAAAUUAUUAUGAGGGAGGAACAUAUGCUUGUAGGAAUUGCAAUAAUAUCAAGUUUCCUCUCUAUGUGCUUAAAGUUUUGAAGUUAUGCUUGUUUUGCCCUCCUAUGCUAGUUGAUUAUUGUUCCCAUAAGUUGUUUGCUCACAAAAUUCCUACACAUAGGAAGUGGGUUAGACUUACAUGUUCUAGUCAUAUGCUUCAUGAUGCUCUCUUUAUGUUUCAAUUCUUAUCUUUUAUGUGAGCAUCAUUGAAAUCGUCAUGCCUAGCUAGGGGCGUUAAACGAUAGCGCUUGUUGAGAGGAAACCCAACUUUAUUUUUGUUCCUUGAUUUUUGCUCCUGUCUAGCAAUAAAUAAUUUAUCUAGCAUCUGUUAUGAUUGAGUUUUUAUGUUAGAACCGUUGGGAAGACUUGGGGAAAGUCUUGGCGAUCAUGCUGUAAAAAAACAGAAACUUUAGCGCUCACGAGAAUUGCUGACAUUUUUUAUUGGAGAGUGCUAUUUGGUUAAUUAUUUUUGCAGAUGAUUAAUAGAUAAAUUCCUCACGUCCAGCAAUUUAUUUUAGAAUUUUUGAGGCUCCAGAAGUUUGCGUUAGUUACAGAUUACUACAGACUGUUCUGUUUUUGACAGAUUCUGUUUUUCGUGUGUUGUUUGCUUAUUUUGAUGAAUCUAUGGCUAGUAAAAUAGUUUAUAAACCAUAGAGAAGUUUUAAUACAGUAGGUUUAACACCAAUAUAAAUAAAUAAUGAGUUCAUUACAGUACCUUUAAGUGGUGUUUUAUUUUCUUUCGCUAACGGAGCUCACGAGUUUUCCAUUUUAAGUUUUGUGUUGUGAAGUUUUCAAGUUUUGGGUAAAGAUUUGAUGGAUUAUGGAAUAAGGAGUGGCAAGAGAAUAAGCUUGGGGAUGCCGAAGGCACCCCAAGGUAAUAUUCAAGGACAACCAAAAGCCUAAGCUUGGGGAUGCCCCGGAAGGCAUCCCCUCUUUCGUCUUCGUUCAUCGGUAACUUUACUUGGAGCUAUAUUUUUAUUCACCACAUGUUACGUGUUUUGCUUGGAGCGUCAUUUUAUUUCAUUUUUUUGCUUGCUGUUUGAAUAAAGUAUCAAGAUAUGAAAUUAUUAAGUGGGAGAGUCUUCACAUAGUUGCAUAAGUAUUCGACUACUCAUUGAUCUUCACUUACAUCUUUCAGAGUAGUUUGUCAUUUUCUCUAGUGCUUCACUUAUAUCUUUUGAGAGCACGGUGGUGGUUUUAUUUUGUAGAAAUAGAUGAACUCUCGUGCUUCACUAAUAUUAUUUUGAGAGUCCUCAGAACAGCAUGGUAAUUUGCUUUGGUUAUGAAUUUAGUCCUAAUAAGAUGGGCAUCCAAGAGGGAUAUAAUAAAAACUUUCAUAUAAGUGCAUUGAAUACUAAGAGAAGUUUGAUACUUGAUGAUUGUUUUGAGAUAUGGAGAUAGUGAUAUUAAAGUUGUGCUAUUUGACACUACUAGGAAAAGGCCUACUAAUGGCGCACCAGUUUUGCCUACUAAUGGCGCAUCACUGGUGCGCCAUUACUAGCACGCCAUUAGUAAUUUUUAGUAAUGGCGCACCACUGGUGCGCCAUUAGUAUCGGCCACGGUGCGCCAUUCGUAUAGGCCACUGGUGCGCCAUUAGUAUAGGCCACGGUGCGCCAUUAGUAUUUUUGGAUUUUGAAGGCGGGAAAAUAGUAGUGGCGCACCGUCUAACCCCCACCGUGCGCCAUUACUAUUUUUGAAUUUUGAAUUUGGAUCUGGAUCGUGAUUUUUUUGCCCAUUUUUUGCUCGUUUUUUUGCUCGUUUUUUGGCACAAUAUUAUUUCAAAUUUUGUUCUUGUUUUUGGAUCUUGUACGUUCUUUUGCCGUGUUCUUUUGCCGGAGAGGAGUUCGCCGGAGAGGAGGAGGAGGAGGUCACCGGAGAGGCGCUCGCCUACAUCGCCGGAGAGGAGGAGGAGGUCGCCGGAGAGGAGUUCACCGAAGCAUCGGAGAGGAGGAAGGAGAAACCAUGAGGGAAUGGGAGGAGAGGAGGGAGGAGAAACCAUGAGGGGAGGGGAGGAGAGGAGGGAGNNNNNNNNNNNNNNNNNNNNNNNNNNNNNNNNNNNNNNNNNNNNNNNNNNNNNNNNNNNNNNNNNNNNNNNNNNNNNNNNNNNNNNNNNNNNNNNNNNNNNNNNNNNNNNNNNNNNNNNNNNNNNNNNNNNNNNNNNNNNNNNNNNNNNNNNNNNNNNNNNNNNNNNNNNNNNNNNNNNNNNNNNNNNNNNNNNNNNNNNNNNNNNNNNNNNNNNNNNNNNNNNNNNNNNNNNNNNNNNNNNNNNNNNNNNNNNNNNNNNNNNNNGGAGAGGAGAAGGAGGUCGCCGGAGAGGAGGAGAUGGAGUGGAGGAGAGGAGGAGAUGGAGUGGAGGAGAGGAGAGGAGGAGAUGGAAUGGAGGAGAGGUGGAGUGGAGGAGGUGCGCCCAGCCAUGUAUACGACAUAGUAAUGGCGCACCGUGGGCAGGUGCGCCAUUACUAACUUUUUUUAUUUUUUGAUUUAUUUUGAAUUUUGAAGGCGGGAAGAUACUAAUGGCGCACCGUGGGCAGGUGCGCCAUUAGUAACUUUUUUUUUAUUUUUGACUAAUUUUGAAUUUUGAAGGCGGGAAGAUACUAAUGGCGCACCGUGGGCAGGUGCGCCAUUAGUAACUUUUUUUGACUAAUUUUGAAUUUUGAAGGUGGGAAGAUACUAAUGGCGCACCACGGGGUGGUGCGCCAUUAGUAACUUUUUUUUAUUUUGUUGACUUAUUUUGAAUUUUGAAGGCGGGAAGAUACUAAUGGCGCACCAUGGGCAGGUGCGCCAUUAGUAAGUUUGAAUUAUUUUUAAUUUUUUUGCCUCUCCAGAUCUUAAAAGCCCCAUAUAUUUUUUUCUGUUAGGUUUUUGAGGAUUUUAAAAAUGUUUAACGGAUUCCCCGGUUAAAUUUGGAUGUAACUUUUCGAGUAGAUGAUUUUUCAUAUAAAAAACUUUUUCAUCCGAGUUAGUAUGCAAAAGUUAUGCCCAUUUUUACAAAUUNNNNNNNNNNNNNNNNNNNNNNNNNNNNNNNNNNNNNNNNNNNNNNNNNNNNNNNNNNNNNNNNNNNNNNNNNNNNNNNNNNNNNNNNNNNNNNNNNNNNNNNNNNNNNNNNNNNNNNNNNNNNNNNNNNNNNNNNNNNNNNNNNNNNNNNNNNNNNNNNNNNNNNNNNNNNNNNNNNNNNNNNNNNNNNNNNNNNNNNNNNNNNNNNNNNNNNNNNNNNNNNNNNNNNNNNNNNNNNNNNNNNNNNNNNNNNNNNNNNNNNNNNNNNNNNNNNNNNNNNNNNNNNNNNNNNNNNNNNNNNNNNNNNNNNNNNNNNNNNNNNNNNNNNNNNNNNNNNNNNNNNNNNNNNNNNNNNNNNNNNNNNNNNNNNNNNNNNNNNNNNNNNNNNNNNNNNNNNNNNNNNNNNNNNNNNNNNNNNNNNNNNNNNNNNNNNNNNNNNNNNNNNNNNNNNNNNNNNNNNNNNNNNNNNNNNNNNNNNNNNNNNNNNNNNNNNNNNNNNNNNNNNNNNNNNNNNNNNNNNNNNNNNNNNNNNNNNNNNNNNNNNNNNNNNNNNNNNNNNNNNNNNNNNNNNNNNNNNNNNNNNNNNNNNNNNNNNNNNNNNNNNNNNNNNNNNNNNNNNNNNNNNNNNNNNNNNNNNNNNNNNNNNNNNNNNNNNNNNNNNNNNNNNNNNNNNNNNAAUUUUUUUACUAAUGGCGCACCGUGGAUGUGGUGCGCCAUUACUAGUUCAACUAGUAAUGGCGCACCACCCCCACGGUGCGCCAUUAGUAGUUUUGAAAAAAAUUAAAUUUUUUUACCAAUGGCGCACCGUGGAUGUGGUGCGCCAUUAGUAUUUGGACACUAAUGGCGUACCAACACAUGGUGCGCCAUUAGUAUAUAGUAAUGGCGCACCACAUGUCUGGUGCGCCAUUAGUGUCAAUUCCAUCUAUAGCCCUUUUCCUAGUAGUGUGAGUAGUUGUGAAUUUGAGAAAUACUUGUGUUGAAGUUUGCAAGUCCCGUAGCAUGCACGUAUGGUAAACGUUAUGUAACAAAUUUGAAACAUGAGGUGUUCUUUGAUUGUCCUCCUUAUGAAUGGCGGUCGGGGACGAGCGAUGGUCUUUUCCUACCAAUCUAUCCCCCUAGGAGCAUGCGUGUAGUGCUUGGUUUUUGAUGACUUGUAGAUUUUUGCAAUAAGUAUAUGAGUUCUUUAUGACUAAUAUUGAGUCCAUGGAUUAUAUGCAUUCUCACCCUUCCAUCAUUGCUAGCCUCUUCGGUACCGUGCAUUGCCCUUUCUCACAUUGAGAGUUGGUGCAAACUUCGCUGGUGCAUCCAAACCCCGUGAUAUGAUACACUCUUUCACACAUAAACCUCCUUAUAUCUUCCUCAAAACAGCCACCAUACCUACCUAUUAUGGCAUUUCCGUAGCCAUUCUGAGAUAUAUUGCCAUGCAACUUUCCACCAUUCUGUUUGUCAUGACACAUUCAUCAUUGUCAUAUUGCUUAGCAUGAUCAUGUAGUUGACAUAGUAUUUGUGGCAAAGCCACCGUUCAUAAUUAUUUCAUACAUGUCACUCUUGGUUCAUUGCAUAUCCCGGUACACCGCCGGAGGCAUUCAUAUAGAGUCAUAUCUUGUUCUAGUAUCGAGUUGUAAAUAAAUAGAAGUGUGAUGAUCAUCAUUAAUAGAGCAUUGUCCCAAAAAAAGGAAGAGAACGACCAAAUAAAAAAGGGAAGCCCCCCACCCAAAAAAGAAAAGAAAGGCCAGAUAAAAAAUAAAAAAAAUAAAAAAAAUAAAAGGGACAAUGCUACUAUCCUUUUUCCACACUUGUGCUUCAAAGUAGCACCAUGAUCUUUAUGAUAGAGAGUCUCUUGUUUUGUCACUUUCAUAUACUAGUGGGAAUUUUUUAUUAUAGAACUUGGCUUGUAUAUUCCAACAAUGGGCCUCCUCAAGUGCCCUAGGUCUUUGUGAGCAAGCAAGUUGGAUGCACACCCACUUAGUUUCUUUUGUUGAGCUUUCAUACAUUUAUGGCUCUAGUGCAUCCGUUGCAUGGCAAUCCCUAAUCCUUGCAUUGACAUCAAUUGAUGGGCAUCUCCCUAGCCCAUUGAUUAGCCGCGUCGAUGUGAGACUUUCGCCUUUUGGUCUUCUCCACAUAACCCCCUCAUUAUAUUCUAUUCCACCCAUAGUGCUAUAUCCAUGGCUCACGCUCAUGUAUUGCGUGAAAGUUGAAAAAAGUUUGAGAUUACUAAAGUAUGAAACAAUUACUUGGCUUGUCAUCGGGGUUGUGCACAAUGAGAGCAUUCUUGUGUGACGAAAAUGGAGCAUGGCCAAACUAUAUGAUUUUGUAGGGAUGAACUUUCUUUGGCCAUGUUAUUUUGAGAAGACAUGAUUGCUUAGUUAGUAUACUUGAAGUAUUAUUAUUUUUAUGUCACUAUUAAACUUUUGUCUUGAAUCUUAUGGAUCUGAAUAUUCUUGCCACAAUAAAGAGAACUACAUGGAUAAAUAUGUUAGGUGGCAUUCUACAUCAAAAAUUCUGUUUUUAUCUUUUAGCUACUCCAGGACGAGCAGGAAUUAAGCUUGGGGAUGCUGAUACGCCUCCAACGUAUCUAUAAUUUUUAUUGUUCCAUGCUAUUAUAUUAUCAACCUUGGAUGUUUUAUAUGCAUCUUUAUGCUAUUUUAUAUCAUUUUUGGGACUAACCUAUUAACCUAGAGCCCAGUGCCAGUUUCUGUUUUUUCCUUGUUCUAGGGUUUCGAAGAAAAGGAAUAUCAAAUGGAGUCCAAACGGAAUGAAACCUUCGGAAAAGUUGUUUUUGGAAAGAAAGCAAUACAGGAGACUUGGAGUGCACGUCAGCGGAUCAACGAGGAAGCCACGAGGCAGGGGGCGCGCCCACCCCCUGGGCGCGCCCUCCACCCUCGUAGGCCCCUCGUGGCUCCCCUAAUGUAUUUCUUCCGCCUGUAUGUACCAAUAUACCCUAAAACGAUCGGGGAGCACAAUAGAUUGGGAGUUCCGCCGCCAGAAGCCUCUGUAGCCACUAAAAGUGAAUCUAGACCCGUUCCGGCACCCUGCCGGAGGGUGAAUCCCUCUCCGGUGGCCAUCUUCAUCAUCCCGGUGCUCUCCAUGACGAGGAGGGAGUAGUUCUCCCUUGGGGCUGAGGGUAUGUACCAGUAGCUAUGUGUUUAAUCUCUCUCUCUCUCUCUCUCGUGUUCUUGAGGUGAUACGAUCUUGAUGUAUCGCGAGCUUUGCUAUUAUAGUUGUAUCUUAUGUUUCUUCUCCUCCUCUACUCUCUUGUAAUGGAUUGAGUUUCCCCUUCGAAGUUAUCUUAUCGGAUUGAGUCUUUAAAGAUUUGAGAACACUUGAUGUAUGUCUUGCCGCGUGUAUCUGUGGUGACAAUGGGAUAUCACGUGAUUCACUUGAUGUAUGUUUUCGUGAUCAACUUGCGGGUUCCGCCCAUGAACCUAUGCAUAGGGGUUGGCACACGUUUUCGUCGUGAUUCUUUGGUAGAAACUUUGGUGCACUCUUUGAGGUUCUAUGUGUUGGUUGAAUAGAUGAACUUGAGAUUGUGUGAUGCAUAUCGUAUAAUCAUACCCACAGAUACUUGAGGUGACAAUGGUUUGCUCACAAAAUCCCUAUGCAUAGGAAGUGGGUUAGACUUAAAUGUUCUAGUCAUAUGCUUCAUGAUGCUCUCUUUAUGUUUCAGUUCUUAUCUUUUAUGUGAGCAUCAUUGAAAUCAUCAUGCCUAGCUAGGGGCGUUAAACGAUAGCGCUUGUUGGGAGGAAACCCAACUUUAUUCUUGUUCCUUGCUUUUUGCUCCUGUUUAGCAAUAAAUAACUUAUCUAGCCUCUGUUAUGAUUGAGUUUUUAUGUUUUAAUUAGUGUUUGUGCCAAGUAGAACCGUUGGGAAGACUUGGGGAAAGUCUUUGCGAUCAUACUGUAAAAAACAGAAACUUCAGCGCUCACGAGAAUUGAUGGGCAUCUCCUUAACCCAUUGAUUAGCCGCGUCGAUGUGAGACUUUCUCCUUUUUGUCUUCUCCACAUAACCCCCUCAUUAUAUUCUAUUCCACCCAUAGUGCUAUAUCCAUGGCUCACGCUCAUGUAUUGCGUGAAAGUUGAAAAAAGUUUGAGAUUACUAAAGUAUGAAACAAUUGUUUGGCUUGUCAUCGGGGUUGUGCAUGAUGAGAGCAUUCUUGUGUGACGAAAAUGGAGCAUGACCAAACUAUAUGAUUUUGUAGGGAUGAACUUUCUUUGGCCAUGUUAUUUUGAGAAGACAUGAUUGCUUAGUUAGUAUGCUUGAAGUAUUAUUAUUUUUAUGUCAAUAUUAAACUUUUUUCUUGAAUCUUAUGUAUUUGAAUAUUCUUGCCGGAAUAAAGAGAACUACAUGGAUAAAUAUGUUAGGUAGCAUUCCACAUCAAAAAUUCGGUUUCAUUAGCGGCGUGCCCUGCACCCAUUUAUCACGUCGUAUCUCUGUAGUAUGCGCAUUCCCAAUUUGUCACGGCAUACCCUCCUUCAAACCUUCUUGCCCUUUCAGAUUAGCACGCCAAGCUAGCUAUGCACUAUGCGGGAACCUGCAUUUGAAAAAAAAGAAUCUCAUUUCAUGGUAUCUUCCAUGAAGGACCCUCGUACAUGAGCUAUCUAGAUAGAAAUAGCCAUGUAUGUUUAGCAAACUUUGCAUAAGUGAAUAGAUCAAGGUCGUGGAACCCCAAGCCUCCAAUUACACACGGCCUCUCUACCAAUAAGAUCUCCAAAGACAUCAAGGAUACAGACAGCCAAAAAAGAAAAUAAAAAGGAAAAAAAUAAAAAAUACCCCACCAUGGUGAUCAAUCACAAGCAUCAGCAGCACUCUAACCACCACCUAAGACAACGCCCAGAUUACAAAAAAAAUUCUCCAAAAGCAAUGCCCCCAAGAAGGAAACAAUACACAAGCGUUGUCGUUGCCCGAUCGAAGAUCGUGGGUUUUCACACUGGAAAAUUUUUGAGUUCACCCAAAAACAAUGCCUUCAACAAGGCCAUUGCCAAGUACAACAAAUAUGGCUGAGACCUUGGGUUUUCACCCUAGGAAUUGAGAGUCGAUGCUCGAGGAGUACCACCAAAAAUGCAGUCCACUAGUGUUGCCGCCCCCACUUGGCGAGGCCGCUGUUGCAAGUCACCAAACACCUGGCAUAUAGUUGUCAUCGCAUCCAAUACACCCUUCGGCCGAAGCUUCAAGACCUUGAUCCGUCUCCAACGUAUCUAUAAUUUUUGAUUGUUCCAUGCUAUUAUAUUAUCUGUUUUGGAUGUUUUAUAUGAGUAGGGCGUUUUGGUGCCCAGGCUCAUCUGCACCCGGUUAGAAAAAAUUCAUAAAAAAUUUAAACAAAUUCAAAAAAUUCCAAAUAAAAUUUGUAUGGUAGACAAUUUGAUGCGUGAGGCCCGCCUCAAAUUUCAAGUCAUUUGGAUAUAUGAGAAGCUCUCAGCAAAAAAGACAAAUCGGACUAAAACAGUACAUGAACAGUAAACAUUUUUACAGACCCUCAAUUUGUCUUUUUUGCUGAGAGCUGCUCAUAUGUUCAAAUGACUUGAAAUUUGGAGCGUGCCUCACGCAUCAAAAUUUCUAUCACACAAAUUUUAUUUGGAAUUUUUCGAAUUUUUCUAGUAUUUGUUUUGAUUUUUUUCGUCGGCACAGGUGCAGAUGAGCUCAGGUGCAGAAAUGGAUUUUCGGUUUUAUUUGCACUAUUAUGCUAUUUUAUAUGAUUUUUGCGACUAACCUAUUAAACUAGAGCCCAGUGCCAGUUCCUGUUUUUUCCUUGUUUUAGAGUUUCACAGAAAAGGAAUACCAAACGGAGUCCAAACGGAAUGAAACUUUUGCGAUGAUGUUUCUUAGACCAGAAGACAUCUAGAGGACUUGGAGUGCACGUUAGGAAAGCCAUGAGGUGGCCACAAUGACGGAGGGCACGCCCCCACCCUUGUGGGCUCCUCGUGACUCUACCGACCUAUUUCGUCCGCAUAUAUAUUCUCAAAUAUUCCAAAACCUACUAGGAGAGCCACAAAAAAACUUUUCCACCGUCGCAACCUUCUGUACCCAUGAGUUCCCAUCUAGGGGCCUUUUCCGGCAUCCCGUCGGAGGGGGAUUCGAUCACGGAGGGCUUCUACAUCAACACCAUUGCCUCUCCGAUGAAGCGUGAGUAGUUUACCACAGACCUAUGAGUCCAUAGCUAGUAUCUAAACGGCUUCUUCUCUCUCUUUGAUUCUCAAUACCAUGUUCUCUUCGAUGUUCUUGGAGAUCUAUUCGUUGUAAUACUCUUUUUGCGGUGUGUUUGCCGAGAUCCGGUGAAUUGUGGAUAUAUGAUCAGGUUAUCUAUGAAUAUUAUUUGAAUCUCCUAUGAAUUCUUAUAUGCAUGAUUUGAUAUAUUUGCAAGUCUCUUCGAACUAUCGAUUUGGUUUGGCCAACUAGAUUGGUUUUUCUUGCAAUGGGAGAAGUGCUUAACUUUGGGUUCAAUCUUGCGGUGCUCGAUCCCAGUGACAGAAGGGGAUGAUACGUCUCCAACGUAUCUAUAAUUUUUGAUUGUUCCAUGCUAUUAUAUUAUCAACCUUGGAUGUUUUAUAUGCAUUUAUAUGCUAUUUUAUAUGAUUUUUGGGACUAACCUAUUAACCUAGAGCCCAGUGCCAGUGCCAGUUUCUGUUUUUUCCUUGUUUUAGGGUUUCAAAGAAAAGGAAUAUCAAACAGAGUCCAAACGGAAUGAAACCUUCGGAAAAGUUAUUUUUGGAAAGAAAGCAAUACGAGAGACUUGGAGUGCACGUCAGGGGAUCAACGAGGAAGCCACGAGGCAGGGGCACGCCCUCCACCCUCGUGGCUCCCCUAAUGUAUUUCUUCCGCCUAUAUAUAUCCAUAUACCCUAAAAUGAUCGGGGAGCACAAUAGAUCGGGAGUUCCGCCACCAGAAGCCUCCGUAGCCACCGAAAGCCAAUCUAGACCCGUUCCGGCACCCUGCCGGAGGAGGAAUCCCUCUUCGGUGUCCAUCUUCAUCAUCCCGGUGCUCUCCAUGACGAGGAGGGAGUAGUUCUCCCUCAGGGCUGAGGGUAUGUACCAGUAGCUAUGUGUUUGAUCUCUCUCUCUCUCUCUCUCUCUCUCUCUCGUGUUCUUGAGGUGAUACGAUCUUGAUGUAUCGCGAGCUUUGCUAUUAGAGUUGGAUCUUAUGUUUCUUCUCCCCCUCUACUCUCUUGUAAUGGAUUGAGUUUCCCCUUCGAAGUUAUCUUAUCGGAUUGAGUCUUUAAAGAUUUGAGAACACAUGAUGUAUGUCUUGCCGUGCGUAUCUGUGGUGACAAUGGGAUAUCACGUGAUUCAUUUGAUGUAUGUUUUGGUGAUCAAGUUGCGGGUUCCACCCAUGAACCUAUGCAUAGGGGUUGGCACACAUUUUCGUCAUGAUUCUCCGGCAGAAACUUUGGGGCACUCUUUGAGGUUCUAUGUGUUGGUUGAAUAGAUGAAUCUGAGAUUGUGUGAUGCAUAUCGGAUAAUCAUACCCACGGAUACUUGAGGUGACAAUGGAGUAUCUAGGUGACAUUAGGGUUUUGGUUGAUUUGUGUCUUAAGGUGUUAUUCUAGUACGAACUCUAGGGCUGUUUGUGACACUUAUAGGAAUAGCCCAAUGGAUUGAUUGGAAAGAAUAACUUGGAGGUGGUUUCGUACCCUACCAUAAUCUCUUCGUUCGUUCUCCGCUAUUAGUGACUUUGGAGUGAUUCUUUGUUGCAUGUUGAGGGAUAGUUAUGUGAUCCAAUUAUGUUAUUAUUGUUGAGAGAACUUGCACUAGUGAAAGUAUGAACCCUAGGUCUUGUUUCAACGCAUUGCAAUACCGUUUACGCUCACUUUUAUCAUUAGUUACCUUGCUGUUUUUAUAUUUUCAGAUUACAAAAACCUUUAUCUACCAUCCAUAUACCACUUGUAUCACCAUCUCUUCGCCGAACUAGUGCACCGAUACAAUUUACCAUUGUAUUGGGUGUGUUGGGGACACAAGAGACUCUUUGUUAUUUGGUUGCAGGGUUGGUUGAGAGAGACCAUCUUCAUCCUACGCCUCCUACAGAUUGAUAAACCUUGGGUCAUCCACUUGAGGAAAAUUUGCUACUGUCCUACAAACCUUUGCACUUGGAGGCCCAACAACGUCUACAAGAAGAAGGUUGUGUAGUAGACAUCAGGGGAACCGACACAUAUUGUAGUGUUUCCAUCGAGGAUAACAAGAUGGGGUUUUCGUCAUAUUGCUUGAGUUUAUCCCGCUACAUCAAGUCAUCUUACUUAAUGCGUUAUCCUGUUCUUAUGAACUUAGUACUCUAGGUGCAGGCAGGAGUCAGUGGACGUGUGGAGUAAUAGUAGUAGAUGCAAGCAGGAGUCCGUCUACUUGAUACAAACAUGAUGCUUAUGUUCAUGAUCAUUGCCUUAGAUAUCGUCAUAAGUUUGCACUUUUCUAUCAAUUGCUCAGCAGUAAUUUGUUCACCCACCGUAAGAUUUUCUAUCUUGAGAGAAGCCUCUAGUGAAACCUAUGGCCCCGGGGUCUACUUUCCAUCAUAUAAGUUUCUGAUCUACAAUUGUGUUGGUUGAAUAGAUGAAUCUGAGAUUGUGUGAUGCAUAUCGUAUAAUCAUACCCACGGAUACUUGAGGUGACAAUGGAGUACCUAGGUGACAUUAGUGUUUUGGUUGAUUUGUGUCUUAAGGUGUUAUUCUAGUACGAACUCUAGGGCUGUUUGUGACACUUAUAGGAAUAGCCCAACGGAUUGAUUGGAAAGAAUAACUUUGAGGUGGUUUCGUACCCUACCAUAAUCUCUUCGUUCGUUCUCCGCUAUUAAUGACUUUGGAGUGACUCUUUGUUGCAUGUUGAGGGAUAGUUAUGUGAUCCAAUUAUGUUAUUAUUGUUGAGAGAACUUGCACUAGUGAAAGUAUGAACCCUAGGCCUUGUUUCAACGCAUUACAAUACCGUUUACGCUCAGUUUUAUCAUUAGUUACCUUGCUGUUUUUAUAUUUUCAGAUUACAAAAACCUUUAUCUACCAUCCAUAUACCACUUGUAUCACCAUCUCUUCGCUGAACUAGUGCACCUAUACAAUUUACCAUUGUAUUGGGUGUGUUGGGGACACAAGAGACUCUUUGUUAUUUGGUUGCAGGGUUGCUUGAGAGAGACCAUCUUCAUCCUACACCUCCUACGGAUUGAUAAACCUUAGGUCAUCCACUUGAGGGAAAUUUGCUACUGUCCUACAAACCUCUGCACUUGGAGGCCCAACAACGUCUACAAGAAGAAGGUUGUGUAGUAGACAUCAGGGGAACCGACACAUAUUGUAUUGUUUCCAUCGAGGAUAACAAGAUGGGGUUUUCGUCAUAUUGCUUGAGUUUACCCCGCUACAUCAAGUCAUCUUACUUAAUGCGUUAUCCUGUUCUUAUGAACUUAAUACUCUAGAUGUAGGCAGGAGUCGGUGGACGUGUGGAGUAAUAGUAGUAGAUGCAAGCAGGAGUCAGUCUAGUUGAUACAAACGUGAUGCUUAUGUUCAUGAUCAUUGCCUUAGAUAUCGUCAUAACUUUGCGCUUUUAUAUCAAUUGCUCAACAGUAAUUUGUACACCCACUGUAAGAUUUUCUAUCUUGAGAGAAGCCUCUAGUGAAACUAUGGCCCCGGGGUCUACUUUCCAUCAUAUAAGUUUCCGAUCUACAAUUUUAGUUUCCUAUCACUUCCUUUGCAAUCUUUUACUUUCCAUUCCAUAAACCAAAAAUACCAAAAAUAUUACUUUACCGAUUAUCCAUCUCUAUCAGAUCUCACCUUGCAAAUAACCAUGAAGGAUUGACAACCCCUUUGUCGCAUUAGGUGUAAGUUGCUAUUUGUUUGAGCAUGUAUUCAGUGACUUGUGCAUUGUCUCCUACUGGAUUGAUACCUUGGUUCUCAAAACUGAGGGAAAUACUUACUCUACUUUGCUGCAUCACCCUUUCCACUUCAAGGGAAAAACCAACGCAAGCUCAAGAGGAAGUAGGAAGAAUUUCUGGCACCGUUGCCGGGGACAUCUACGCCAAGUCAAGACAUACCAAGUACCCAUCAUAAACUCUCAUCUCUUGCAUUAUAUUAUUUGCCAUUCGCCUCUCGUUUUCCUCUCCCCCACUUCUAAAAUGAUUUGCCUUUUCUUCGCCCUCUUCCAUUCAUCUUCUUCGCUUGCUUUUUGUGUGCUCAUGUGUUGGAUUGCUUGCUUUGUCACGAUGUCUCAAGAGAAUACCAAAUUGUGUGACUUUUCCAAUACCAACAACAAUGAUUUUAUUAGUACCCCGAUUGCUCCCGCUACUAAUGCGGAAUCUUGUGAAAUUAAUGCUGCUUUGCUGAGUCUUGUUAUGAAAGAUCAAUUUUCCGGCCUUCCCAAUGAAGAUGCCGCAUCCCAUCUAAACAAUUUCGUUGAUUUGUGUGAUAUGAAAAAGAAAAAAGAUAUGGAUAAUGAUAUUGUUAAAUUGAAGCUAUUUCCGUUGUCACUUCGAGAUCGUGCUAAAACUAGGUUUUCAUCUUUGCCUAAAAAUAGCGAGUGUCAUUUUUUAAUGCGAGUGAUUAGUUUUUAAAGAAUGAUUGGCAUUCUUUCUUAAUUGCUCAUCUACUAAUCGUUUGGCGUGUUUUCUUAUCUUGUCAAAAUCAUAUCCCCUGGCUGUAAAUAUCAAAGAAUAAUUUCAUUUGUUGGGCUUGGACUGUACUGUCCGAGAGUCAGAGUAUAAAUACCAUACGAUUUCAAGAGCAAUAGCAACGGGGCAACCAUUAGUCCAUACUCUACACCAUAUGGCUAGAAAUUUUAUAUUAUAUAUAACAAAGUUGUGACAAAUUGGAAAUGGAAAGCAAUAAAAUGAAUAUGUUGCUAUAGGUUAUUAUUAUUACACAUGCACGUGUACCUUGAUCCUUGCUUGGACAUAGGGUCCGAGGAAGUUACAUUGCUUUGACUACUGAUAUUGUUUGUGUUAAAGUGUGCCACAAUGGCAUAAAUAUUGUCGUUGCAUAAUGGGAAACCACGUCAUAUUUAUCGAUGAUAUGUGGAAAUAGGGAUAAGCUACUUUAUGAAGAUAUAUAAGGAUGUAUGGGUUACGUUGGUGGAAAAUGUUGUUAUGAACACAAAUGCAGUUGCAUUUAUCAUGCAUUCGCGGUGAAGUGCGCUAUUGUGGCAUAUAUCUUCCUUUUUGCCACAGAAGCAUGGUAGAAUUAUAAAGAGAGUAUGUUUCUAUAGACAUUUCAAAAAAGAGAUUUGUGUAUACUCUCAUUAUACUGUAAUCACCAUAGAUUAUUCAGAUUAGAAGUUGUUGUCUCUACCACAUAUUUAGAUUUUCUAUACAUACUAAUAUCUAUAUCGCAUAGAAAAUCAUGUAUUUAUAUGAGAUCUUUGUGGUGCAUGAUAAAGCAAGAUUCCUUUUGUUAUUGCAGCAAUUUAUAAGUAUUUAAAUAUAUACUAAUAGCUAGUUUCUUCUGUGUUAUAAGGACAAAAUAAGACAUGCAUAGACAUGCAAAUACGUAUUAGAAAUCUGCUACUCCAAAUGUAUCAUGUUAAUCCAUGUAAGCCACGAAUCGCGUGCAUAUCAGGCAAAGCAGUUUUUUUUGUAAAAACAAUACAUAAUACUAAUCGAUGGUAUAGACGAUUCAAUACAUAUGCAUCAAGACACCGCUACCUUGCACAUAGUGAUAUAGGAUGGAAUUGAAUCUGAUCCGCUCCUUUCCAACUUAAUCGAGUAAUGUGUACUUCUCAUAAAUAGGCAUGUAUAUAGUAAUUGUUCUUUUGACCAAACGCUUGGUAUAUUAAUGAUCACAUUAUACAUUUAUGUAACAUUUCUUACUUGCGAAAUCUUUUACAAAUUGGAAUAUGGGAAUUUUAUUAAUACCUAGAAGAAAUACUACUAUUUAGAACAUAUAAUAACUGGUACUAUACUUUUUCUUAAUAUUGGUACUAUACUUAAUUGGACCAAAAGUUGCACAUAUUUUUGAUUAGUUCAUUUUUUUCUACAGAUUUAUCGGCGCCAUUAUUUCUCUAUGGUUGACAUGUAUAUGAACUACUGUCUGUAUAUAUUGAUCUGCAUUUAGACAAAUAUCAGGGACAAACACACAUACUGUUUAGCAUGUGUAGUUGUAAAGGUAGAAUACUGAUUUGUAGUAUUAAGAAAAUAUAUUUAUAAGAUCUUACUACAAUGUAUAUGGAUUGAGAAUCAGAGAAAUAACCAAGUGUUGUGCAAGGAUCAUUCUGACUAUCCAGUGGCAGAAUAAAAAUAGGAUGCUAAGCGCGGGGAGAAUACUUAUGUCCUAUAAACCUGCAAAUAAGAAGCAUGCAUUCACCAUAUAUUAGAAUUCCAAAUUUUAUAGUUCCUUUGCAUGUUGGAAAUAAGCUUUGCCCCUUGUGAUAUGGAUUAUCACGUAGAAUGGAAAGAGGAGAAAAAAAUUAUGGCUUAGCAGAAUCAAUGAGGAAAAGCACUACAUGUGAAGUAUCAAAACGUUGUGAUAGCACGAACCCCACCAGAUUUGAACUCGUGCUCUUAGUAUGACAUGAAAAGAGGGGCUACUCUCCAAUCGAAGUGAAAAUAGUAGAACUUUGAACUUAUAUAUAUAUACGCUUAAAAAUUCUAAAAGCAAAUGGUCAAAAACUCAGAAUAGCUUGAGCGGGCACUACUUGCUAACUCAAGCACAUGGCAACACAGUAUUAAGUCAAGAUUUUGCAACCGAGAGGGAAAGUCAAAUAAAUAAAUAAAUAAAUAAGGAUUCUCAUCAAACCUGUGAAUCCAAGCUAGUAUCUAACUAUUGUAUUGCUCAUAGUUUUGCAUACACCAUGGAACGUACGAUACAUAGCAUGUUGAAAAAUUAUAACCAAUUAAAUAGAAGAUAAAGGCAUAGUGCUAGGAGAUCAUCUCUCAGAGCAAUCAUCGCUGACAUAAACCUUCGGUUAAAUCACAUGUCUAAUUAGAACCUAGAGGUCUUUUACUUUUCCUUUAUAUGGAACCUUUAUUUUGACCUUUGGGGACUAUAGCCGCCUCAAAUAUGCAACUUUUUUUCGAAAUUUUAGUAUAGUGUAGUUGGAGCUUUUCCUGGUGUUCCAUAAAAAUAGCAAAGGGCAUAUUUCCUUUAGCCUACUUAUAUAUAAAAAAACGGCGUUCCUUAAUUAUUAUUCAAACUGAAAACACAUGCUAUCUUUAAAAGCAAAGAUGUACCUUAUGUGAGAAUCAUGCAUGUGUUAUUUCUAAUUAGUUAGGCAAUAAAAUAAUAGCAUCGUAUCAUUAGAUAAAUUAUUUUUCAACUGAAUCAGACAUGUGGGGUUUGACAAAAUUGAAAGUAUAUGCGAAGAUGUUAAGGAGAAAAUGUCAAUAUAAAAAAACUGUUUCUAUAGGCAGAUGUGAAUUACGUACAAAAAUAGGUCUGUUCGCUUUACAAAAGUUCUGGUGAAACCAAACUCCUGAGUUACUACAUGUAGAGCUCAAAAAUACCAGAUAUAGAGUAUAAAAUGAGAAUGGAAUACUAAGUGCAUCUUACAGAAAUUAUAAGAUCUUUUUAAUAGCUUCCUCAAUAUUACAUAGCAUACACAACAAUGAGGCAUCAAAUGAAUCAGUAUUCUAAAUAUGUAAAGAAGAAUAAGAAACACAAAGUAGCUGCUGCUCGAGCAACUACUACAUGCAAAUACAAUGCUUGAGAAUUUUCAAGCGUUCUGUUCGCUUUUUACCCUGAUUCAGCAUGGAUUAAAAAACCACAGUACUUAAUUCCGUGUAUCCUAAAUUCAAGCGUCAUGUUCGACGAAUUUCACCAUAGAUUUACAUGCCUGUGGACUUGUAGAACCAACAGCGCACUCUACAACAUCCGACAGAUAAAUCGAUCUGCUUUCCGUUCGCUGUAGGUUGUUCAUUGGGAAGCAGCACGAUCCACUUUAGACCACCAUCAGUAGACCUGAUCCUACGCUGCAUCGCAUUGUUAUAUUGCAGUCAGCUCGGAACUUAUGUCAAGGAGAAUAGUUAGACGAUGGAUUUGAUAUUUGGCCUUUUUGAGAUCUGAAACGUGUGUGUACUUCGUAGCUGUCAGCAGGUGGAAGGCCGUCCUGACAAAGAGGCAUAUUGCAUCCUAAAUUCAAGCACCAUGUUCGAAAAAAAAUCAGUAUGGGUUUACUUGCCUGUGGACUUGUAGAACCAACAUCAAACCCGACAAAAUCGGACAGAUAAAUCGAUCUGCUUUCCGUUCGUAGUAGGUUCUCCAAUGGGCAGCAGCACGAUCCACUUUAGACCACCUGAUCCUACGCUGCAUCUUGCAGUCAGCUCCGAACUUAACCCAGAAGAAUAGUUAGACGAUGGAUUUGAUAGUUGGCCUUUUUUUAGAUCAGAAUUGUAGGUGCAGGGUGGCUCGGCGAUCCUGACAAAGAUGAGAUUGAUCGGGGUCGCUAAUAAUCCCUUGUAGCACCUGCCGGGAUCCUUUGUGGUUCGCCGAGUGCACUUGAUGGCGAUGGGAUCAAGGGAAGAGAAGAAUUGAAGGAGGUGGGGUCGAGGGACAUGUUUUUCCUAUUUUAGGGGGAGAUAUCUUUCCUUUCUGUUUUUGCGUGAUUGUUUUCGUUUUUCAAUCGGCCGAAGAUUUUAUUGACAGAUCUAUUUUCUUUUUCUUUUCAUCACGGGAUUUUACAUGAAAGGAGGCUAUCUUUUUUUAGCAUGGAAGGAAGAUAUCUUUUUUAAAGGAACCGAUGGAUGCUUUGUUUGUUUGUUAAGCCAAUCUUGACGGUGUCGCGUUCCUUUAUUUUUUACGGGGCCAUAUAUGCUACCAUUGAUUGCAAUUAGUUUUUUUCUCUUGGAGAUGGAUUAUUUGUUUGUUGAACGUGUCUGCCUUAAUUAUGGAUGGACCAUCUGUGUAACGCAUGUUUACUUUUUAUCUUGGACGUUAAUUCUAUAAUCUAUCGGUGUAAUUAAUUUUGAUGAUGUGGAUUAAUGAGAAGGCCUUAAAAGGUGCCUCCAAUUAGUAAAUAUAUAAGAUAUAAGAUAUUGAUUCAUGGAAUAAGUUUAAGGAUGAAUUUAUUUCCAAGUAUUUUCCUCCCGCUAAGAUCAUCUCUCUUAGGAACGACAUUAUGAAUUUUAACCAACUUGAUCAUGAACAUGUUGCACAAUCUCCGUAGAGGAUGAAAUUGAUGAUAUGAAAUUGCCCUACACAUGGUUUGAAUAUGUGGAUGAUUAUACAAUUUUUUAUGCCGGAUUGAAUUUUGCUUCUAGAAAUCUUUUAGAUUCGGCCGUGGGAGGUACUUUUAUGGAAAUUACUUUAGGAGAAGCUACUAAACUCCUAGAUAAUAUUACGGUUAAUUAUUCUCAAUGGUAUACUGAAAGAUCUUCCACUAGUAAAAAAGUGCAUGCGAUUGAUGAGUUUAAUGUUUUGAGUGGAAAGAUGGAUGACCUUAUGAAAUUAUAUGCUAGCAAGAGUGCUUCUGUUGAUCCUAAUGAUAUGCCUUUGUCUACUUUGAUUGAGAAUAAUAAUGAAUCUAUGUAUGUGAAUUUUGUUGGUAGGAACAAUUUUGGUAAUAACGCUUAUGGAGGUAAUUUUAAUCCUAGACUGCUUCCUAAUAAUUCCCCUAAUAAUUAUGGCAAUUCCUACAACAAUUCUUCACUGGUAGAAAAAGGGCCUGUAGUCCCGGUUCGUAAGGGCCUUUAGUCCCGGUUCCUGAACCGGGACUAAAGUGUCGGUACUAAUACCUCCCACCUUUAGUCCCGGUUCAAUCCAGAACCGGGACUAAAGCCCAUCCACGUGGGCAGUGUGCAGAGCCCAGUCAGGAGACCCUUUGGUCCCGGUUGGUGGCACCAACCGGGACCAAUAGGCAUCCACGCGUCAGCAUUUCUGUGNNNNNNNNNNNNNNNNNNNNNNNNNNNNNNNNNNNNNNNNNNNNNNNNNNNNNNNNNNNNNNNNNNNNNNNNNNNNNNNNNNNNNNNNNNNNNNNNNNNNNNNNNNNNNNNNNNNNNNNNNNNNNNNNNNNNNNNNNNNNNNNNNNNNNNNNNCCGGUUCAAUCCAGAACCGGGACUAAAGCCCAUCCACGUGGGCAGUGCGCAGAGCCCAGUCAGGAGACCCUUUGGUCCCGGUUGGUGGCACCAACCGGGACCAAUAGGCAUCCACGCGUCAGCAUUUCUGUGGCUAGGGUUUUUAUUUUUAUUUUUUGAAAGGGGGGGGGGGUUGGGGGUUUUGGGGGGUUAAUUUAGGUGUUUCAUAUAUUGUGUUAGCUAGCUAUAAUUAAUAUAGAGAAGUGUCCUCUCUUAUGUCCGUGCUUGGUCGACGCUACGUACUAUACAUACGUAUAGAGAGGACUAGACACGCUGGCUAGCUAGUAAAGCAAACGAAGGAAACAGAAGAUCGUCAUGAACAUAUAUGCAUACAGAGAGAAGUGAUAUCGACCACCUCUCCUUCUCCGAGAGAUUGGUCGAACAACAAGUUCUCGUAUAUCUAUCUGACAGUACCGGCUACAUAUAUACAGUAAUUAUCUCUUACAAAUAUAAUCAUACGGACUCAGGUUUAACAUAGAAUUCUCCGUCUUCAGGGAUCACGUGGUCAAAAAAGAAUGCCGCCAAUUCCUCUUGAAUUGCUCGCAUGCGAGCUGGUGCUAGGAGUUCAUCCCGCUUCCGAAACAUCUAAUUUGAAGAAGGGGGUCAAUACAUAUAUAUAUAUAUAUGAAUGAAUGAAACUCAACACAAAUGAUGGUAAUAAAAUAAAAUUGUGAAUAUUGUUAUUUACGUACUUCAUAUUGUUCGUUAGAGUACCCGCCCCGCUCACACGUCGUGUGACGGAUGGACUCGCAGAUGUAGUAUCCACAGAAAUCAUUCCCUUGUUCCUGCCACAACCACUUUACAAGAAAUAGAGGUCAAUCAAACUGAUAAGCAAGAAUGCUAAAUGGUAUUGAUGAAACUAGCGCUUGAAUCACUAGGAGAUGCGCGGAACAUGCUACUAUAGUACUUACUUUCGGGUGUCUAAAUUCUAGCUCCUUCGGCAGUCCCGGAACUUUUUUGGUGAAUUUUCUCCAAACCAUGCCGGACAAAGAAAACAAUUACUUGAUAUCAGGAAAUGAACAAAGUUGCUGAUAUGGUGGAUAAUGAUCGAUUUAACUUACUUCUUGAGGAUUUCAGUCAUGUCUGCAUAGUCCUGCGGAUCUUUUCGUUUUGAGUCUAAGAAGGUUACUAGUCCCUGCUCAAGCUUAAUCUCUAGGAGAAUAUAGUGGAAACUGCACACGCAUGCAUAACUUAUGAAUUACAUUACUAUAACCUUGAGUAAUAUAUAAGGGAAACCGAAUACGCACAAGACAGUAGCACUCACUUGAAGUUGUAAGGAAAGAGUAUUAUAUCUUUGUUUUGAUUUAUUACGAACGAUUGUAGAAAGUUGGCCUCGGUAGCUGUGACAUGAAGUUUAACCUGAAUUGCAUCUAUGAGAUAUGUGUUAAUGAACCCAAUAUCACCGACUUGUCUUUUCUUCAAUUCGACGAUCUUCAAUCUGCAUAAUAUAGUGAGGAUGAUUAUAAAUACAUGCAAUGAAAGAGCUAAGCUAUAUAGAGAAACUUAAUGACAGAAGUAGUACUACUUACAGACAGUAGCAGGCGACCGUUGUUUUAUCGAGGGCCAAUUGAUUGAAAAACUGAUAGAACUCCUCAAAUGGAACAGGCAACAGAUCAAUUCCAACGAGGUCAUGCUCCUUUUUAACUCUCACAUACAAAGUACUCCUCCCCCAGAGUCUCUGCAGAUUUUCAAGUACCAAUCAUGCAAUCUUCGCAUCAUCGUUGAUAGAGAUCUUUCAUCUUUGACGAGAGGCUUCCCGUACUCGUAUCUUUGCAUCUGCAUGUCCAUGGGUUCAUAAUGUACUUCGUCGGGUAGGUAAUCUGCAAGAUUAUUAUAACCGGGCACCAUCCUCGGAUCAUUAGCGACUUUGUGGCUAGGCACCUUGAGCGAGGGGCAUGAUUGCUUCGCUUGUUUGCCGAGCUGGGCAAUUUGUUUCCCAGCUCGUCGUUUUUUCAGCCUUUCAUCACUGACAGUAGUUCCCGACCGCUCCGCUUCGGCAAAUUCCUUUCCAAUAAUGCGGUCAUAGUUUCCUUUCGGCGGAUCAGACUUUGGUGGUUUUGUCAGGGCAGCCAGAGUGCGCUUCACUUUCACCCCAUCUACCUUCUCCUCUGGAGGUGGAUGUUUCUUUGCUUUCACCCCUUCAAAGAAUUUCCUCACUUCUUCUCACGCGAUCUCGGCGUUCUCCUCCUGGGUCCUCUCGUAUGGUAACUUCUCUGGAGUCUUCAGAGAAGGACCGAAUCUGUAUGUCCUCCCGCCUCUGGUUGUACUGCUAGACGCCGACCGAGCAAACGAAGCGGUUGUCUUCUUUACUUGCUUAAGAGGCGGAGGAGAAGGACUACGACCCGCCGGAGCAGCUGGAGCGGCGGCAGGUCUCUUCUGCCCUUGCUGACGAGGCGGAGAAGGAGGAGGUUGGCUGCUCGGGCGCGUCGGCGCAGGCGGAGACGGAGGCGGAGUGCCGCCACGCGCCGGAGAAGGAGCCGGCCGAGGGCCCUGAUCCUCACUCGCCGGAGGAGGAGGUGGUGGAGGAGGCGGAGUGCCCUGACUCGCCGGAGGAGGAGGAGGAGGCGGAGGCGUCCAGUUCGGAAGGUUGAUGAGGUCCUUCCGCCAUAGGCAUGGAGUCUUCAGAGCAGACCCCAGCCGAGUCUCCCCUUCACCGGUAGGGUGGUCAAGCUGGAGGUCCUCAAAUCCCUCCGUUAUCUCAUCCACCAUCACCCUAGCAUAUCCUUCUGGAAUCGGCAUGCAGUGAAAAGUUGCGCCGGGUUCAGUAGGAUAAACAGAGCCAACAGCCGCCUUGACCUUCAAAUUCAUCCAUUGCGUCAUAAGGUGGCAAUUUUGAGACUCCGUUAUAGCAUCCACAGGAUAGCUGGCAGGAGCCGUCAAGGCAUGCUGCAGCUGAAGCUGCUCGGUGGAAGCCACGCUGCUUCUGCGCUGAGAUGGCGGGGUAGCUUCGGGGGAGGCUUCGGCAGUACGUUUGUUGCGAUUUGCUUCUCGUUCCUCUAUCGCUUGUACCCUUGCGUGCAGCGCCUGCAGUUCGGUCUGCUGCACUUUUUUCCUCCUCUCAUGGGAUUUGUAACCGCCUGCGUCCGGAAACCCAACCUUCCACGGAACGGAGCCUGGCGUGCCUCGUGUCCGUCCAGGGUGCUCAGGAUUCCCGAGGGCCAUUGUGAGCUCGUUGUGCUCUCUGUCUGGAAAGAACGUCCCUUCCUGCGCUGCGUCGAUAUAGUGCUUAAGCUUACUGACUGGUAUGUCCAUUUGUUCGUUCGUCCAAAUGCAGUUCCCUAUUUCAGGGUCCAAGGUUCCGCCACCCCCGAAGAACCAAGUCCGGCAACGGUCUGGCCAGUUAUUUGUCUCUGGUCCGAUCCCUUUAUGAACCAGAUCAUUCUCAACCAUGGACCACUUAGGCCGGGCUACGAGGUAGCCACCUGACCCCGUGCGAUGGUGAAGCUUCUUCUUCGCGGCAUUCUGCUUGUUUGUCGCCGACAUCUUCUUACUCUUUUCCGAUGUCUUGUAGGCCACAAAUGCGGGCCAGUGAUCUCUGAUCUUCUCAUAUCUUCCCUUGAAUUCUGGUGUCUCUUUUUUAUCGACAAACCUAUUCAGCUCUUUCUUCCACCUCCUGAAUAGAUCUGCCAUCCUCUUCAGAGAAAAAGACUUGAUUAAUUUCUCUUUAAUUGGGUUCUCUGGAUUAUCCUCUGGCGGUAGGGUGAAAUUUGACUUCAGCUCAGUCCAAAGAUCAUUUUUCUGCAUAUCAUUGACAUAAGACACCUCAGGGUCUUCUGUAGCCGGCUUAAACCAUUGCUGGAUGCUUAUCGGGAUCUUGUCCCUAACCAGAACCCCGCACUGAGCAACAAAUGCCCUCUUUGUCCGGAGGGGUUCAAUAGGUUGGCCGUCGGGCGCGAUUGCUGUGAUCUCAAGCUUUUCAUCCGAGCUCAACUUUUUCUUCGGGCCUCGUCUCUUUACCGAAGUUGUGCUCGAUCCGGAGGGCUAGAAAAAAGAACAAAGACUUAAUUAAUAUGUGUACAUACCAAAACAAUGAAUGCAUCAAUCAGCUAGUCAGCAUAGGCUUAACUAAUAUAUAUACCUGGCCGGACUCGGUUCGGUCACCGGAGCCGUCAUCACGGUCUCCUUCUUGCACCGGCAUUGGGUCACCGGCGCCGUCCUCAUGUUCUUCUUCUUGCACCGGCAUUAGGUCACCGUAGCCAGCUUGUUCACCCUCUCCUUCCGGACCAUCGAUGAUAUCGUUGAGAUAGUACGAGACGGCAUCACUUCCUUGUGCGAUUAUCUCCCUCAACAACGCUUCUUUUGUUGCUUCGUCUAGGGCGGUGUCCAUAGUUUCUACAAAUAUUUACAACAUGGCAAUUAUUAUUCAAACAUGACAGAUGGAUAUAUUAGUGCCAAACGUAGAACUACCUACCUAAUCAUAGUAAGCUAUCGGGAGGGGGUAUAUAUCGACAACGACGACACUACAUCUAUAUAUGUCCCUCGAUGACCCUCGUUCCUGAUAAAAAAAGAGGAAGAAGAAGAAAAAAAAGAGGAGAAGAAAGAAUAGAGGAGAAGAACUCCUCUAUUCUUUCUUCUCCUCUUUUUUCUUCUUCUUCCUCUUCUUUUUUUAUCCUCUUCUUCCUCUCAUGUUCGAGAGGAUCGCCUUGGGGUCGGGAGGUUGCCUAGUGUCAAAGGAUUCAACAAAACCAUGUCUUCAUCAUUAGGCGAAAGUAACAUGUGCAUGAUGGUAGGAAGCUCUUCAAAGUUGUUCUGGAACGGAGUCCCAGAUAGGAUAAUUCGCUUUUUGGUACAAAGUUCAGCAAGAGCCUUCCGAAUAUCGCUAUUUGGAAGGCCUUUGCUGAAUUCGUACCAAAAGGCGGAUUAUUCUAUCCGGGACUCCAUUCCAGAACAACUUUGCAGAACUUCAUACCAACAUGCCCUGGUUACUUCCGGCUAAUGAUGAAGGCAUGGAUUUCUUCAAUACUUUGACACUAGGAAACCUCUCUCGACCCCUCGGCGAUUCUUGACCCCUCGAACCCUCAACGACCCUGAAACCCUCGACGCUUGACCCCUUAACGACCCUCGACCCUCUACCCUAGUUCCCGACCCUCGACCAAUAGAGGAGAAGAAGAAAGGAAUAGCUAGAGGAGAAGAUCGAAGAAAAAAAAGAAGAAACAAAAGAGGAGAAGAAGAAAGGAAUAGUGGAGAAGAAGAGAAAAUAGAAUAUAUAUUCUAUUUUCUCUUCUUCUCCACUAUUCCUUUCUUCUUCUCCUCUUCUUUUUCUUCUGUUUUCUUCUUCUUAUUUAUUUCUCCUCUUCUUUUCGGUAGAGGAAACCCUAAAUAGCUAGCAAGUAUCGUGGGUGUGAGAUACAUGUGGCCUUCGGUGUCGGACACUACAUCCACGUCCCACAAGUGACGUGGGCGUCGAAACCCGCGCCACUUGUGGGAUGUGGAUGUAGUGUCCGACACCGACGGUACAUGUAUCUCACACCGACGAUACUUUCUAUUUAGGGUUUCUCCUCUACCACUCGGCGGCCCUCUCGACGACCCUCGUUCCCGAUAAUAUAAAGAGGAAGAAGAAGAAGAAAAAAGAAGAGAAGAAAGAAUAGAGGAGACGAACCCUCGAACCCUCGAACCCUAGACGACCCUCUUCUUCCUCUCAUGUUCGAGAGGAUCGCCGAGGGGUCGGGAGGUUGCCUAGUGUCAAAGGAAACCCUAAAUAGCUAGCAAGUGUCAUGGGUGUGAGAUACAUGUGGCCUUCGGUGUCGGACACUACAUCCACGUCCCACAAGUGACGUGGGCGUCGAAGCCCGCGCCACUUGUGGGAUGUGGAUGUAAUGUCCGACACCGACGGUACAUGUAUCUCACACCGACGAUACUUUCUAUUUAGGGUUUCUCCUCUACCACUCGGCGGCCCUCUCGACGACCCUCGUUCCCGAUAAAAUAAAGAGGAAGAAGAAGAAGAAAAAAGAAGAGAAGAAAGAAUAGAGGAGAAGUCUCCUCUAUUCUUUCCUCGCCUCUCUCAUGAAUGUCCGGCGUUCUCGACCCCCCCCCCUCCCCACGUGUCGAAGAAAAAAAAGAAGAAAAAAAAGAGGAGAAGAAGAAAGGAAUAGAGGAGAAAAGAGAAAAAUAGAAUAUUCNNNNNNNNNNNNNNNNNNNNNNNNNNNNNNNNNNNNNNNNNNNNNNNNNNNNNNNNNNNNNNNNNNNNNNNNNNNNNNNNNNNNNNNNNNNNNNNNNNNNNNNNNNNNNNNNNNNNNNNNNNNNNNNNNNNNNNNNNNNNNNNNNNNNNNNNNNNNNNNNNNNNNNNNNNNNNNNNNNNNNNNNNNNNNNNNNNNNNNNNNNNNNNNNNNNNNNNNNNNNNNNNNNNNNNNNNNNNNNNNNNNNNNNNNNNNNNNNNNNNNNNNNNNNNNNNNNNNNNNNNNNNNNNNNNNNNNNNNNNNNNNNNNNNNNNNNNNNNNNNNNNNNNNNNNNNNNNNNNNNNNNNNNNNNNNNNNNNNNNNNNNNNNNNNNNNNNNNNNNNNNNNNNNNNNNNNNNNNNNNNNNNNNNNNNNNNNNNNNNNNNNNNNNNNNNNNNNNNNNNNNNNNNNNNNNNNNNNNNNNNNNNNNNNNNNNNNNNNNNNNNNNNNNNNNNNNNNNNNNNNNNNNNNNNNNNNNNNNNNNNNNNNNNNNNNNNNNNNNNNNNNNNNNNNNNNNNNNNNNNNNNNNNNNNNNNNNNNNNNNNNNNNNNNNNNNNNNNNNNNNNNNNNNNNNNNNNNNNNNNNNNNNNNNNNNNNNNNNNNNNNNNNNNNNNNNNNNNNNNNNNNNNNNNNNNNNNNNNNNNNNNNNNNNNNNNNNNNNGGGACUAAAGGGGGGCAAUGGUCACGGUUGGUGCCACGAACCGUGACCAAUGCCACCUUUAGUCCCGGUUGGUGCCACCAACCGGGACCAAUGCCCUUGUGCGCCCCGCGCCCAGAAGUUUAGUCCCACAUCGCUAGCUGAAGGGCGCCGAUACUGGUUUAUAAGCGCUGCUCUGCCUCCCCUUUCGAGCUCCUCUCAAAUGCAGGCUUUCGGGCCUAAACUGCUACUGCCUGUGGGCCUAUUGGGCCUCUGCGGGCCUGAAUCCUGGCCCAUGUAGGGUUUCUAGUCGUAUUCAGGCCGUGGAGGCCCAGUAGGAGGCAUUUUUUUUGGUUUUUUCUUUUUUGUUUCUAUAUUUUUUUGGUUUUUUAUUUUUUUUAUUUCUACUUACAACUAAAUACUUACAGUUUUUUAGUGAUUUCUUUUUGCUUUUAGGUCACAAAAAUUAUAAACUUUCUAUUAGUGCCAUUAGUUUUAAAUUUUAAAUAGUUUAAAUUUGAAUUUUUAAAAAUUUGUGUGAAUCACUAGUUUAUGAAUAACUUUACUAUAAAGUUAGAAUUUGUUUUCUAUUUAUUUUUUAUUUCUACUUACAACUAAAUACUUACAGUUUUUUAGUGAUUUGUUUUUGCUUUUAGGUCACAAAAAUUAUAAACUUUCUGUUAGUGCCUUUAGUUUUAAAUUUUAAAUAGUUUAAAUUUGAAUUUUUAAAAAUUUGUGUGAAUCACUAGUUUAUGAAUUUUUUUCUUCUUUGCUAUUUAUUUUUGAUUUAUACUUACAAUUAAAUACUUAUAGUUUGCUUUUAGGUCACACAAAUUAUAUUCUUUUUGCUAUUGAAGAAUAUUAUAGUUUUAUUUUAGUUGAUCAUAACAUAAUAUUUUAAUUGAUUGUUUUUAUUUUCAUAAAAGUUUUGUAGUUCAUUCUGUUUGCUAUUAAUUCAUUCUUUGAGCUAAAUGACUCUGAAAUUGGAAAGCAUUUCAAAAUGAACUCUGAAAAGGUUGAAAGUUGGCAUGGUAUCAUCAUUUCACCCACAUAGCAUGUUCCAAAAAGUAGAGAGGGUUACGACAAAAACUUGAUGCACUUCGUGUACAAAAUGGACAAUCACUUUCGAAGUAUCAAAGUUUCAAACCAUAAGACAUGAAAGCAUUUCGAAUGAACUCUGAAAAAGUUGAAAGUUGGGAUGCAUGGUAUCAUAAUUUCACCCACAUAGCAUUUUCUUAUUGCGGGAGAAAGUCUUCACUUUUUCUUCGCUUGUGUCAUUUGCUUAUUGCGCCGUAACCAUGGAUAAUCUUCAUUGUUUUUAAGGAUGCUUGGGUCAGCCUUGACAUUGAAGGGAGGAAUUUCAUGAAACUUUUCAUAAUCUUCAGACAUGUCUGUCUUGCCGUCCACUCCCAGGAUGUCCCUUUUUCCUGAAAGAACUAUGUGGCGCUUUGGCUCAUCGUAUGAUGUAUUCGCUUCCUUAUCUUUUCUUUUUCUCGGUUUAGUAGACAUGUCCUUCACAUAGAUAACCUGUGCCACAUCAUUGGCUAGGACGAACGGUUCGUCAGUGUACCCAAGAUUUUUCAGAUCCACUGUUGUCAUUCCGUACUGUGGGUCUACUUGUACCCCACCGCCAAACAGAAUGACCCAUUUGCACUUAAACAAAGGGACCUUAAAAUCAGGUCCGUAGUCAAGUUCCCAUAUGUCCACUAUGUAACCAUAAUAUGUGUCCUUUCCUCUCUCGGUUGCUGCAUCAAAGCGGACACCGCUGUUUUGGUUGGUGCUCUUUUGAUCUUGGGCGAUCGUGUAAAAUGUAUUCCCAUUUAUCUCGUAUCCUUUGUAAGUCAAUACAGUCAAAGAUGGUCCCCUGGACAACAAGUACAACUCAUCACAAACAGUGUUGUCACCUCUGAGACGUGUUUCCAACCAACUCCUGAAAGUCCUGAUGUGUUCACAUGUAAUCCAGUCGUCGCAUUGCUCCGGGUGUUUGGAGCGCAGACUGUUCUUGUGUUCAUCGACAUACGGGGUCCCCAAGGUAGAGUUCUGUAGAACUGUGUAGUGUGCUUGAGACCAAGAAUAUCCGUCCCUGCAUAUUAUUGAGUCUCUUCCAAGAGUGCCUUUUCCAGUCAGUCUCCCCUCAUACCGCGAUUUAGGGAGACCUAUCUUGUUAAGGCCAGGAAUGAAGUCAACACAAAACCCGAUAACAUCCUCUGUUUGAUGGCCCAUGGAGAUGCUUCCUUCUGGCCUAGCGCGGUUACGGACAUAUUUCUUUAGGACUCCCAUGAACCUCUCAAAGGGGAACAUAUUGUGUAGAAAUACGGGCCCCAGGAUGACAAUCUCGUCGACUAGAUGAACUAGGACGUGCGUCAUGAUAUUGAAGAAGGAUUGUGGGAACACCAGCUCGAAACUGACAAGACAUUGCGCCACAUCACUCCUUAGCCUUGGUACCAUUUCUGGAUCGAUCACCUUCUAAGAGAUUGCAUUGAGGAAUGCACAUAGCUUCACAAUGGCUAAUCGGACGUUUUCCGGUAAAAGCCCCCUCAAUGCAACCAGAAGCAGUUGCGUCAUAAUCACGUGGCAGUCAUGAGACUUUAGGUUCUGAAACUUUUUCUCUGGCAUAUUUAUUAUUCCCUUUAUAUUCGAUGAGAAGCCAGUCAUGACCUUCAUACUAAGCAGGCAUUCAAAGAAGAUUUCUUUCUCUUCUUUCGUAAGAGUGUAGCUGGCAGGACCUUUAUACUGCUUCGGAGGCAUGUCAUCUUUUUUGUGCAAACGUUGCAGGUCCUCCCAUGCCUCCGGCGUAUCUUUUGUCUUCCCAUACACGCCCAAGAAGCCUAGCAGGUUCACGCAAAGGUUCUUCGUCACGUGCAUCACGUUGAUUGAGGAGCGGACCUCUAGGUCUUUCCAGUAGGGUAGGUCCCAAAAUAUAGAUUUCUUCUUCCACAUGGGUGUGUGUCCCUCAGCGUCAUUCGGAACAGCUAGUCCACCGGGACCCUUUCCAAAGAUGACGUAGGGUAAAUCAUUGACCAUAGCAAGCACGUGAUCACCGGUGCGCAUGGCGGGCUUCUUUCGGUGAUCUGCCUCGCCUUUGAAAUGCUUGCCUUUCUUUCGACAUUGAUGGUUGGUCGGAAGAAAUCGACGAUGGCCCAGGUGCACAUUCUUCCUGCAUUUGUCCAGGUAUAUACUUUCAGUGUCAUCUAAACAGUGCGUGCAUGCGUGGUAUCCUUUGUUUGUCUGUCCUGAAAGGUUACUGAGAGCGGGCCAAUCGUUGAUGGUCACGAACAGCAACGCCUUAAGGUUAAAUUCCUCCUGUCUGUGCUCAUCCCACGUACGUACACCAUUUUCAUUCCACAGCUGUAAAAGUUCUUCAACUAAUGGACUUAGGUACACAUCAAUUUCGUUGCCGGGUUGCUUAGGGCCUUGGAUGAGAACUGGCAUCAUAAUGAACUUCCGCUUCAUGCACAUCCAAGGAGGAAGGUUAUACAUACAUAGAGUCGCGGGCCAGGUGCUGUGAUUACUGCUCUGCUCCCCGAAAGGAUUAAUGCCAUCCGCGCUUAAAGCAAACCAUACAUUCCUAGGGUCCUUUGCAAACUCAUCCCAGUACUUUCUCUCGAUUUUUCUCCACUGCGACCCGUCAGCGGGUGCUCUCAACUUCCCAUCUUUCUUUCGUUUCUCACUGUGCCAUCGCAUCAACUUGGCAUGCUCUUCGUUUCUGAACAGACGUUUCAACCGUGGUAUUAUAGGAGCAUACCACAUCACCUUUGCAGGGACCCUCUUCCUGAGGGGCUCGCCGUCAACAUCACCGGGGUCAUCUCGUCUGAUCUUAUACCGCAACGCACCGCAUACCGGGCAUGCGUUCAGAUCCUUGUAUGCACCGCGGUAGAGGAUGCAGUCAUUAGGGCAUGCAUGUAUCUUCUCCACCUCCAAUCCUAGAGGGCAUACGACCUUCUUUGCUGCGUAUGUACUGUCGGGCAAUUCGUUAUCCUUUGGAAGCUUCUUCUUCAAUAUUUUCAGUAGCUUCUCAAAUCCUUUGUCAGCCACAGCAUUCUCUGCCUUCCACUGCAGCAAUUCUAGUACGGUACUGAGCUUUGUGUUGCCAUCUUCGCAAUUGGGGUAUAACCCUUUUUUGUGAUCCUCUAACAUGCGAUCGAACUUCAGCUUCUCCUUUUGACUAAUGCAUUGCGUCCUUGCAUCGACAAUGACCCGGCGGAGAUCAUCAUCAUCGGGCACAUCGUCUGGUUCCUCUUGAUCUUCAGCAGCUUCACCUGUGGCAGCAUCAUUGGGCACAUCAUCAUCUGGUUCCUCUUGAUCUUCACCAGCUCCCCCCGUUGCAGCAUCACCGUAUUCAGGGGGCACAUAGUUGUCAUCGUACUCUUCUUCUUCGCCGUCUUCCAUCAUAACCCCUAUUUCUCCGUGCCUCGUCCAAACAUUAUAGUGUGGCAUGAAACCCUUGUAAAGCAGGUGGGAGUGAAGGAUUUUCCGGUUAGAGUAAGACCUCGUAUUCCCACAUUCAGUGCAUGGACAACACAUAAAACCAUUCUGCUUGUUUUCCUCAGCCGCAUCGAGAAACUCAUGCACACCCUUAAUGUACUCGCGGGUGUGUCUGUCACCGUACAUCCAUUGCCGGUUCAUCUGCGUGCAUUAUAUAUAAUUAAGUGUCCAAAUUAAUAGAAGUUCAUCAUCACAUUAAAACCAAAGUGCAUACAUAGUUCUCAUCUAACAACAUAUAGCUCUCCAGAGCAUCUAAUUAAUUAAACCAUACAUUGAAACUAUGUAAAACAUUUCAAUGCGAAAACAAAUGCGAUCAUAAUCGCAACCAAGGUAACAAUUGAUCCAACGGCAUAAUGAUACCAAGCCUCGGUAUGAAUGGCAUAUUUUCUAAUCUUUCUAAUCUUCAAGCGCAUUGCAUCCAUCUUGAUCUUGUGAUCAUCGACGACAUCCGCAACAUGCAACUCCAAUAUCAUCUUCUCCUCCUCAAUUUUUUUUAUUUUUUCCUUCAACAAAUUGUUUUCUUCUUCAACUAAAUUUAACCUCUCGACAAUAGGGUCGGUUGGCAUUUCCGAUUCACAUACAUCCUAGAUAAAUAAAAUCUAUGUCACGUUGGUCAGCAUAAUUUUCAUAAACAAUAAAUGAACCAAUAGUUAUAAAGAUAAUAUACAUACCACAUCCGAAUCAUAGACAGGACGAGGGCCGACGGGGGCGGAUACCAAAACCAUCGCACUAUAUAAGAUGCAAUAAUAAAUGUAAGAAAAUGAUACAAGUAUCUAUCUAAACAUACAAGUAAGAAUAUUUUUCCUUUCAGAAAGAAGAUAAGAACAAGAGGCUCACCACGGUGGUGUCGGUGAUGAGAUCGGCGCGGGUGAUCGACGGCAGUGAAGACGGGGACGGGGCGUGACGGACCGCUAAAUCUAGACAAAUCUCGAGGAAAAUGGAGCUUGGAGGUCGAGCUUCGAGAGGAGAAAGCUUAAGUAGUGUGGCUCGGGCAUUCCAUCGAACACCUCAUGUGCAUAGGAGGUGAGCUAGAGCACCACAAAGCCCUCUCCCCCUCGGCCAGAGAAAACAGAGCACUGGGGUGCUCUGCUCACGAGCGAGGGGUAUAUAUAGGCACCUCAUUGGUCCCGGUUGGUGGCAUGAGCCGGGACUAAAGGGAAGCCUUUGGUCCCGGUUCGGGCCACCAACCGGGACCAAUGAUGGUGGGCCAGGAGGGAGGCCCAUUGGUCCCGGUUCGUCCCACCAACCGGGACCAAAAGGUCCAUACGAACCAGGACCAAUGGCCCACGUGGCCCGGCCGGCCCCCUGGGCUCACGAACCGGGACCAAUUCCCACAUUGGUCCCGGUUCAAGACUGAACCGGGACUAAUGGGCUGAGGCGGCCUGGACCAUAGCCCCUUUUUCUACUAGUGCUUAUGGAAAUUAUAAUAAGAUGCCCUCUAAUUUUGAGAAUAGUGUUAAAUAAUUUAUGAGUUCGCAAAAGAAUUUCAAUGCUUUGAUUGAAGAAAAAUUGCUUAAGAUUGGUGAUUUGGCUAGGAACGUGGAUAGAACUACCCUUGAUGUCGAUUCUUUGAAACUUAGAUCUAUUUCACAUAAGCAUGAUAUCAAUGAGUCUCUCAAGGCUAUGAGAAUUCCCAUUGAUGAGUGCAAGGAAAGAACCGCUAAGAUGCGUGCUAAAAAAGAUUGGUUUAUAAAAGCGUGUUCUUCUAGCUAGUUUCCGUGAAAAUAAUGAUGAAGAUCUUAAAGUGAUUGAUGUGACUCCUAUUGAAUUUUUGUUUUCCAAUAUAAAUCUUGAGAAAGAUGGGACUGGAUAUGAGUCAACUUUAGUUAGAAGGCGUCCCAAUGAUUCGGAGUUUUUAGAUAUUAAUGCAAAAAUUGAUAAAAGUGGGAUUGGAGAGGUUAAAACUUUAGGUAGUAAUGAACCCACUCUUUUGGAUUUCAAGGAAUUUAAUUAUAAUAAUUUCUCUUUAAUAGAUUGUAUUUCCUUGUUGCAAUCCAUGUUGAAUUUUCCUCAUGCUUAUAAUCAAAACAAAGCUUUUACUAAACAUAUCAUUGAUGCUAUGAUGCAAUCCUUUGAAGAAAAGCUUGAAUUGGAAGUUUCUAUUCCUACACUAGUAGACAAAGGGUCAAACAUGAAGCACAUUAGUGCCGGUUUGAAUUUGAGCCGGCACUAAUGUGUGCAUUAGUGCCGGUUCCAACGGCUAGCCGGCCGCUCUCAUUAGUACCGGUUCAUGGCGAACCUUUAGCACCGGUUCGUGCCACGAACCGGUACUAAAGUGAGUGGUGGCAGGAUGUUGUCACUCCGGGGCCCCUCCAGCACCUUUAGUACCGGGUCGUAUCACGAACCGGUCCUAAAGGCCGUCCUACAUAGACCCUUCGUCCACCCGAGCUCGCUCUGUUCUUCCCCUUUCCCCUCUCCUCUUUGUACUUUUCCCUCUUCCUCUCAAUCUCAUCACACAUUUUGCCCAAAAUUUGUCAAGAUUUGAAGGCCCCCAUCCAUUCAAAUGAUCACAAAGGUUAGCAACUUUUUCCUUUCAUCUCUCAUUGCUAGAUUAGCUCGUGCAAUGCUUUAUAUAGUGAUUGAUUUUUGAGUUUAGUAAUUUGGGAGGAAUUAUAUAUAUGUGCUAGUAUUUGAUUUAUAUGCAAUUUUAGGUCAAAAAUAACACUUAGUUUGCAUAUGUAGGUGUGGUUUACGUAGUACCUUCUAAAUCUCCGUCGUAACCACCGUCGAUCGCUCGCAACGUCCCGUCACCAGCACCACCUUUUGGUGAGCCUCUUGUUCAUGAAGUUUUAUAUAAAAAAUUGAUGUUUGUGUGAUUUGGAUAUAUAGUUACUCGUAUAAUUAUCUUACCCAUACGUUGUUUGUUAUACAUAGUGCCAUGGUUUUGAUAUCCGUCCCCGUUGGCCCUCGUCCGGGUUAUGAUUCGGAUGUGGUAUAUUCUAUUUUAAAACUAUUCAUUGCAUUUCGUGUUUAUGACAAAUUAUGCCCAUCAAGUUGACAUAGAUAUUUGUAUGUAGGAGGUAGUUGAAACGGAAAUUCCAACCGACCCUAUUGUCGAGAGGUUAAAUUUAGUUGAAAGAGAAAACGAGGAUUUGAAGGAAAAAUUGAAAAGAAUUGAGGGGGAGAAGAUGGAAUUGGAGUUGCAUGUUGCCGAUGUCGUCGAUGAUCACAAGAUUAAGAUGGAGAAAAUGCGCUUGAAGAUUAGAAAGAUUAGAAAAUAUGCCAUUCAUAGUGAGGCUUGGUAGCAUUAUGCUGUUGGAUCAAUUGUUACCUUAGUUGCGAUCUUGAUCGCAUUUGUUGUUGCAUUUAAAUUCUUUAGCUAGGGACUUAUUUGUUUGUUGCAUUUAAGUGUUGUAUGAUCUUUAUGUAUGAACCUUAUGUAUUGUAUUAAUUUGAUGUUUUCGGUGUUGUGUAUUGAAGAUGAGCCGGCAAUGGAUGUACGAUGACUGAUGCUCUCCCAAGUUCAUUAAUGGCGUGCGUACUUUUCUGCUUGCGGCUGAGGCAAACAAGCGAGCGGAUGGUUGUAUGCCUUGUCCAUGUGCUGGCUGUAAGAAUGGUCACAGUUACUCUACGUCAAGAACCAUUCACGUCCACCUGUUUGAGUCUGGUUUCAUGCCCCACUAUAAUGUUUGGACCAAGCAUGGAGAAAGAGGGGUUAUGAUGGAAGACAAUGAAGAAGAAGAGGACGACGAAAGCUAUCCUGGCCAUGGGUUCCCUGAAUACGGUGAUACAACAAUGAGGGAAGAAGCUGAGCCGGUAAUGCGGGAAGAAGCUGAGCCGGCAAUGCGGGAAGAAGCUGAACAAGAGGCACGGAUGAGCCCGUUGAUGAUCUAGGUCGGGCCAUUGCCGAUGCAAAGAGAAACCGCGCUAGUGAUUUGGAGAAGAAGAAGUUGCAGCGCAUGUUAGAGGAUCACAAAAAUUGUUGUACCCGAAUUGCGUAGGUGACAAGAAAAAGCUAGGCACCACACUGGAAUUGCUGCAAUGGAAGGCAAAGAAUGGUGUAUCUGACAUGGGAUUUGGAAAGUUGCUGGUAAUGAUAAAGGAUAUGCUUCCAAAGGACAACAAAUUGCUCGAGAGUACGUACGAAGCAAAGAAGAUUGUCUGCCCUCUAGGGUUAGAGGUGCAGAUGAUACAUGCAUGCCCUAAUGAUUGCAUCCCCUACCACGGUGAGUAUGAGGAUUUGAAAGCUUGCCCGGUAUGAGGUGCAUUGCGCUAUAAGAUCAGCCACGAUGACCAUGGUGAUGUCGAGGGCGAGCGCCCCAGGAAGAAGAUACCUGCCAAGGUGAUGUGGUAUGCUCCUAUAAUACCAUGGCUGAAACGUUUGUUCCAAAACAAUGAGCAUGCCAAGGCGAUGUGAUGGCACAGAGAAGACCGUAAGAAAGACGGAAAGUUGAGAGUACCCGCUGACGGGUCGCAGUGGAGAAAAAUCGAAAGAAAGUACGGGAAGGAGUUUGCAGAUGACGCAAGGAACGUAUGGUUUGGUCUAAGCGCAGAUGGCAUUAAUCCUUUUGGGGAGCAGAGCAGCAACCAUAGCACCUGGCCUGUGACUCUAUGUUUGUAUAACCUUCCUCCUUGGUUGUGCAUGAAGCGGAAGUUCAUUAUGAUGCCAGUGCUCAUCCAAGGCCCUAAGUGUCAGGACCCCGAUUCCAAGUCACAUCGUUCUAGCCGGUAACACCUCAUAUCACUUUGCGGCCUCAUGCACGGUAUCCCACAGGUGUCGCCUUACCAUGGCCCGGGACCGUUUGCGCCUUUUGGCUCACGUAUAUGAUAGUGUCGCUAGCAUCCAUAUGACAGAGAACCCGGGCCGACAUGGCUAGUCGUGAACCCAAAGCGGCACAGACCUAUGGAGACAGGCAUACAUGAAUCACAUCAAGCAUGUCAGUCAUCAGUGAGUGAAUCCGGGCUGUAGCACUGGGCUAACAGGACUCCGGGGAACCCGGGCUGUAGCAGGCUAGGCAGGACUCCGGAUGUCACCGCGUGACAUUUCCCCGAAGGGACAGACAUAGGAACGACGUGAAACACAUGCCGGCCAGUCAAGUGUCCUGAGCAGUAGUGCUGGGCUAGCAGGACUCCGGUGAACCGGGCUGUAGCGGACUACUAUGGCUCGAGGAACACUAGACUACGUUUCCCCAUAAGAAAGGCUGCCAAGGAUAAACAACUAGAUUGUCGGAUCCCACUCAUACCAAGCAUUUCAAUCAUACACACAAUAUGCCCGAUAUGAGUACAUACAACAUGGCAUCACAAGAAAACUCUACAACUCAAAUACUUUAUUUAAAGGCUCCAGAGAGCCAUACAUAACAUGUUCAUACAGAUAGGGGUCACAUGACCCGACACUCAAGUCAUACAAUCAUACAAGCACAAGCGGAAGCAACUAGUCUGAGUACAGACACUAGAAAGAAAGAAGGCUUCUCGAAGCCUGUCUAUCUACAUAGGUCUCUCCAUGGCCAGGAUCACCACCUGGGUGGCUAGUCACUCGUCGACGUCAAGGUCUACGUAGAACCCAUCGGAGGGGCGGUGUUGUCAUCUGAAAACCGUAAUUAAGCAAACAUGAGUACAAAGGUACUCAGCAAGUCUUACAACAUAACCUACUAUAAAUGCUCAUUCUCAAGAAGGUGGUGGGGUUAUUGCAGCAAGCCAGCUUUGACUCUUGGCUAAGCUAUCCUACGGAACUCCACUAGUAAAAUAGUUUUCGCACACGAGUCCACUACUCACCAACAUAAUACUCCACCGGGGAUCCUCUCUCGUCAUCCUACGAGAGGGCCAUCCUCGGUACUCACACUUAUCUUGAGUCUUUUAGUAAUAACCAUUAACUUGUCUAUGAACUGUAUAGGCAACCAGGUAGUCCUUUACCGCGGACGCGGCUAUUCGAAUAGUUUUAUACCCUGCAGGGGUGUACUUCCUCAUACACGCUUUCACCACUUACCGCCGUUUACACGACAUGUACUCGGCAACCUUCAAGCCUUGGCCCAACGAGGGUGUCGGCCACGGCCUACCUAAACACUCAAAUCUCUAGUCCAGGUGCAUCGCCUAUCCAAGUUCCAUCCGCAGGGAGUCCGGCCGAGGUUUCCACAUACGGCCCCGAACGAUGUGAACAGGGUUCCCGAGACACCAAACAGGUGACUCGGUACACCGUGCCACGGUGUAUCUACCGCAACAUAGCCCACCCCUAGGGUCAGUGCUACGCACGGCCGCCAACACAUAACCUACAAACACCAGAAACUAUUUGCAACUCCUGGACAGAGUACUAGGGUAUUUAAGAAGCCGAGAGGGUCAAUUAAGGAUCCCAAUGCAUGGUAGUAGCUGAAUCUUAAAAUCACACAUACAGAUCUCAGUUCUUAGGGACGGCCUCAAUAAAACAACCCACCAUGUACUCCUACAUGGCCUCUCAUCGAUACCUUUACCAAAUCAUGUUCAUCACAUCCCUCACAUUACCGAUAUAACCAUUUCACUCUAGCCCAUCACCCAGAUGGACCAGACCUGACACAACUCUAAGCAUAGCAGGCAUAGCAAGGUAGGAAACACAUACCUGGCUCAAUCAACUCCUACACAUGCUAGUGGGUUUCAUCUAGUUACUGUGGCAAUGACAGGUCAUGCAGAGGAAAAGGGUUCAACUACCGUAGCACACAACAAUUUGAAUCGCGUUGUCUUAAUGCAGUAAACAAGAGCAGAAGCGAGAACAUGGGUUUGUAUCAGAAUGAUCAAUGGUUGUUUGCCUGUUGUAGUGGUAGUAGGGUACUGCCCUUCAGACGGAUACUCGGGGUUAUCCUCGGAGGCAGAACCUACCACGAAAGAUACACCGAACAUAAUCAACACAUGACAAUAUGCAACGGUAUGAUGCAUGCUAUGACAUGGCAAAAUGAAUGUGUCUUGGCCUAAUGCAAGCUGAAACAGGAUGGAAUGAACUCAUUUGAAUCAAAGAUUCAAAUGUUAGCUCAUUUAACAUGGCCUUAUUAGUGCAUUAUCUUAUUCUGCUUAAAUAGCAAGGUUAACUUGUUUUGUCAUGCAUGAAACCAUUACAGAUGGACAGAUUGAAUUUUUUUGAUCAUUUUUCAUAUAUAAAUCUUUGCAUUUGGAGCUAUGGUUGAUUUUCUAAGAUUUUUAGAAGUUUUGGCUAUUUACUGGAAUUUCCUAUUAAAGAAUAAAUCCAGUAAUUGAAUUAAUGCGUCAGCAUGACAUAGGUGUGAUGUCAGCGGGUCAACUGGGUUGGCCAGGUCAAACCUGACUGGCGGGCCCUGUCUGUCAGUGACUCAGCUAAUUAACAGAGUUAAAUUAACUCUAAUUAACUAAAAGUGGGGCCUGGGCCCACAUGUCAGUGACUGAACUAAUUAAAUUUAGUUAAAACAAAUCCUAAACUAAUCAGCAGGCCGGCCCCACCUGUCAUAGACUAACCUGGGCCCACACGGGGGUCAAACAGGGUAAACUCGCCGGCGUCUAGCCGCCGGCGAGGCCAGACGCGGCGGAGCAGUGCGGGAUUUGCACUCUGGCGACCAAAUGGGCGGCGGAGACUAUCUACGUGAUGCGGGGAGGAAGCCGCCUUUGGAAAUAUGCCCUAGAGGCAAUAAUAAAUUGAUUAUUACUAUAUUUCCUUGUUCAUGAUAAUCGUUUAUUAUCCAUGCUAGAAUUGUAUUGAUAGGAAACUCAGAUACAUGUGUGGAUACAUAGACAACACCAUGUCCCUAGUAAGCCUCUAGUUGACUAGCUCGUUGAUCAAUAGAUGGUUACAGUUUCCUGACCAUGGACAUUGGAUGUCAUUGAUAACGGGAUCACAUCAUUAGGAGAAUGAUGUGAUGGACAAGAACCAAUCCUAAGCCUAGCACAAGAUCAUGUAGUUCGUAUGCUAAAGCUUUUCUAAUGUCAAGUAUCAUUUCCUUAGACCAUGAGAUUGUGCAACUCCCGGAUACCGUGGGAGUGCUUUGAGUGUGCGAAACGUCACAACGUAACUGGGUGGCUAUAAAGGUACACUACAGGUAUCUCCAAAAGUGUCUAUUGGGUUGGCACGAAUCGAGACUGGGAUUUGUCACUCCGUGUAAACGGAGAGGUAUCUCUGGGCCCACUCGGUAGGACAUCAUCAUAAUGUGCACAAUGUGACCAAGGAGUUGAUCACGGGAUGAUGUGUUACGGAACGAGUAAAGAGACUUGCCGGUAACAAGAUUGAACAAGGUAUCGGCAUACCGACGAUCGAAUCUCGGGCAAGUAUCGUACCGAUGGACAAAGGGAAUUGCAUACGGGGUUGAUUAAGUCCUUGACAUCGUGGUUCAUCCGAUGAGAUCAUCGUGGAACAUGUGGGAGCCAACAUGGGUAUCCAGAUCCCGCUGUUGGUUAUUGAUCGGAGAGUCAUCUCGGUCAUGUCUGCAUGUCUCCUGAACCCGUAGGGUCUACACACUUAAGGUUCGAUGACGCUAGGGUUAUAAAGGAAGUUUGUAUGUGGUUACCGAAUGUUGUUCGGAGUCCCGGAUGAGAUCCCGAACGUCAUGAAGAGUUCCGGAAUGGUCCGGAGGUAAAGAUUUAUAUAUGGGAAGUCCUGUUUUGGUCACCGGAAAAGUUUCGGGUUUUAUCGGUAACGUACCGGGACCACCGGGAGGGUCCCGGGGGUCCACCAAGUGGGGCCACAAGCCCCGGAGGGCUGCAUGGGCCAAGUGUGGGAGGGGACCAGCCCCAGGUGGGCUGGUGCGGCCCCCCACCAAGGCCCAAGGCGCAAGGAAGAGGGGAAGGGGGCAAACCCUAGGGCAGAUGGGCCCUAAGGCCCACCCUGGUGCGCCUCCCCCUCUCCCCUCCCCUUGGCCGCCCCUAGAUGGGAUCUAGGGGGCUGCCGCCACCCCUAGGGAGGGAACCCUAGGUGGGGGCGCAACCCAUCCCCUCCCCCUAUAUAUAGUUGAGGUUUGGGCUGCCCAAUACACAUGAGUUCCUCUCUUUCUUGGCACAGCCCUAUCCCUCUCUUUCUCCUCAUAUCUCGCAGUGCUUGGUGAAGCCCUGCUGGAUCACCAUGCUCCGCCAUCACUACCACGCCGUUGUGCUGCUGUUGGAUGGAGUCUUCCUCAACCUCUCCCUCUCUCCUUGCUGGAUCAAGGCAUGGGAGACAUCGUCGGGCUGUACGUGUGUUGAACGCGGAGGUGCCGUCCGUUCGGCACUAGGAUCUCCGGUGAUUUGGAUCACAACGAGUACGACUCCUUCAACCCCGUUCUCUUGAACGCUUCCACUUAGCGAUCUACAAGGGUAUGUAGAUGCACUCUCCUUCCCCUCGUUGCUGGUUUCUCCAUAGAUAGAUCUUGGUGACACGUAGGAAACUUUUGAAUUUCUGCUACGUUCCCCAAUAGUGGCAUCAUGAGCUAGGUCUAUUGCGUAGAUUCUAUGCACGAGUAGAACACAAAGUAGUUGUGGGCGUUGAUUUUGUUCAAUAUGCUUACCGUUACUAGUCCAAUCUUGUUUCGACGGUAUUGUGGGAUGAAGCGGCCCGGACCGACCUUACACGUACUCUUACGUGAGACAGGUUCCACCGACUGACAUGCACUAGUUGCAUAAGGUGACUAGCGGGUGCCAGUCUCUCCCACUUUAGUCAGAACGGAUUCGAUGAAAAGGGUCGUUAUGAAGGGUAAAUAGCAAUUGGCAUAUCACGUUGUAUUUUUGCGUAGGUAAGAAACGUUCUUGCUAGAAACCCAUAGCAGCCACGUAAAACAUGCAAACAACAAUUAGAGGACGUCUAACUUGUUUUUGCAGGGUAUGCUAUGUGAUGUGAUAUGGCCAAGAAGAAUGUGAUGAAUGAUAUGUGAUGUAUGAGAUUGACCAUGUUCUUGUAAUAGGAAUCAUGACUUGCAUGUCGAUGAGUAUGACAACCGGCAGGAGCCAUAGGAGUUGUCUUUAUUUAUUGUAUGACCUACGUGUCAUUGAACAACGCCAUGUAAUUACUUUACUUUAUUGCUAACUGGUAGCCAUAGUGGUAGAAGUAAUAAGUUGGCGAGACAACUUCAUGGAGACACAAUGAUGGAGAUCAUGGUGUCAUGCCGGUGACGAUGAUGAUCAUGGAGCCCCGAAGAUGGAGAUCAAAAGGAGCAAUAUGAUAUUGGCCAUAUCAUGUCACUAUUUGAUUGCAUGUGAUGUUUAUAAUGUUUAUACAUCUUAUUUGCUUAGAAUGACGGUAGUAAAUAAGAUGAUCCCUCAUUAAAAUUUCAAGAAAGUGUUCCCCCUAACUGUGCACCGUUGCGAAAGUUCGUCCUUUUGAAGCACCACGUGAUGAUCGGGUGUGAUAGAUUCUUACGUUCGAAUACAACGGGUGUUGACGAGCCUAGCAUGUACAGACAUGGCCUCGGAACACAUGCAAAACACUUAGGUUGACUUGACGAGCCUAGCAUGUACAGACAUGGCCUCGGAACACAAGAGACCGAAAGGUCGAGCAUGAGUCGUAUGGUAGAUACGAUCAACAUGAAGAUGUUCACCGAUGUUGACUAGUCCGUCUCACGUGAUGAUCGGACACGGCCUAGUUGACUCGGAUCAUGUAAUCACUUAGAUGACUAGAGGGAUGUCUAUCUGAGUGGGAGUUCAUAAGAUGAACUUAAUUAUCCUGAACAUAGUCAAAAGGACUUUGCAAAUUAUGUCGUAGCUCACGCUAUAGUUCUACUGUUUAGAUAUGUUCCUAGAGAAAAUUUAGUUGAAAGUUGAUAGUAGCAAUUAUGCGGACUAGGUCCGUAAACUGAGGAUUGUCCUCAUUGCUUCAUAGAAGGUUUAUGUCCUUAAUGCACCGCUCAGUGUGCUGAACCUCGAACGUCGUCUGUGGAUGUUGCGAACAUCUGACAUACACAUUUUGAUAACUACGUGAUAGUUCAGUUAAACGGUUUAGAGUUGAGGCACCGAAGACGUUUUGAAACGUCACGAAACAUAUGAGAUGUUUCGAGGGCUGAAAUUGGGAUUUCAGGAUCGUGCCCACAUCAAGAGGUAUAAGACCUCCGACGAUUUUUCUUAGCCUGCAAACUAAGGGAGAAAAGCUCAACUGUUGAGCUUGUGCUCAGAUUGUCUGAGUACAACAAUCAUUUGAAUCGAGUGGGAGUUGAUCUUCCAGAUGAGAUAGUGAUGUUUCUCCGAAGUCAUUACCACCAAGCUGCUAGAGCUUCGUGAUGAACUAUAAUAUAUCAGGGACAUAUAUGAUGAUCCUUGAGAUAUUCGCGAUGUUUGACACCACAAAAGUAGAAAUCAAGAAGGAGCAUCAAUUGUUGAUGGUUGGUGAAACCACUAGUUUCAAGAAGGGCAAGGGCAAGAAGGGAUACUUCAUGAAAUGGCAAUUCAGCUGCUGCUCUAGUGAAGAAACCCAAGGUUGAACCCAAACCCGAGACUAAGUGCUUCUGUAAUAAGGGAAACAACCACUGGAGCAGAAUUACCCUAGAUACUUGGUAGAUGAGAAGGCUGGCAAAGUCGAUAGAAGUAUAUUGGAUAUACAUUGUGUUAAUGUGUACUUUACUAGUACUCCUAGUAGCACCAUGGUAUUAGAUACCGGUUCGGAUGCUAAAUGUUAGUAAACUCGAAAUAAAAGGCUGCAGAGUAAACGGAGACUAGCCAAAGGUGAGCUGGCAAAAUGUGUUGGAAGUUUUUCCAAGCUUGAUGUCAUCAAGCAUCGCACGCUCCCUCUACCAUCGAGAUCGGUGUUUGCGUUGAGCAUAGACAUGAUUGGAUUAUGUCUAUCGCAAUACGGUUAUUCAUUUAAGGAGAAUAAUGGUUACUCUGUUUAUUUGAAUAAUACCUUCAAUGGUCUUGCACCUAAAAUGAAUGGUUUAUUGAAUCUCGAUCGUAGUGAUACACAUGUUCAUGCCAGAAGAUAUAAGAUAGUAAUGAUAGUACCACCUACUUGUGGCACUGCCAUGUAAGUCAUAUCGGUAUAAAACGCAUGAAGAAGCUCCAUGUUGAUGGAUCUUUGGGCUCACUCGUUUUUGAAAAGUUUGAGACAUGCGAACCAUGUCUAUUGGUGUAUAUGCAUGAAGAAACUCCAUGCAAAUGGACCGUUUGGACUCACUCGAUUUUGAAUCACUUGAGACAUGCAAAUCAUACCACAUGGGCAAGAUGACUGAAAGCCUCGUUUUCAGUAAAAUGGAACUAGAAAGAAACUUGUUGGAAGUAAUACAUUUUGAUGUGUGCAGUCCAAUGAGUGCUGAGGCAUGUAGUGGAUUUCAUUAUGUUCUUACUUCACAGAUGAUUUGAGUAGAUACUGAGUAUAUUUACUUGAUGAAACAUAAGUCUGAAUUAUUGAAAGGUUCAAGUAAUUUCAGAGUGAAGUUGAACAUCGUCGUGACAAGAGGAUAAAAUGUCUAUGAUAUGAUCGUAGAGAUGAAUAUCUGAAUUACGAGUUUGGCACAAAAUUAAGACAUUAUGGAAAUUGUUUCACAACUAAUACAGUCUGGAACACCACAGUGUGAUGGUGUGUCCGAAUAUCAUAACUGCACCCUAUUGGAUAUGAUGCAUACCAUGAUGUCUCUUAUCAAAUUACCACGAUAGUUUAUGGGUUAGGCAUUAGAGACAACCACAUUCACUUUAAAUAGGGCACCACGUAAUUCCGAUGAGAUGACACCGUAUGAACUAUGGUUUAGAGAAACCUAAGCUGUCAUUUCUUAAAAGUUUGGGGCUGCGACGCUUAUGUGAAAAAGUUUUAGGCUGAUAAGCUCGAACCCAAAGCGGAUAAAUGCAUCUUCAUAGGACACCCAAAAUAGUUGGGUAUACCUCCUGUCUCAGAUCCGAAAGCAAUAAGGGAUUGUUUCUAGAAUCGAGUCCUUUCUCGAGGAAAGGUUUCUCUCGAAAGAAUUGAGUGUGAUGAUGGUGGAGAUUUGAUGAGGUUAUUGAACUGUCUCUUCAACUAGUGUGUGGCAGGGCACAGGGAGUUGUUCCUGUGGCACCUACACCAAUUGAAGUGGAAGCUUAUGAUAGUGAUCAUGAAACUUCAGAUCAAGUCACUACCAAACCUCGUGGGAUGACAAGGAUGCGUACUACUUCAGAGUGGUACGUAAUCCUAUCUUGGAAGUCAUGUUGCUAGACAACAAUGAACCUACAAGCUAUGGAGAAGCAAUGGUGGGCCUGGAUUCCAAAAUGGCUCGAAGCCAUAUAAUCCGAGAGAGGAUCCAUCUAUGAAAACAAAGUGUAGACUUUGGAAGAACUACUUGAUGGUCGUAAGGCUGUUAGGUACAUAGGGAUUUUAAAAGGAAGACGGACAAUGAUAGUAAGUAUCACCAUUAAGAAAGCUUGACUUGUCGUUAAGAUGUUUUCCGACAAGUUCAAGGAGUUGACUACGAUGAGACUUUCUCACUCGUAGCGAUGCUAAGAGUCUGUUGGAAUUAUAUUAGCGAUUACUGCAUUAUUUAUGAAAUCUUGCAGAUAGGAUAUCAAAACAUUGUUUCCUCGAUGUUUUUUUGAGGAAAGGUUGUAUGUGAUACAACCAGAAGGUUUUGUCAAUCCUGAAAGAUGCUAACAAGUAUGCAAAGCUCCAGCAAUCCUUCUAAGGACUGGAGUAAGCAUCUCGGAGUUGGAAUGUAUGCUUUGAUGAGAUGAUCAAAGUUUUGGGUGUAUACAAAGUUUAUGAGAAACUUGUAUUUCCAAAGAAGUGAGUGGGAGCACUAUAGAAUUUCUGAUGAGUAUAUGUUGUUAACAUAUUGUUGAUCGGAAAUGAUGUAGAAUUUCUGGAAAGCAUGCAGAGUUAUUUGAAAAGUGUUUUUCAAUGGAAAGCCUGGAUUAAGCUACUUGAACAUUGAGCAUGAAGAUCUAUAAGGAUAGAUCAAAACGCUUAAUGGUAAUUUCAAAUGAGCACAUACCUUGACAUGAUCUUGAAGGUGUUCAAGAUGGAUCAGUCAAAGAAGGAGUUCUUGCCUGAGUUGUAAGGUAUGAAGUUAAGACUUAAAGCUCGACCACGGAAGAAGAAAGAGGAAGGACGAAGGUCGUCCCCUAUGCUUUUGUCAUAGGCUCUCUACAGUAUGCUAUGUUGUGUGCCGCACUUGAAGUGUGCCUUGCCAUGAGUCAGUCAAGGGGUACAAGAGUGAUCCAAGAAUGGAUCACAAGACAACGGUCAAAGUUAUCCUUAGUAACUAGUGGACUAAGGAAUUUUCUCGAUUAUGGAGGUGGUAAAAGAGUUCGUCGUAAAGGGUUACGCCGAUGCAAACUUUGACACUAAUCUAGAUUAUUCUGAGUAGUAGACUGGAUUCGUAUAGUAGAACAGUUAUUUGGAAUAGCUCCAAAUAGAACGUGGUAGCUGCAUCUAGGAGAUGACAUAGAGAUUUGUAAAGCACACACGGAUCUGAAAGAUUCAGACCCGUUGACUAUAACAUCUCUCACAAGCAUAACAUGAUCAAACCCAGAACUCAUCGAGUGUUAAUCACAUGGUAAUGUGAACUAGAUUAUUGACUCUAGUAAACUCUUUGGGUGUUAGUCACAUGGGGAUGUGACCUUGAGUGUUUAUCACAUAUCGAUGUGAACUGGAUUAUUGACUCUAGUGCAAGUGGGAGACUGUUGGAAAUAUGCCCUAGAGGAAAUAAUAAAUUUAUUAUUAUUAUAUUUCCUUGUUCAUGAUAAUCGUUUAUUAUCCAUGCUAGAAUUGUAUUGAUAGGAAACUCAGAUACAUGUGUGGAUACAUAGACAACACCAUGUCCCUAGUAAGCCUCUAGUUGACUAGCUCGUUGAUCAAUAGAUGGUUACAGUUUCCUAACCAUGGACAUUGGAUGUCAUUGAUAACGGGAUCACAUCAUUAGGAGAAUGAUGUGAUGGACAAGACCCAAUCCUAAGCCUAGCACAAGAUCAUGUAGUUCGUAUGCUAAAGCUUUUCUAAUGUCAAGUAUCAUUUCCUUAGACCAUGAGAUUGUGCAACUCUCGGAUACCGUAGGAGUGCUUUGGGUGUGCCAAAUGUCACAACGUAACUGGGUGGCUAUGAAGGUACACUACAAGUAUCUCCAAAAGUGUCUGUUGGGUUGGCACGAAUCGAGACUGGGAUUUGUCACUCCGUGUAAACGGAGAGGUAUCUCUGGGCCCACUCGAUAGGACAUCAUCAUAAUGUGCACAAUGUGACCAAGGAGUUGAUCACGGGAUGAUGUGUUACGGAACGAGUAAAGAGACUUGCCGGUAACGAGAUUGAACAAGGUAUCGGCAUACCGACGAUCGAAUCUCGGGCAAGUAUCGUACCGAUGGACAAAGGGAAUUGCAUACGGGAUUAAUUAAGUCCUUGACAUCGUGGUUCAUCCGAUGAGAUCAUCGUGGAACAUGUGGGAGCCAACAUGGGUAUCCAGAUCCCGCUGUUGGUUAUUGACCGGAGAGUCAUCUCGGUCAUGUUUGCAUGUCUCCCGAACCCGUAGGGUCUACACACUUAAGGUUCGAUGACGCUAGGGUUAUAAAGGAAGUUUGUAUGUGGUUACCGAAUGUUGUUCGGAGUCCCGGAUGAGAUCCCGGACGUCAUGAGGAGUUCCGGAAUGGUCCGGAGGUAAAGAUUUAUAUAUAGGAAGUCCUGUUUUGGUCACCGGAAAAGUUUCGGGUUUUAUUGGUAACGUACCGGGACCACCGACAGGGUCCCGGGGGUCCACCAAGUGGGGCCACAAGCCCCGGAGGGCUGCAUGGGCCAAGUGUGGGAGGGGACCAGCCCCAGGUGGGCUGGUGCGCCCCCCCACCAAGGCCCAAGGCGCAAGGAAGAGGGGAAGGGGGCAAACCCUAGGGCAGAUGGGCCCUAAGGCCCACCCUAGUGCGCCUCCCCCUCUCCCCUCCCCUUGGCCGCCCCUAGAUGGGAUCUAGGGGGCUGCCGCCACCCCUAGGGAGGGAACCCUAGGUGGGGGCGCAGCCCCUCCCCUCCCCCUAUAUAUAGUUGAGGUUUGGGCUGCCCAAUACACAUGAGUUCCUCUCUUUCUUGGCGCAGCCCUAUCCCUCUCUUUCUCCUCAUAUCUCGUAGUGCUUGGCGAAGCCCUGCUGGAUCACCAUGCUCCUCCAUCACCACCACGCCAUUGUGCUACUGCUGGAUGGAGUCUUCCUCAACCUCUCCCUCUCUCCUUGCUGGAUCAAGGCAUGGGAGACGUCAUCGGGCUGUACGUGUGUUGAACGCGGAGGUGCCGUCCGUUCGGCACUAGGAUCUCCGGUGAUUUGGAUCACGAUGAGUACGACUCCUUCAACCCCGCACUACUAGGAAAAGGCCUACUAAUGGCGCACCAGUUUUGCCUACUAAUGGCGCAUCACUGGUGCGCCAUUACUAGCACGCCAUUAGUAAUUUUUACUAAUGGCGCACCACUGGUGCGCCAUUAGUAUCUGGUAUACUAAUGGCGCACCACUGGUGCGCCAUUAGUAUAGGCCACAGGUGCACCAUUAGUAUACCAGAUACUAAUGGCGCACCGCGUGGUGCGCCAUUAGUAUACCAUUCGGUGCUCCACUGGUAUUCCCUCCAGGUGCGCCACUAAUAACCUUAUAGGUGCGCCACUAGUAAUAAAGGAAGGUGCGCCACUAAUAAGGGCUUAAAUGCGCCACUACUAAUGUAUUUGGAAAACAAAAAAAAAUCUAAAUUUACAGAAAAAAACCUAUAAGGAAAAAUAAUUUAAAAACAAAAAAUGAAAUAGAAUCAUAAUUUUUAUUAUAGUAAGAAUAUUACAAUGUCUUUACAAGUUUCCAAUAAAAGGGAAAUUGCAAGGAAAUAAAAAAAAUCCUAAAGCUAAUCUUCUAGUAAUCUUCUCUUCUUUUUCUUCACUUUAUCCCUGCAAAAUGUAACAAAAUAAACACAAACACAAACAAACUAUUUAUAACAUGUCAAUACUGUCAUUUUUUCAGACCAAGUAACUAACAACUUCAGUGAGACAGGCACAGUGCAGUGUGAAUUUCAAUUGGCUAAAUCAUAUAUAGAAAUCAGUAUCUUCUCUAUGAACCUGAAACUGAGAUGACUGGACUAAUUUUGCACAUUUGAUUUAUGAAUUUAUUCUUCUUCGACAACCAACUAAACUUCGGAUCACCUACUAAGCAUCUGUACAUACUACAUAGGCUGAUUAAUCCAACAGCCACAAUGCAAAUAUUGACUAUUUCCAUUCAACUUCUUCACUUACUCAUUAUUAUCUAAUGAAACCAUUCGUAACUAAUGAAGCAGAUUGGCUAAAGUUAUUAUCAAGUCCUAAGUCCUAAUUGAAGCAGAUCUGCUAGGGUUCUUCUCGCUAGCCCCUCAUGGCCAACCGUUUCGGAACAGGCAGGCAGAGCUGCUUGGCCGGUGGCUAGGGAGUCGCUGGUGAUGUUGGGCAUCUCACACGAGCACCUGGCUAUUUGAGGAAACCGAAAUAGUAGCAUAAACAAGAUUGAUUCCGAGGAAAUGAUAGAACCUAUUCUAUCAAAGUGCUACUCCCCCCGUUCCAUAAUUCCAGUCGUGGUUUUUUAACUAAAACCAUGAAGAGAACUAUGGAAUGGAGGGAGUAGAAAACAAUAGCAUGCUUAAAAUUCUACCAUACACAGCAGCAACAGACAUUACACAAGCAUUUAUUUAUUUAUUGCAUUUGGCACAAGUUAAAAAUUCUCACAAGCAGAGGCGGUCCUAUCAGACAAAAAGAACAUGGACCGCUCAUUACAAAGCACUUCUACUGCAGUAUCAUGGAGUAGGAAAAGGGGCUUAAGCAGCAAAGAAGUAUAAUAAGAGAAAAAAACACUAUGGCGGCUGGAACUAGAAGAGCACCAUCACAGGUUCGAAACAUCACCAUGGAGUCGAUGGCCGGCAUAGCCCAUGGCAGGGCUGGAUGGGCAGCAUAAUAACACAAUAAAAGUUUGAUGUAUACUUAUUCGUUUGAAAAGAUGCAAGCUUAUUUACACCCUAGGACUGUUGAUUAGGGUCUGGAUGGUAUUUUUGUUCCUUGCGUAAGUAAGAGAAGGACUAGCAUCCAUAGUAGAAAGAAGGGUAAACAUACAUAAAGGAAAGUUUUUAUAGCGUCACGACCGAAAGAGGCUACGUGCGGCUGGGUGAAAUGGACAAGGUUUCAUGUAUGCAAUAUAUUAUAGAAAAAUAAGUGUUGACAGAAAAUGAAAGAUUUCCUGUCAAACAAACAGAGCUUCAUUUUGUAACAUUUCUGACCCACAUGAUAAUUGUACAACAUAGUAGAGGAGACCACUGUACAUACAUGUGUUGAAUGAAGCAGACUAAGAAAUAUUGGGUGGGUAUAAAGAAUACAAUAGUACGGUAGCUGAUGUAAACAAGUGCAGAGUUGCAUCCACAGAAUAGGUAACAAAUUAAAUAGCCCUGGUGCCAACAGUAGAGUUCGUGUAUCCAAUCCAUCCUUUGUUUAACACAGCAGCUCCAACUCUUGUGUAACAAAUUAAGUUUGGCAUGGGCACACAUAAAGCACUGACAUUUUCAUGGCUCGAUGGCCGUGGGCUAAGGGAGCAGAGGAGGAGGUGCGGCUCACCUCACAUGGCGGCGGAACCGAGGGAUGAAGGUGCGGCGCACCGGAGCAGGCAGAGGUGCCUUGUGUUGGCCAAACACGUGGCCAGCAGCAGAGAAGCGCUUCUCUUGCUCGACGGAUGUUGGGUGUGUGUGAGGCGUGCUCCUGCCUGCCUGCCUGCGUGAGGAACGGGAGGACCAUUAGAGAAGAGAAGGGAAGGGAAGAAGAGCAGGUAGAGGAUGGCAAGGGGAGAGGAGGGAAUCAAAAUCAAAGAUGAGAAGAUGACCUUGAGGAGGAGCAGGGGAAGAGCGGAGCAGCAGAAACAGAGGCCUUCCUCUCCCGGUGGUGAGGACCGAGGCGACCUCCGUCACGGCCUAGCCAGGUCGACGACUCUGGCGACCGUGGCUGCCAGAUCCGGUGUCACCAUGGCCGGCCUCCUCCUGUGGUGCCUGCUAGGUCGCCAUGGCCGCGGGCUCCUUGUCCGUGGCGGCUGGAUCUGGGGCCUUGGGGUGGCGGGGAGCUCCUCCUCCUGCAGCUCGGCGGCCUCCACACCCCGGAGCAACGCCGUCGCCGGAGGACGUGGUCACCUGCUCUCCUCUGGAUCCGGUGAGGAGGGUUGGGGAAGGAGCUCACCACGGCUCCAUGCCCUGGAUCUGGUGUGAGGGAGGGGGAAGGGAGCUCGCCGUGGUCAGGAGGGAGAGGAAGAGGCGGGCGGCCGGGGCUUCCCGAUCUAAAUCAAAGUCGAGGGAGGUGGGUGGGUGUGUCAGGAGGAAGGUGAGGGGGAGAGAACGUGACAAGAUGGAGGGGAUAAGGGGUGAUAGCAAUGGCGCACUGGUAGGGGUGCGCCAUACGUAUAGAUAGCAAUGGCGCAUCUCUUACUGGUGCGCCAUUACUAGUUUAAACUAGUAAUGGUGCACGGUGGAACAGUGCGCUAUUAGUAGUUUUGCAAAAAAAAGUAAUAAAAAUAUAAUAAAAAAACAACAUUAGUGGCGCACUUUUCGACAGGUGCGCCAUUACUAGUUACAACUAGUAAUGGCGCACUGUGUCUGGAUGCGCCAUUAGUAUGUUUGGACAGGCGCACUAGUUCAAAAAAAAUUGAUACUAAUGGCGCACCCUGGGCCAGGUGCGCCAUUAGUAGUUUCAACUCUAAUGGCGUAUCAGAAGGUGGUGCGCCAUUAGUAUAUACCCUUGUAGAGGACUUAGGACUUGAUAAUAACUUUAGCCAAUCUGCUUCAUUAGUUACGAAUGGUUUCAUUAGAUAAUAAUGAGUAAGUGAAGAAGUUGAAUGGAAAUAGUCAAUAUUUGCAUUGUGGCUGUUGGAUUAAUCAGCCUAUGUAGUAUGUACAGAUGCUUAGAAGGUGAUCCGAAGUUGGAGAGGUCGGGGAUGAGCUGAUGCGGCGGGGGUGGUGAAGGGGAUCUCUGGUGGCCGGAGUUGAGGACGAGCUCGGUGCAGCGUCUCCGAGGCGAGCAAGCGCUCGGGCGCGGCCUACUCGAUGUAGUCGAUGGCGGCGGAGCUCGUGGACACGAUGGCGCGGCGCGAGGACGACGGAAGGCACGGCUACGACGACGGUGCGGCGACAGAAGUGUCGGCCAUGGUGGGGAACGGCGAAGGGAUAGAGACAGGGGGGAAAUGGCGUGUCCAGGGGCUUCGGGGUGCGACGUGGAGGCGUCCAGGCGUCUAGGGGCGCGGGCGGCAAGCAGGUGACGCCGUGGUGAGCUCGGGCACGCCGGAGUCACCUCCCUGCCUGCGUGGCGGGGAAGAAGCAGCUGGCUGGCGCGAGCCAGCACAGUGCUGGGCCGCCUGGUGGGCCGGCGGGUGAGAUAGCUGGGCCGCGCCAGGUAAGCUUCUCUCUCUCUCUCUCUUUCUUAUUUGUUUUCUUUUUCUAUUUUUCUGCAACUGUUGGGCUUUAUUAAAAAUACCUAGACAUCUUUAAAAAUCCUGAAAAUAAUCAGGGGCUCUGUUUAGAUUAUUCCCAACAGCCCACACUUAUUUCUAGAAUUAUUUGAGCAUUUAAAUUAUUUUAUAGCAUUUAAAUGCCCAAAUUCAAAUACUUAUGAUUUAAUUCAAGAAAAUCCAGAAUGUCCUAGAAAAGAGUGCACCAUUUUUGCCAGGGGUUUUAGCCCAAUCCAGAAAUGAUGAACAUUUUGUGAAAGGCAUUUUGGGUUCAUUGAAAAUAAUUUUAGUAAACCCUAGUUGUUUCCAGGGGGUGCUGGGGGUUCUGUCAUCCCCAUUUCAAAUUUAAAAGGAAUUUAAACAUGAUGCACACUCUAAUGCUUGAACUAGCUAGGGUGUGACACUAAGCAACCCGGCAACGACAUAGAUGUGUACCUAAGGCCAUUAGUUGAAGAACUCUUACAACUGUGGAAUGGAACAGGUGUACGUGCGUGGGAUGAGCACAUGGGGAAAGAAUUUGACCUAAAGGCGUUGUUGUUCGUGACCAUCAAUGAUUGGCCUGCUCUCACUAACCUUUUAGGACAGACAAACAAGGGAUACCGCGCAUGCACGCACUGUUUGGACGAUGCCGACAGUAUAUAUUUGGCUAAAUGUAAGAAGAAUGUGUACCUGGGACAUCAUCGAUUUCUUCCGAGCAGGCAUCCCGUAAGAAAGAAAGGCAAGCAUUUCAAAGGUGAGGCGGAUCACCGGACGAAGCCUCGCCACCGUACUGGUGCUGAUGUACAUGAUAUGGUCAACGAUUUGAAGGUGGUCUUUGGAAAGGGUCCUGGUGGACAACCUAUUCCGAAUGACGCUGACGGACGCGCACCCAUGUGGAAGAAGAAAUCUAUAUUUUGGGACCUGCCCUAUUGGAAAGACCUAGAGGUCCGCUCCGCAAUCGACGUGAUGCACGUGACGAAAAUCUUUGUGUGACCCUGCUUGGCUUCUUGGGCGUGUAUGGGAAGACAAAAGAUACACCUGAGGCACGGGAGGACCAACAAUGUAUGCACGGAAAAGAUGGCAUACAUCAGGGUCAUGCAAGCUACGCUCUUACCAAAGAAGAGAAGGAAAUCUUCUUUGAAUGCCUGCUCAGUAUUAAGGUACCGUCUGGCUUCUCGUCUAAUAUAAAGGGAAUAAUAAACAUGGCAGACAAAAGUUCCAGAACCUAAAGUCUCAUGACUGCCACGUGAUUAUGGCGCAACUGCUUCCGGUUGCAUUGAGGGGGCUUCUACCAGAAAACGUUCGAUUAGCCAUUGUGAAGCUAUGUGCAUUUCUCAAUGCAAUCUCUCAGAAGGUAAUCGAUCCAGAAAUAAUACCAAGGUUAGAGAAUUAUUUGGUGCAAUGUCUUGUCAGUUUCGAGUUGGUGUUCCCACCAUCCUUCUUCAACAUCAUGACGCACGUCCUAGUUCACCUAUGCGAAGAGAUUAACGUUUUGGGUCAUGUAUUUCUACACAAUAUGUUCCCCUUUGAGAGGUUCAUGGGAGUCUUAAAGAAAUAUGUUCAUAACCGUGCUAGGCCAGAAGGAAGCAUCUCCAAGGCCAUGAAAAUGAGGAGGUCAUUGAGUUUUGUAUUGACUUUAUUCCUGACCUUAAGCCGAUUGGUGUUCCUGAAUCGCGGCAUAAGGGCAGACUGGAUGGAAAAGGCACGCUAGGAGGGGAACAAAUAAUAUGUAUGUACGGACAUUCUCUCACUGAAGCACACUACACAGUUCUACAGAAUUCCGCCUUGGUGGCUCCAUAUAUGGAUGAACACAAGAAUUUGCUACGCUCCAAACACCCGGAGCGGUCUGAUGACUGGAUUACACGUGAACAAACCAGAAGUUUCGCCAGCUGGUUGCAGACACGUACCAUGCAUGACACCUCUAUUGAAGAUGACCUGUACUUGCUGUCCCAGUUACCAUCUUCGAAUAUAAUGACUUUCAAAGGGUACCAGAUAAAUGGUAAUACAUUUUACACGAUCGCCCAAGAUAAGAAGAGCACCAACCAAAACAGUGGUGUCUACUUUGAUGCAGAAACCAAGACGGGAAAGGAAACAUAUUAUGGUUAUAUACCGGACAUAUGGGAACUUGACUAUCGACGUGGUUUAAAGGUCCCUUUGUUUCGGUGCAAAUGGGUCAAUAUGACACGAGGCGGGGUAACGGAAGACCCGCAGUACGGAAUGACAACAGUGGAUCUCAACAAUCUUGCGUAUGCAGACGAACCAUUCGUCCUAGCCAAUGAUGUGGCACAGGUUUUCUAUGUGAAGGACAUGUCUACCAAGCCAAGAAAAAGAAAAGAUAAGGAAGCGAAUGCAUCGUACGAUGAGCCAAAGCGGCACAUAGUUCUUUCUAGGAAGAGAAACAUCGUGGGAGUGGAUGACAAGACAGACAUGUCAGAAGAUUAUGAAAAGUUUGAUGAAAUUGCUCCAUUCACAGUGAAUAUUGACCCGAGCAUCCCGUUAAAUGAUGAAGAUUUUCCAUGGUUACGGCGCAAAGGGACGCACGCGAAGAAAAAGUUUCACACCCAAAGAUCUGGGAUGUGAUCGGCUUCACUAUCAUCACUUUCUUCUGUGUUUCACACCCAGGAGGGAAUCUCUGUAAUAGUUAGGGUAGUUAUGUGUUUUGGCAUUUGAAACGCGAAGAAAUUUUAUGUGCAAACAAAUUCUUUCAUGCCUUUACUGAUUUUUAAAGUUAAGUUAUUCACAAACUAGUGAUUCACACUAAUUUCAAAUAAUUCAAAAUUUAAACUAUUCAAAUUUGAAAACUACAGGCACUAACAGAAAGUUUGUAAUUUUUUGUACCUAAAGCAAAAAUUGAAGGAAAUAUGCCCUAGAGGCAAUAAUAAAGUUAUUAUUUAUUUCCUUAUAUCAUGAUAAAUGUUUAUUAUUCAUGCUAGAAUUGUAUUAACCGGAAACAUAAUACAUGUGUGAAUACAUAGACAAACAGAGUGUCACUAGUAUGCCUCUACUUGACUAGCUCGUUAAUCAAAGAUGGUUAUGUUUCCUAACCAUGGACAAAGAGUUGUUAUUUGAUUAACGGGAUCACAUCAUUAGGUGAAUGAUCUGAUUGACAUGACCCAUUCCAUUAGCUUAGCACCCGAUCGUUUAGUAUGUUGCUAUUGCUUUCUUCAUGACUUAUACAUGUUCCUAUGACUAUGAGAUUAUGCAACUCCCGUUUGCCGGAGGAACACUUUGUGUGCUACCAAACGUCACAACAUAACUGGGUGAUUAUAAAGGUGCUCUACAGGUGUCUCCAAAGGUACAUGUUGGGUUGGCGUAUUUCGAGAUUAGGAUUUGUCACUCCGAUCGUCGGAGAGGUAUCUCUGGGCCCUCUAAUGCACAUCACUUAAGCCUUGCAAGCAUUGCAGCUAAUGAGUUAGUUGCGGGAUGAUGUAUUACGGAACGAGUAAAGAGACUUGCCGGUAAUGAGAUUGAACUAGGUAUUGGAUACCGACGAUCGAAUCUCGGGCAAGUAACAUACCGAUGACAAAGGGAACAACGUAUGUUGUUAUGCGGUCUGACCGAUAAAAGAUCUUCGUAGAAUAUGUAGGAACCAAUAUGGGCAUCAAGGUCCCGCUAUUGGUUAUUGACCGGAGACGUGUCUCGGUCAUGUCUACAUUGUUCUCGAACCCGUAGGGUCCGCACGCUUAAGGUUUCGAUGACAGUUAUAUUAUGAGUUUAUGAGUUUUGAUGUACCAAAGGAGUUCGGAGUCCCGGCUGAGAUUGGGGACAUGACGAGGAGUCUCGAAAUGGUCGAGACGUAAAAAUCGAUAUAUUGGACGACUAUAUUCGGACAUCGGAAAGGUUCCGAGUGAUUCGAGUAUUUUUCGGAGUACCGGAGAGUUACGGGAAUUCGCCGGGAGAAGUAUUGGGCCUUAUUGGGCCAUACGGGAAAGAGAGAGGGGCUGCCUAGGGUAGGCCGCGCGCCCCCCAAGGCCUAGUCCGAAUUGGACUAGGGGGAGGGGCUGCGCCCCUUCCUUGUUUCCUACUCCUACUACAUGGAAGGACUCCUACUUGGACUAGGAAAGGGGGAAUCCUACUCCCGGUGAGAGUAGGACUUCUCUAGGCGCGCCAUAGAGAGGGCCGGCCCUCCCCUCCUGCACUCCUUGAUAUACGGGGGCAGGGGGCACCCCAUAGACACACAAGUUGAUCCACGUGAUCAUAUUCUUAGCCGUGUGCGGUGCCCCCUUCCACUAUAGUCCUCGAUAAUAUUGUAGCAGUGCUUAGGCGAAGCCCUGCGACAGUAGUACAUCAAGAUCGUCACCACGCCGUCGUGCUGACGGAACUCUUGCCCGACACUUUGCUGGAUCGGAGUCCGGGGAUCGUCAUCGAGCUGAACGUGUGCUAGAACUCGGAGGUGCCGUAGUUUCAGUGCUUGAUCGUCGGGCCGUGAAGACGUACGACUACAUCAACCGCGUUGUCAUAACGCUUUUGCUAUCGGUCUACAAGGGUACGUAGAUCACACUCUCCCCUCUCGUUGCUAUGCAUCACCAUGAUCUUGCGUGUGCGUAGGAAAUUUUUUGAAAUUACUACGUUCCCCAACA